AAAAGUAAUUGGCUAUAACUUAAAAAGAAAAUUAUCUAAGAGAAAAUCGAUUAAUUUGGUUCGCACCACAAGAAAAAGAAGACGACCGCAAGAUCAUAAGCCCCGUUAAGUUAGUCCAAUUUUAAACCAGACCACGUGAAUCACUGUUAUUAUCAGGCCAAUAUCACUUCCUGUAAGAGUCCAUGGGCUCCCCACCUCGUCUCAGCCCAUUUGAACUCCUAAAGCACGCGAAGCUAACUCGUUUCCAAGCCUGCAUCUCUGCAGAAUAGGCCCGGGGACUUUCCUGAGCCAUAACCCAAUGAACAGGCCCAAGCCCAUUCACAUCGUCUUGCGGUCUAGUUAGUGUACUUGCACUUGAGAAUUGUAUUAAAAUAGGAUUUCGGACUAUCUGUAAGGCGAUAUGGGACAUUAGUUGCUUCAAUGUCCGUCAAUGAUGUGAAAACACUUUCUGAAGUCGAAUUUUAACUCCCAACGUAUACAAUGGGCUGCUAGUUGUAGCGCACAGAAUUUCUUAUGAUUUUCCGGUGUUUAUUUUUACGUUUCCAACUAAUAUUUGAAUUUUAUACCGCGUAAAUCUUAUUAAAAGGGAAACACUCUUAUCAAGAUUUUUCUCAUUCCUCGUCUCAUUCACUAAAUUAUAUGGUUAAACAAAAUAUUUUGCAUAGUAACAUAAGAAAAAAAAUUCACUUUUCCAUUCUUGAAAGGUAUCUCAUUCAACAAAAAGAAAUAAAAUAAUGAAGUCAAACCGACAAAAAAAUAUAAACAAAGUGAAUUAUGAAGUCUCAAAAAAGAUCUUAUAUAUGCUAUAUUUGUGUGUGAUGAUCAUGUAUGUGGUAUGUACAUUAUAUAAGAACAUGCCUUGGCUAAAGUUGACAUCAUCUUUCACGUAAACACCUUUGUUUGUUUAGGCUCUUCACGCACCUGCUUGAUGUGAAAAUCACACGAGUUGCCAAGUCAAUGAAAAGUGUCAAAAUGGAAUAUGGGAUCCUACUAUAGGGUGUUUAAAUGGUGCAAGUCUUAGUUGUGGUAUCUAAGUGAAAGAUAGUACCAACUUUAGGUGUCUGUCGAUAGGUUCAACCUUGUUUAUAUGGUUUUGAGAUUCAUUUUUGAAGGAAUGUUGGAAAUUUCUACUAAAAUCUUGUGGAGAGCUUGAGGUUUCGACAAAAAAGGCGAAUGAUCGGAACCUUUAAUCUGGAAAACUUGUUCAGGUUGAUUUGUAUCUAUCAUGACUUCUUGAAGAGAUGCAGGAAUUGCAAAAUCAUCUCGUGUUUUGACAUAGAAUCUUGGAAUAGAACCAUAAUUUGUUGUAGAAAGUGAAAGUUUCUCUGUUAAUGGUCCAAAAGGAACUUGCCUCAUUGAUACUGAUGCUAAUUCAACAUCCUGAAAUUAACACGAACGUGUCAAAAAUGUUGUUACACCCUUGUCGGAUCCUCCAAAAAUACCUACAUUUGAAGGACUUGACAUGCAUCUGUUGACAUUUUUGAAGAGUCAGAGCAACAUAAUUAAACGCGAUCAAUAUACCUUAGCAGGAGUUUGAUUGAAUAAUACUUCUUUGAGCAAUGACUUGUCAUAAUCUAUAGCAGUUGGAGGAUUAUUCUUCCCAUUUGCAUAGCGAAAAAUAUGAGCGCGUUGACAUAGGUUGUUCAAUCCAAGCUACAAAAUAGCAAAUUUAAUAACUAAUAUCUGUAUAACUAAUAUCAUUUUCUCGGUAUAACUAAUGUAACAAACCUGUACGGAGAAUAUAUCGAGUGUACUCUGUCCACUCUUCAGCAUUGCUGCGGCAACAAAAAUUGCUGCAGACACUUUUGAUGGAUACAAUUCCAUUGCAUAAGAAAUGCAAGCUCCCCCUAUAUCGUGCCCGACUAAUAUAACCUGCAUCAAAAGAGUACUAUUUUUUUUCAAAUUUAUUCCUAUUUGAAAGUGAAUAUAUAUCAUCAUAUUACCUUUUUAUCAUAGUCGAUUUUUUCGAUGAAAUCAGUGAGGGGUUUAACAUAUUGAGACAUUGUAGUAAUGUUGUUGGAAUCAAAAAAAUGUGCACCAGAACCAGUUAAGUCAAUUGCAUCAACUUGAUAUCCGGAUUCUUUGAGAAGUGUUGUAGUUUUGUACCAACACCAUGCACCAAAACCACCUCCAUGUACUAGAACAAAAUGUUUGUUCUUCAAAUCUUCAACAUUUGUACCCUGAAAAAAAAGGUUUAAAAUAUGUUAUUAUGCAUAAUACCACAAAAUGUUACUUCUCGUAAUAGAGUUAGCUGAUCCUGUUGCUGGCCGGUGCUCGUUUGAUUGCUGGUUAGAGAGGAAGUAUUUACGUUUUAAACAUAACAUUGCUAAUAUAUACAAUGCUUGGUUUAUGUUUUCCUUUUCCGCAUAAUUACUACAUGUAUAAGUUAUAAGAAAAUCUAUGUAUUAUUUUAUGCAGGAUACAACAUGAAAAACUAAAUUCUGCAUAACUAAUCCUUGCAUUACUAAUAUCUCUAUAACUAAUUCCUACAUUACUAAUACUUGCAUAACUCUAACUAGCAACCAAACCAAACAACCCCUAAAAUCAUCAUAUUAUUUUUUCUCACAUUAAAAUAGGCAACUAGGUGAACCACGUGUGACUUGAUCAAAGAGUUCAAAAAUGUCAAUCAAAUGAUGAAAGAUUUUAAAUAAAAAAAUUGACUACCAAUACUUUAUAAACAAGAGGACAAUUAAGAAAAUUAAUUGAAAACAAACCAAAACAAAAAAGUUUGAUUACUCAAAACCGAAAAAUUGACCUUUCUACACGUAUAGAGACCUUUUUCUCUUGUUCUUUCGACCCACAAUCACGAGGAUCAAUAGUAUCCUCUCUUACCUCGAACCUGACUCGAGGUGGAGAAAGCCUCACUUGUCUUAACAAACAAAAAGUUUGGUUAUUUUAAUGUGACAAAAAAAAUAAUUUUGUCACUUAGUCAUAUAAUUCGAUGAAUAAAAUAGUUUACAUUUUCUCAUGUUAUAGUGGAUAAAGUUCAGUUACUAUACGUCAGGUAAAUUUAAAGUACUAAUACCUAAAAAGCAAAUAGUAUAGCAAGACAAACCUGAUGAUGAAAGUCGAGAUGUUGAGGAAAUGAAUCAGAUAGUGAUCUAGCACGAGUUCUAGGCAUAAUAUUUCUAGUUUGCCUCCUUGAAGAACAAGUUAAAGUAUCUUUUAGAGAAACGGAACGUUCAAAUUGACUGAGCGUUCCGUUUUGCUGAUGAUGUUGCAAUAGCAGUGUUGCUGCAACACGAGCCUGUUCUCGAAUAUAAUUAUCACCAUCAAAAUUAUUACCUUCAUGGUCAAUAGUUCUCGAAGAUUUUCGACUAGUUGAUCUUGAGAUACAUGAAGGAGGUGGAACAGAAUGAUGAGCACGACCAUUAGAUGAUCUUCUAGUGAUAUUAUCACCAUCAAAAUAAUUAUUGUUACCUUCAUGAUGAUCGAUAAUUCUCGUAGAAUUUGGAUAAAUUCUAUCUGAUUUUCGACUAGUUGAUCUUGAGAUACAUGGAGGAGGUGGAACAGAAUGACAAACACGACCAUUAGAUGAUCGACUACUACGAAUUGUGCUGUUUUUGUUGAUUUUUCUAAUUUUUUUGGUUUGAUUUUUGUUAGAGAAACACGCUAAUGAAUUGCCCAUAUUGUUAGCAUGUGAAUGAGAAGAAAAUUUUGUGACAUGAAUGUUCAUAUAUGUUUGCAAAAAGAAAUGGAAAGUUGUUAAUGAAAGUGAAAUUUCUAAGAACGUGUGGAGUCAAUGAGAAAAUUAUAAAAAGUGGUCAACUUUUGUUUGGUGUAGGUCCAAAUUGUCCUUUUUUUUUUUUUUUAAUUUCCAAAACGGUAGGUAGUGUCCGCGUUGAAGUCCCGAUCUAAUUCGGAUCGCGCAUUGCAGGGCCCAUUAGGGUGACAGUGCUCCCAACAGAGUUUUCUCUAUAUCCUGAUCAAACGCUCGACCUCUGGUUAAGGGUGAAACAACUUCAUCUACUGCACCACAAGUUAUGUUGAUGUUCCAAAUGGUCCUUAAAUUACACUUUAGCAAUUUUGAUCCCUUAAACUUGCUAAAUAUUUAAAGAACUUUAUCUGUUAGAUUCGAUGAAAAUUAUAAUUCCAAAAAAGAUUUAUCGGACACUUAAAGUCGAAUGUACAUUUUGAAGUUUCUGCCACUUCUUAUUUAUUGCUAGAGUCUGAUGCAGUCUUUUAAGGCACAAUUCAUAUUAUUUUGCUCUAUUUUUUUUAUGUCUGAAAUACUAUUUUUUAUGUUGUAAUUUCUAAAAUUUGAUAGGACCUUUCUAGUGCUUUUGUGUUAAUUUUUUUUGUCUAUAGUUCCCUUCGAACAUAACACGCUAAAUAGUAGUACUAUAUAAAGAUUUAAUUCUAGAGUCUACAUAAAUACAAAAUAUUUUAUGGAUCAUAUUAUUUUUUAAAGAUCAAUAUUGAUGUUUACUUUUAGCAAAUUUAAAAAAUCAUCUCACUUCAAAGUAUAUUUAAGAGAUUAUUUUAAACAUACCUUAAAAAUAUAAGGGUCCAUUUUUGUCAUUUCUGGAAUCAAUUGGAAAAUUGGUUUUUGGAAAGUAGUGUGGAAGAGAAAAAGAAAUUCAUAAAUUCAUAUUAUGCAGUGGUACAAUUUUGACCUUUGAAUUAGGAAAAAAGAUUGUUAUGCAUUAUCUAAACAACCUACACAUCACUACUUUGGAAUCUAGUGGAAUAUUUCUUACAUCCCAUUUUUUUAAAAAAGGAAGGUGCUUGGACCAAUGAAAAAUUUACAAUAUAAUAUACUAUAUGUUGUUGAAGAUAUAUUUGUCAUAGUAACAAGUUUGAUAUACAGGCACAUCAACCUCAGUUGUAGUGUGGUGAUAAAAUUAUUUUAUGCUUAAUUAUAUAUUUAGAUUUGAGUUCUAAAUAUGGAUAAAUUUUUAUUAGGAGCGUCUUUGAAACUUCAAUGCAGGUACUGGAUAUCAGAUAGGAAUUUAGAAAAAAAGUUUGAUGAAUACAUAUACUUAAAGUAUUUUCUCCAUUCAUUUUUACUUAUUAUAUUUCAACUUGAUAUAUUCAUUAAGAAAACAAUACUGUCACACCCCUGUUUUUCACCGCAUCCGACUCCGCUAGGGAGUUGGUUUUAGAGAAAAUGGGUUUUUCCAAUUAAAGUGACGUUCUGGAAAGGGAUUAUUUUAUUUACAGAGUCGCCACUUGAAAUGGAGUUUGGGUGUUCCAAGUCACCUUAUUGAAUCCCUAUUCAAAAGGAAAUGACUCUUUAUUUUUAUUUUUUGAUCUGUGAACUAGGAAUCCGGAUAAGGAAGGAAUCCGGAUAAGGAAUUCUGUUGACCGAGGGGAAGGUGUUAGGCACCCCUCGAGUCCCGUGGUUCUAGCACGGUCGCUUUAAUGACUUAUGUCUGGCUUAAAUUAAUCUCUAAUGCAUAAAAAAUUUGUUAGCCUAAAAGUUACUUACAUCCUACUUUGAAUUUAUUUUAAAUUAUUUAAAACUGCAUUGAUGUGUGGCUUACCGAUAGUAGUACUUUUCGGCCUUACCACGAGUUUGGAUAAAUCCACAACCCAUCUCGCUCCCUUAAAAAUUAUUUUUCCUCUCUUUUAGAGUUUGAAAUAAAUUCGCAGCUCAUCCCGCUCAUCUCAUGUUAGUUAAUUCAUUAGGCCUUUAAUAACAAAUUAGGCGUGGUGAUGUUUUUAAAACGGGAGAAUUAAUUCGACAACUAUUACGACACCUCAAAAUAACACGAUAACAUUUCAAAAUUUUAUGAAUUAUUUAUUCAGAAAAGAACAUACAACAAAUAACAUGCAUAUUUUAUAACAUUAACAUGAAAGAAUAUUCUGUCAAUUAAGGAACCAAGUAAACUCAUUCAAAUUUUACAAUCGUGUUAAAUUCCAAAUCUAAAAAUAUAUAUAUAUUUUUUAAUUUAAUUUAAACCUCACAUAUAUUUCGGAAACGACAUUACUUACUUGUCACGUAUACCUCCCCUAAUAAAUGACACCCAAAUAUAACAACUAAUCAAAGAAAAUAAAUAUAGUGAACCAUACUUCCCGUAAUCAUCUACAUGGAUGAAUUGGAACCAUAAUAAAUAAAUAAGUAAACUAAGUUUAAAGAAAGCAAGAAUGAUGAUUCUAACUUAAUUGAAACAUGAAAAAUUAAUUUAUUAAAAGAAGCCUCAUUUUAUUUUUUUUUGGUUGUAUAAACAUACAUUUUAACAGCAACUAAAAACGAUGCAUGAGGAUAAUAUAGACUAAACAAUUCUAACAUAUAAGCACAUAUAUACUAUCAUAUUAUAUAUGCAUGUAAGAGAUGGAGAAUGGACUUCACAUAAAUAAUCAUCUUUGUAUAUUAAAUAAUUCACGAGAUUACUUAAAUACUUCAUUCAUACUUUGAUUUAAAAUAAAAUUUAUAACAAAUAAUACAGGAUUGGAAUAGAACCUGUGUGACAAAUUAGAUUGAAUAUUAAACCAAGAUAUCAUUACCGAGAAUUCGAGCGAAACUCCGGACUCUAAACCCAAUUCUUCUUCUCUUCUAUUUUUGUUUUCUCCUUUUCCGUUUCUUCUGUUUCUUUUCUUUCUUUUGUUUCUUUUUGUUUCUUUUGUUUUCUUUUUUUUGUUUCUUUGUUUUUCUUGAUCCGUGUGUUUGUAUUGUGUGCAUGUGUGUGUUAUAUAUAAUGAGUGUAUGUGUUUGUGUCGUGUGUGUGUGUGUUUGUCGUGUGUGUGUUAUGAAAAAAUGGGGGAGAGGUUUUGUGAGAGUGGGACUUGUGGGUGGUUUGGGUAGUUUAGGAUUGUAUUUUUUUUUUUUAAAUUUUAAUUAAUAUUUUAAAUAAAAUAAAAAUAAUAAAAUUUAUUUUAAAACUAACAAAAUACAAGAUAAGUUAACUAGCUAGUCUUAGGAAUAUGGUUAAGAAAUAUUAAUAUCACAACAUUCUUUAUUAAAAAUUGAAAGAAGAAACAAAUAUAAUUUAGAAAAANNNNNNNNNNNNNNNNNNNNNNNNNNNNNNNNNNNNNNNNNNNNNNNNNNNNNNNNNNNNNNNNNNNNNNNNNNNNNNNNNNNNNNNNNNNNNNNNNNNNNNNNNNNNNNNNNNNNNNNNNNNNNNNNNNNNNNNNNNNNNNNNNNNNNNNNNNNNNNNNNNNNNNNNNNNNNNNNNNNNNNNNNNNNNNNNNNNNNNNNNNNNNNNNNNNNNNNNNNNNNNNNNNNNNNNNNNNNNNNNNNNNNNNNNNNNNNNNNNNNNNNNNNNNNNNNNNNNNNNNNNNNNNNNNNNNNNNNNNNNNNNNNNNNNNNNNNNNNNNNNNNNNNNNNNNNNNNNNNNNNNNNNNNNNNNNNNNNNNNNNNNNNNNNNNNNNNNNNNNNNNNNNNNNNNNNNNNNNNNNNNNNNNNNNNNNNNNNNNNNNNNNNNNNNNNNNNNNNNNNNNNNNNNNNNNNNNNNNNNNNNNNNNNNNNNNNNNNNNNNNNNNNNNNNNNNNNNNNNNNNNNNNNNNNNNNNNNNNNNNNNNNNNNNNNNNNNNNNNNNNNNNNNNNNNNNNNNNNNNNNNNNNNNNNNNNNNNNNNNNNNNNNNNNNNNNNNNNNNNNNNNNNNNNNNNNNNNNNNNNNNNNNNNNNNNNNNNNNNNNNNNNNNNNNNNNNNNNNNNNNNNNNNNNNNNNNNNNNNNNNNNNNNNNNNNNNNNNNNNNNNNNNNNNNNNNNNNNNNNNNNNNNNNNNNNNNNNNNNNNNNNNNNNNNNNNNNNNNNNNNNNNNNNNNNNNNNNNNNNNNNNNNNNNNNNNNNNNNUUAAUUAAUAUUUUAAAUAAAAUAAAAAUAAUAAAAUCUAUUUAAAACUAAAAAAAAUACAAAUAAGUUAAUUAGCUAGUCUUAGGAAUAUAAUUAAGAAAUAUUAAUAUCACAACAUUCUUUAUUAAAAGUUGAAAGAAGAAAACAAAUAUAAUUUAGAAAAAAAAAUUCUUUUUUUUUCUAAAAAUAAAUAAACAAAUAAAUAAACAAUAAAACAAAAUCUUAUUUAAAAUGUAACUCUAUUUUUGUAGUUUUCAAAUUUUUUAACAAACUUAAAAAAUAAGAUAAAUUUAAAAUGCCUAAAAAAAAUAAAAUUAAUUGAACAUUAAAAUGGUAUAAAAAUAUUAGGUUUUGGUCAAAAAUUAGGUGUUUACAGAUACUUAACAUGAUUAUUUUACCACAUUAUUCUUUUUAAUUGAUGUUUACCAUAUCAAUUUUGAAAAAUAAAUAAUUAGUGCUAAAAUUAAAACAUUAAACAAAAUAAUUUUUUUUUUCUUGGUACUUUAAAAGUUUAAAAGUUCAUUUGAGAAUUGUUUUUUCCCAUCUGCUUAUGAGAAGUCAUUAUUAUAUUUUGGAGUUGCAAAGCUACUUUCCGUUCUCUUUCUUGACUAAUGCGACUGACUGUAGAUAUUUGGAAAAAAUAAAAGGGAAGGAGGGCUUGAACCUCCGACCUUGUGGUUAACAGCCACACGCUCUGACCAACUGAGCUAUUCCAGCGAAUGCAUUCGUUUCCAUUCUAAAUGCUACACAGUUCCUUUUUUUUAGUAAGACUUUUCUAAUUGCUUAAAUAUUUACUUUUAAUCAUUCUAGUUAGGAGUGUACAGACAAAACCGUCAAGUCAAACUGAACCGAUGAAUCAAACUAAACCGAGAAAAAAAACCGACUUAUGGUUUGGUUUGAUUGGUUUGGCGUUAGAAAAAAAAAACCGACCAUUCUUAGUUUGGUUUGGUGUUAACAAAAAAAAAGUCAAACCGAAUCCGAAUCAAACCGACAUAAUAUAUAUAUAUAUAUAUAUAUAUAUAUAUAAUAUUCAAACUUUUUUAUACAUAAAAUAUUAAUUAUAAUCUACUUUUUAANNNNNNNNNNNNNNNNNNNNNNNNNNNNNNNNNNNNNNNNNNNNNNNNNNNNNNNNNNNNNNNNNNNNNNNNNNNNNNNNNNNNNNNNNNNNNNNNNNNNNNNNNNNNNNNNNNNNNNNNNNNNNNNNNNNNNNNNNNNNNNNNNNNNNNNNNNNNNNNNNNNNNNNNNNNNNNNNNNNNNNNNNNNNNNNNNNNNNNNNNNNNNNNNNNNNNNNNNNNNNNNNNNNNNNNNNNNNNNNNNNNNNNNNNNNNNNNNNNNNNNNNNNNNNNNNNNNNNNNNNNNNNNNNNNNNNNNNNNNNNNNNNNNNNNNNNNNNNNNNNNNNNNNNNNNNNNNNNNNNNNNNNNNNNNNNNNNNNNNNNNNNNNNNNNNNNNNNNNNNNNNNNNNNNNNNNNNNNNCAACACUUUUAUCAAAUUACAUUUUGUAGCAUAUGUAUUUGUAUUUUUGUAGCAACAGUUUGCGAAAAAUACAAAAUACAUAUCAUCAUAAGGGCAGUAAAAAUCAUAUAUAUUUGUAUUUUUGUAGCAACAGUUUGCAAAAAUACAAAACAUAACUUGCUAUAUUAUGUAAUUAUAAAACUGUUGUUAUGAAACUCAUAAUUAAGGGAAUAAGUAUGCUAUUCUUGAAUUUUUCCCUAUAUAUAUUUAGAUUUAGGCCUUUAAGUUAUAACAUUUGUCCAGUAAUUGCUAAUUAAAUGACCGAAAACCCAAUAUAAACUUAAAACCUAAACUUUUCACUCUUCAUCUCACUUUUUAAUUUCAAGAUAGUUUUCCGCUCCUCUAUAAUUAUGAUUUUUCAUUAGCAAAUGAGUGAAAACAUAUUUGGUCUAAUCUUCAAUCACAAUAUAAUUGUAAAAACUAAAGAUUAUAAAAAAAAAAAACCCAAAAAAAAUGAAAAACCCAAAAAAAUCGACUAAAACCUAAACCGAAAAAACUAAUUUUACGUUGGUUUGAUUUGGUUUAUAGUUCUAAUAAACCAACAUGAUUGGUUUGAUUUUUUCUUUUAAUAAAAACCGAACCAACCCAACCUAUGUACACCCCUAAUGCCAGCAUAACGUACGUGCUUUGCACGUGUGUCUCACUCGAUCAAUGAAAAUACAUUCAUAAGAAUGUUUAAUAUAAAUAAAUAAAUAUUGUAUCAAAUGUUUAAUAUUGUCUGUUGUAUCUCAACUAAUCUUUUUCAUAAUGAAAAAGAAUAAAGUUAAUUAGAAACUGAAAAUUUAAAUUAUACCACGUAAAUUAAGAUAAGAAAAUUAUUUGAAAAAUUGUUAAUCUCUAUACAUUAGCUUCAAUUUAUAGAAGUAUAACUUUGAAACGUAUGGCACGAUGUUUGAAAUAUCUCAUCGGAUAUUUAUUUAUUUUUAGAUUUCAUUCAAAGAACGUCACGAUGUUUGAAACAUCAGGACGUAACAUUGUUAACAAAAUUCAGAAAAUAUUGAGAUUAAUUGCAUCAAACUAAUGCACAGUAACAAAAUAUAAGGUAGAGUUGCAUGUUUGUCUUUAAUUUGGAUAACCAAAUUCAAAACUUAACUAUAAAUUUAUAUGUUAAAUUCAACAAAUAAGUUUAAUUAAGAUUCGACUUUACUACUAAGAAAUAAUAUAUCAAAAUCUAAUUAAAUAACAUAAGCAAGACCAAGUCACAAUGAAACAAAGAAGAAAAAAAAAGAAAAGAAAUAAAUCUCUGGUUUUCUUGGCUAUUUUAUUCAGCGAUAAUGUGCUUGGUUCGUGCACUUUUUUUAUCAAAAUUUUCACCUGAAAGAAAAAUACACAAAAAAAUUCAUUGUAAUCAAUUGUUAAUUAUGUAUAAUUCACAUAUAGUCUUUAAGGUCAUUAAUUAAAAAAAUUAAGAAAGAUAGAAGUAGAAAAAGAUGUCUGUUUCUUGUUAAUUUUUAUUCAAGAUAUUAUCUAAAUAGAAUUAUAGAAAUUACGUUUUAUGUAAGGUAAAAUUGUAAUUGAUUUAGAAGUGUUAAUUCAUAUAUAAUCUUUAAGGCCACCAAUAAAAAAAAUUAAGAAAGAUAGAAGUAGAAAAAGAUCCACGUUUCUUGUUAAUUUUUAUCCAAAAUAUUAUUUAAAUAGAAUUGUCAAAAUUACUUUUUUAUAUAAGGUAAAAUUCUAAUUGAUAUAGAAGUGUGAAAUACUAUAAUUUAGAUCAAUGAAUUUUAAGUCCUAAAUAUUUUGUGUAAAUCUUUUUGGUAUAAAUAUUAAAAAAAAAAAUAGAAGUAGAAGAAGAUGCGUGUUUCUUGUUAAUUUUUAUUCAAAAUAUUACUUAAAUAGAAUUAUAGAAAUUACUUUUUUAUGUAAGAUGAAAUUCUAAUUAAUUUAGAAGUGUUAAAUACUAUAAUUUAGACCAACUGAAUUUAAAAAUGCCAAAUAUUUUAUAUAUGUUAUAAAACAAGAAAGAAUAAAGAAGAAGAAUAGAGAGAAUAAAUAGAGUAAUUCUUAUUUCACUUGAGAGAUGAGAGAUCAUAUGAUUGUGAAUACAAUGAACAAAAUCCCUCAAUUUACGCUUAGUCUGAGUAAAAUACAGAUGCUUCAAAUCCUAAUAGAUAUCAAAGUGGAUCUUGAUAGAUCUUGAUAGACAUUCACUAUAAUGUAAAUAUAUUUAUAACACCCCCCUUGAAUGUCUAGGUAGAUAAUGUGCCUCGUUAAAACCUUACUAGAAAAAAUCCAAUAGGAAAAAAAAUCCCGUGAAGGAAAAAGAGUACACAUUUCUAACAAUACGCAUAUUGGCUGCCUCAUUAAAAACCUUACAAGGAAAAUCCAUUGGGACAAAACCUCGUAAGGGAAAAAGAGUACAACGCGUAUUAACUCCCCCUAAUGAGAACAUCCUUGAACUUUUGCAUCUCGAUCUUAUGCAGCAUCUUCUUGAAAGUUGCAAUUGGAGAAGAUUUGGUGAAUAAAUCAGUCACAUUGUCAUUUGAAUGAAUCUGUUGCACGUUAAUAUCAUCAUUCUUUUGUAGCUCAUGUAUGUAGAAAAGCUUUGGCAAAAUGUACUUCGUUCUAUCUCCAUUUAUGAAUCCUCUCUUAAGAUGUGCUAUGUAUGCUGAAUUAUCUCUGUAUAAAAUUGUGGGUAGAUUGUCAUAUUUCACACCACAUUUUUCUCGAAUGAGAUGUAUCAUAGACCUCAACCAUACACAUUUUCGGCUUGCUUCAUGAAUAGCUAUUAUCUCAGCAUAAUUCGAUGAAGUGGCUACGAUAGACUGCUUUGUAUAUCUCCCNNNNNNNNNNNNNNNNNNNNNNNNNNNNNNNNNNNNNNNNNNNNNNNNNNNNNNNNNNNNNNNNNNNNNNNNNNNNNNNNNNNNNNNNNNNNNNNNNNNNNNNNNNNNNNNNNNNNNNNNNNNNNNNNNNNNNNNNNNNNNNNNNNNNNNNNNNNNNNNNNNNNNNNNNNNNNNNNNNNNNNNNNNNNNNNNNNNNNNNNNNNNNNNNNNNNNNNNNNNNNNNNNNNNNNNNNNNNNNNNNNNNNNNNNNNNNNNNNNNNNNNNNNNNNNNNNNNNNNNNNNNNNNNNNNNNNNNNNNNNNNNNNNNNNNNNNNNNNNNNNNNNNNNNNNNNNNNNNNNNNNNNNNNNNNNNNNNNNNNNNNNNNNNNNNNNNNNNNNNNNNNNNNNNNNNNNNNNNNNNNNNNNNCUUAUACAAUAUAAGGAUUAUAAAUAAGUUUCCCAGAAACUUUUAUAUGCUUCAAGCAUUUUGAAUCCUUAAAAGUUUUCCACAUAAGUUUUGUCAAGUGACAAUAUUCAACAUUUCAUGAGUGACAUCUUCAAAUAUCUGGACUGCAAAUCAAAUAAGUUUUAUACUUACCAAAAUGCAUCCUUUUGUGUCACUUGAUAAAUGUUUCUACGUCAGCAUGCUUAAAUAAACGUAGAAUUUAGAUCCUCAUAAUCUUUUACAAUAUUGCGCCAAUAUCGUAUCAAAGAUAUCGUUAAUGAUAUAUCAUUUUGUAUUGGUUCAUAAUGCGACAUAACAUUUUGAGAUCUCAUCACUUUAUUAUUUUUAGGUACCUGAACCUCUCAUAAGGUUUCCUGAAGUAUUAUGUCUUAGGCUCUUCAAGAGUACAUUGCCUUCUUAGUAUGAUUAUUUGCUCCUUGUUUCAUUUGGAACCGAUUAGUCUAUCGUGCUUCAUGCAUGCAUAGACUUUGUCCUUCAAGGAUACAAGCUAGGAGCACUUGCAGCUUAAAUAUGAGAUGCUUUCGGCAUUUGACUUGAAUUAUCUUAUGAAUGAGGAUCUUAUGAUAAUUCCUAACAUAUUUCAUAACUGCUUAUAAUCUCCCCCUUAUGUUAGAAAAACUAACAUUCAUCCUCAUCUUCUUUGAAGAAUCCAUCUUUGUNNNNNNNNNNNNNNNNNNNNNNNNNNNNNNNNNNNNNNNNNNNNNNNNNNNNNNNNNNNNNNNNNNNNNNNNNNNNNNNNNNNNNNNNNNNNNNNNNNNNNNNNNNNNNNNNNNNNNNNNNNNNNNNNNNNNNNNNNNNNNNNNNNNNNNNNNNNNNNNNNNNNNNNNNNNNNNNNNNNNNNNNNNNNNNNNNNNNNNNNNNNNNNNNNNNNNNNNNNNNNNNNNNNNNNNNNNNNNNNNNNNNNNNNNNNNNNNNNNNNNNNNNNNNNNNNNNNNNNNNNNNNNNNNNNNNNNNNNNNNNNNNNNNNNNNNNNNNNNNNNNNNNNNNNNNNNNNNNNNNNNNNNNNNNNNNNNNNNNNNNNNNNNNNNNNNNNNNNNNNNNNNNNNNNNNNNNNNNNNNNNNNNNNNNNNNNNNNNNNNNNNNNNNNNNNNNNNNNNNNNNNNNNNNNNNNNNNNNNNNNNNNNNNNNNNNNNNNNNNNNNNNNNNNNNNNNNNNNNNNNNNNNAGAAUUUUCGAAUUCUUCAAUAUAUGUUUAAUAUUUAAUAUGCACAUCUUUAAGAUGUCGCAAUCGUUCAUGUCAACUUAUGAACUUUUAUGCUAGUAAACUCAAAGUUUACCAUGACAUGUACUUUUUUCUUUAGUAAAUUUCCGAUUUACUAUUGCAUGAAUAAAUUUCAUAUUUAGUACUUUAGAAGUAGAUUUCGAAAUAACUCUUGUCAGUUAUUCUACCUCAUUCGGAGGUGAGUUGUGAUACCAUCACAAUCAAGUGCACGUUUGCAUUAAUAAGCUUCUCAUUCCCCAGGAAUGAAAUAUAAUCAUGCAUUAAGCGUAUCAAAUUAUGAUAGCUAUUACAAAAGCAAAUUGAGGCAUACAUAUGAUUUAUUGCUACCACAUUCAAUUCACGGAAUAGAGCAUAUCAAUGGGAUAUAUUUCAUGACUUUUCAUCAAAUACACAUUAUUUUGCCUUAGCCAUCAUAAAUUAUCAAUACAUGCAUUGAGAUCCAAUCUCAAAGCCUUAUCCAUAUAAAGGCGUCUCAGGCAUAAAUUGAUGGGGUUUGAACCCAACAUAUUAUCAUCCCCUUUGAUAAUAUUGUUCUUGAGAAAUAAAUUUAAAACAUAAAUUGUUCCAAACUAAUUAUUUUUCCUCAAAUCCAACAAUAAUUAUAUUAUUAGUAGCAAAAGAUAAACAACAUAAGAAAUUACAAACCUUGAAAUACUUAAGAUUUAUAAUCUCACCUUGUUUGACAGAGUCUCGUGCUGAUAACGUGUUAUGAAACAAUAAAGAACGAGAAGAAGAGUAGAGGGAAUUUUCUUCUCUUGAAUGAGAGAUCAUAUGAUUGUGAAUACAAUGAACAAAACCCCUCUAUUUAUAGGGGAAAUUUACUCCUAGUUUGAGUAAAAGACACAUGUUUCAAAUCCUAAUAGAUAUCAAAGUAGAUCUUGGUAUAUAUAGACAUUCACUAUAAUGUAAAUACAUUUAUAACAGUAUACAAUUUAAUUAGGAAAGGAUUCAAUGGGUAAAAUAUUUUUGUAUAGUAUUAACUACACUCAUUCUGACCUUAUAAACCAUAACGUAUUUUACAUAUGUUGAAGAUUAAUUGUUUAAAAAUUUUACCAUGUAUUUAAUAUUCCUUAUUUAUUAAUUUUGGUUGUACCUCUUAUCAUAUAUUUUAGGAGUCAUUAAUAAUUUUUUUAAUACCUCUUAUCAUAUAUUGUAGGACUCCUUAAUUUUUAAUAUUAUAAAAAUAAUAAUUAAUUAAUUAAUAAUUUGAGAAAAAAAGAUUAAAAAAUGAUUUUUACUAAAAUAGAGACUUUUAAUAAAGGAUAAAAAGUUCAAAUCAUUUUUUUAAGGUCUUAACACUUUCAAUAGAUUAUAGAUUAUAGAUAUAAAUAUAGAUUAUAGAUAUAAAUUAUAAUUAUAGAUGUAGAUUAUAGAUUUAUUGUGAUCUCAAACUUUUAUGUGUCAAUGUUUUUUAAAAUAAAUUUUGAGGAAAUGUAGUUUGAACUUGUACCAACAUAUCCGGUGUGUAAAUUCCCUCAAAUCUUUUUGGGUUUGACUAUAUAACAUUCAAUUACUAUAAAAAACUAAACUCAGAACACACGAUAUUAUUAUAAAAAGGUUUUGACUAGUCGAUAUAAUUCGCUUUUCGUACUUAUAGUAGAUACAUGAACUUCAGGAAAUGGUCAAGUUCAAAAUAUAGAAGACUAAUGGAAAAACUAUUAUUGGGAUCUUUAGAGAAAUGUUGUCGCAAUCUUGUCAGAUAGUAUUUGCAAUCACUUUGUUGCAGGGAAAUAUGUAAACAAAACCAAUAAUUUCAACACCAAAUAUGUAAAAUACUGCAUUCAUUUGUUAACUAAGGAACAUAUAGUCAAAAUACUGGGCAAUAUGUUAUACACAAUCAAAAGCAUCAAAAACUUUGGUAAAAUCCCAGGACUGCGUCGACUAUGUUGUAAUGUGGUCGAAUUAACAGUAACAUGGAAGGAUGCUAAGUACUCAUUAGUUCCCUUGUCGAUGUUUCAGUACGCAUCAGAAAAUACCUCACACCAAUGUACAUUACAACACUAAUGACACCAACACCAAUUGUAACAGGACUAGCGAAAACUAACAAGUUUUUGGUUUGCUUGCUGUCGAUCUUUUUGGAGCUGGAUUCAAAUGAAUCAGCAGACCUUUUGGAUCGAUUCUUCAUGAAGGAAGAAUAGGAAGCAACCUCUUCUUCGGUAAGUGCUGGCUUCAACGACUUUUUGACUGUUUGGAAGUGUCGAUCACAUACAACUGUUGCGGAUAUGUUCUCUCGCAAAGCAACUAUUCCAGCUUCUCUGCAUAGGCCUUCCAGUUCAGCUCCAGUAAAGAGGUCAGUGUCUUCUGCAAUUUGUCUGAGAUUAACAUCAUUACUCAAUUUCAUAUCUCGCGUAUGAACACGGAGAACCUCAAAUCGAGCUUCCAAGUCAGGAGGAGGGACAUAAAGAACCUGCAAGCGAAGGAAAUUGAAUAAGAUGAGCUAAUUGCUGUUGCUGCUAAUGACGGUACAUGACCAUUAACGAGUACAAAUAUUUGCUUCUUAAUGUUCCAUGUGUCUUAAUUUGUUCGUUUGGUUUUGACUUGACAAGAAGUUUAGAAAGUAAAGAAGAUUUUUGAAUCUUGUGGUCUUGAGCUAAAGAUAUGUAGAAUGUACUAAAAUGCUCUUUAAUCUUGUGGUCUUAAACAUGUCAUGUGGAGAGCUAGAAGUAAAGAGUUGCGAAGAAAAGGAAAGAGGCAUUCUUUUGAAACAGACAAAGAAGGAAGGCAAGACAAACAAAUUGAAACGGAGGGAGUACUAAUAAUUCGUGUUGAGAUGCUAAGUUACACUAAGCAUUCAGAGUACUAAUAAUUCAUGUUGAGAUGCUAAGUUACACUAAGCAUUCACGAGUUUCUUACAAGAUCAAAUCGUCCUGGUCGCAUUAGUGCAGCAUCAAUUGCGUGGGGGCGAUUUGUGGCAGCCAAAACAAGAAUUCCCUGAAAGAAGCAGUGAUUAGGAAACACAGAAAUCACAUUCUAUACCUGAUCAAAAUGAUCCAUUACUUGCAUUCAGUAAUUAAAAAACUGCAAAUUAUGUAUUGCGCACUUUAGCCUGCUCUAAGCCAUCCAUUUCAGUUAGGAGGGUGGAUAAAAGUCUCUCUCCAACUGUACUGCUUCCACUUGAACUUCCUCCUCUGCAAUUUAAGGAUAAAUUGUAUCAGAGCUUCACAUAAACAAAGAGAAUUCAGGAAGAUAUACUUGAAACACAGUUAGAUCAACAAAUAGCUGCGCCCUGUAGGGACAUGACCGUAAGAAGUCCUGUACCAACUAAAAUGAGUCAGGCAGUGCCAAGAAAAGUAAUUUGUAUUGGUUGGGAUAAUAUAUGUCAAGGCACAAGUUGCCUGAAGACUUUCUGUACUCCAGAAAGAUUUCCGAGAAGAUUACUCCACACUCUCUCUCUCUCUCUUCAUAUACAAUCCACCCACCCCUCUCUUGACUACACUCCCAAUUCCCUAUUUUUCCCUGUCUCCCUGCAUCCAUCUAUCUCCAUCUUUAAGCUCAACAAAGACAGUGAAACACGUCUUUACCAGACCAGAAAUCAGAAUGGAGGGCAACUAUCUGUCAGAAUCUAGCAGCACAAUUGUACAAUCAACUCUAUAAUAUCCACCUCAACUUGACAUGAUACAAUCAACAUUCAAAUGAAUAAACACGAGAUGGCCAAACUAAUUACUCAACUCACAAGAUAUAGCUAGGCUAAAUAAACUUACCGUUUGGUUGCAACAACAUCAGCCUCAUCAAAGAAUAUUAUACUUGGCGCUGCAAGGCGAGCUCUUCGGAAAGUAUUGCGCAAUAAAGCUUCACCCUCACCAACAUACAUAGAGUACAGCUCUGCACCACUGUUUCAUGUUCAAGAAACUGAACAAUUAAGAUUUGCGAGUUUUAGUCAAAUCAAUAAUUAGUCACUACAUAAAUACCCAGUUACUGAAAACAAGCUAAUAAAGAUGGUUAAUAUCAUAGUAAAUACCAAUCUGAUGCCUUUGGUUCCAAAGGGGCAUAAACCCCAGCAUAUAUUCAAGAUUUAGGUGGAGCAUGCUAAAUGACCUUUAUUUCAGACUAACUUAACAUGAUUUUUGCUUUUUAGGAACUCUGAAAUAAGUUGGAAUAUAACAUGUUUUUGGUUUUUCAGAAACUGUCAUAUAAGUUGGCAAUGGCUCAUGGGGACAAGAAUCGCUCACUUGUUGCUAAGCAAUGCAUGCAACAAUUGUUAAACAAUAAUGACAAACUUAUUAGAUGCAUUAAAAAGUAAUAAGAUCAAUAGUUGAAAAUAUAAAAGAUACCAAAGGUAAAAAGGUAUGACAAUUGCAAGCACUACAGGAGUAUAACCGGCUAUUGGAUCAGUUUUGACUUCCUUUUAUGAUGGUGAAGUCUUGGACAGCUUAUAAGCACAUUGACUAUUCCACCUGAGAGCUACUACUUCACACCAGCACAGGUACCAUAUAAUUCUACCCACCAACGCUUAAGCAGACAAGAAUAAAUCACCUAAUUAUUUCUUUUUGCCUCCAAUGGGAUUUGAACCUGAAUUAUUACUAAUCACUUAUCGAUCCUUCUUAGUUCUUUUACAGCAAGAGUCAGAAGGAAACAGAAAGUCAAACAGCAGAGAGCAGUUUUAUCGUGCCAAGGGCAGAAGCGACCAGAAUUGUUAUCAGACCUCAUGGAAAAGAAUGAAGCUUGGGCAGCAUGAGCAGAAGCUUUAGCAAGGGUUGUUUUGGAGCACCCUGGUGGUCCAUGAAGAAGGAUUCCACGGGCAGGUGAUACUCCCAGCCGUUCAAACGCUUCUGAGUGUUUUAAAGGCCAUUCAACAGCUUGCUGAAGCUUUUUCUGUUUCAAGAAUUUACCACCCUAUUAGAUUUUGUAAAUAUUCUACCUGACCUAAUUGUUUGUGCGAGGUCAUACCUUUAUGUCUUUCAACCCUCCAAUAUCUUCCCAAGAAACCUUGGGUAUUUCAACAGUAACACCCCUUGUUAUACUAGGACCAACCACCGAUCUUGCAUGCUUCCAAUCUUCCAUAUGAAUGUUGUUAGAGUCAUAGUCCAGAUUUGAAUCAGAGCACUUUCUUACUGCAGACAUUGCAGCUUCACGACACAGAGCCUCUAAAUCUGCCCCAACAUAACCAGUACAAGAUGCAGCAACGGCUCGAAGGUCAACACUUGCAUCCAAUUGAAGCUUCUUUGUAUAAAGCUGAAAUAUCAAAAAUGCUCUUAAGAUCAACUUCAUAUAGAUCAUAUUAUAAAAGGUACUAAGCACCCAUAGAUGUUCACAAAGAGUACCCAUUCAGGUAUCUCCUUAAACUGGUGCAUGCUCGAAAUUCUAUCACAUGUCCUCAGUAGGUGUUGUGACUUCAAUUUCAGCAUCAAAACGUCCAGCCCUUCUUAAAGCUGGAUCAAUAGCAUCCGGCCUGCACAUAAAUGUAUAAUGUCAAGGUUAAUUUGGAAAGGAAGUGUACGCCACCAUGACACAGAAGUAAGCAUAGAAUUUCAUGACCAUCAAAAGGAUAUAUUAGGGUCUUGAUGGCUUGCUUAGAUAAAAUAAGCUGGCACUGUCGCUUGCUUACAUUUUCCUGUAGGAUACAUAACUCUGUAAAAAUAAAUUAUUUUUGAUCAUUAUAUAUUGGGGUUCAUUUUCUUCGGACAACUAUUUAGAGAAGGUCUGUUAGCAAAUUGACAUAGAUCAUGCUAGGGAAGCUUUCAUGGAUGUUUUACUUAAUAAUAAACAACAAAAAUUAAUCUGUUAAGAGUAGGCUUACAUGAUCACAGGAAAAGGCAAUCCACCACAAAAAUAAAAAAUAAUAUACCAAAAGAAAGCAAAUGUUGCAGAACCCUUACCUAUUAGUUGAUGCUACUACCACAACAUGUGAUACUGAUGUCGAUGAGGAUUUAAUGGAAUCCAUCAACAUAAAGAGCUGAGAGGCUACACGAAUUUCUUGCUCCCUUCUGCAAUUCAAGGACUCAAAUAACAUGUUAGUAAAGAAUAUUGGAAUAUACCAACUUUACCCUCCAACAUCAUCUUCUUUUUUUUUCAGUUUUGUCAACCAUGAUUUAAGCAAGGACAUUUUCAUAUGGAUGUUGAUAAAGUGAUGCAACAUGUACCUAGAAUCUCUACGAGGACAAAGAGCAUCUAUUUCAUCUAAAAAGAUGACUGAUGGCUUGCCUAAUUUUGCAUGAGAUGAUGCUUCUGAAAAUGCCUCUCGCAAAAUUUUCUCACUUUCACCAACAUGAGCCCUAUGAACAGAAUGGGGACUGCAAAUACAUCCAAAGCCAGAAAGAACAAUAAGGCAAAGAAAAAUAUAAACAAUGCAAGAUUCUCCUUAAAGUUCAAUGAAUUCAUUUCAUUCUUCUCUUAAUGUACGUAAAAGCGUGAUAUCACCAUACAGAAAUAACUAGCAUCAAAAGCUCAACUUUUUCAAAGCGCAGAAACUUUUCAGUUAUUUAAAUAUCACCAAGAACCAUAAUGAUCACAGAAUGAUCAGUGAUCCAAUGGAUAGAUCUGAACCAAUUAGAUAAAUUUCUGCCUCCAUACUUAAAAAGUACUUAUAGUACUUUUGGUCGUUCUAUAAUACAGGUCCUAAGGUGAACUUAAUUGGAGCAACAUUGUCAAUACGGAUUCGUAUCACCUACCCUUGGGAUUGUCGAAUUGAGGCAUAGUUAUUGUUAUCUGUGAGGUGUACAUAAUAAGGAACCAAUAACACUGAACUAAUGAAAGAAAGGACCAUUACUUUUAUGUACGUAAGCAACAAAAACAAAAAAAUGUCUAGAAGCCAGUCAAGAGAAAAUAAUGUUGGGUGAGAAUCAAACACACCUUAUUACGAUCAAAUGGGCACCACAUUCUUGAACAACUGCCCGAACUAAGCUUGUCUACAAUUAGAAAUAUUAGAAUAUUUUAACCAAACAACUAUCUUGAACCCAAAAGUCAUUUUUAAAUCCAGAGACCAGAUUUUGAAUCAAAUCCAAAUGUCAGUUGUGAAAUCGAUAAGACAGGAUUCGUCUAAACCAAGUGCUGAUUUUGAGAUUCAAAAAGAUGAUUGUGGCUCUAAGCCAACUGUAAAUUUCAAAAUUCAAAGACAAUGAGUUUGGCUCAAACCCAAAUGCAAACUUUGAAAUUCAAAAGUAUGAAUUUGGCUCAAAACCAACAUAGUUAGUUUUAAAUUAAAAAAAGACAUGACUUUUGGCUCAAACUGUGAUCAAGAAUAGGCAGGUAUAAUACCUUGCCAGUUCCAGGAGGUCCAUAUAGCAGCAAACCACGCGGCCACUACAAGAAAAAUGAGCAAAGCAAUGAGAGUUGUUAAUGAAAGAUGAUAAUCUGAAUAUCAAAGAUAUACUAUUUGAAAAACUUGUAGUACCUUUAGACCAAGUUUUCGAGAUUCGGCAGAGUAAAGGAGAGGAUAGGUUAUGAGUUCUCUGAGAACUUGAAGGGCUUCCGCAUUGCCAGCAAUAGCUUCCUCUGCUCUCCACUCACCGGCACAGCUGGUGGUCCCACUGCUACUGUCCAUCUCUUGUAGAGGUGCUGGAGAAGGGCGGGGAGCAAUACUUUCUAGCUGUGUGGUUGGUGGGGGUUUACAGUUUUGCCUUACCCCCUUUUUGAAUUCAAAGAAGAAGCCCCAACUCUUAAUUUUGGAGUUUCAUUCAAAAUAGUUCCUAAUAUAUAAAGUGAAAACUGUUAACGCUGUUUUCAAAUCCAAAUAAAAUGGUUGGCUACCAAGGAAAAAGUUGUAAACUCAUGUAUUACAUCUCCCAUGAAGGACUUUAUGGAUAGAGAUUAAUCAACCACCCCACCCCACCCCACGCCCACCCCCACCCCCAACACGCACACACACAUUGAUAACCGAAAUCAACCAGCGAUAUAUAUCCAAUUUGUUGGAUUCUUUACAAGCUAAAUUCAAGUGCGAAGAACCAUAUUACAUGAACUACUUCUCUUUCAAGUUUGCAAUUCAACUUUUAGGUGGUAUCAUCUUAUAUGUGCUAUCACCAAAAGCUCCAACCAGACAAAGGUUCCUAUUAACAUACAUAUAGUAUUCAAAACUGAAACUAUAGCUAGUUAGAAAAUAAGUUAUUCAUAUAUAAAAUUAACACAACAUAAAAUUUAAACCCGCAUAAUUAAUACAUAUAAGUUAUGAGGGAAUUAGUGUAUCAAAUAGAAGAUGGAAUAACUAAUGCUUGCAAAACUAAUAGCUACAUAACUAAUACCUGCAUAAUUAUAACCGGCUGCCAAACGAUCCCCUAGUUUUCUAUAGUUAAUGCAUUAUAAAUUGCCCAUUAUAAACAGAACCUAUGGAAAACUUUCUUCCCCACUCCAUUAUUCAACAAGCACAAAGAUUCAAGAAAGCACCCAAUAUAUAAUUAGUGGCAACAAAUAUACAGAAGCAAAAUAUAUAUAUAUCAAAAAAAGAUACUAUCUUUGAACAUUCAAGAAAGUACCCAACAUAUAAUUAGUGUUAACAAGAAAGAAAAUUGAUAAAAGUUCUAACCUUGUAGAGAAAAUUACUCUGUCAGCAAUGGCUGCUUUAGUCGUUUAGCUUUCUAUUUUAGUUUUCUGCAAAUGGGUUUUAGCCUUAAGAGAAAAAAAAUCAAACUUUAAGGGCAAUUUUGUCUUUUUGUAAAUAUUACUAUAUGAUACUCAUAUUUCAUAAACCCUUUUUCCUAUUUUCUUGUAUGUAGGGUUUAAGGAAGCUGCAGACACAGAAAGAUGUGUGGGAUAGCAGUCAUUGUGUCUGGAAUUAAGAUAAUUUUAUCUUCUUUAGACCCCAAUUUUGUCUCUCCAGUACCUCUAUUGGAACAACAGGUAAUAAUAUACUACUCUCUUAGUCAACUCGUAUUAUUUUGCUGUAGUUACUGUUGUGUUACUAGCUUUUAUUUUUGUUAAUAUUUAUUAUUUCUUGUACUUUUUUUACUUCGUCAUCUCUAACUUAGGUAAAGUCUGCAUAUACUUUAGCCUUUCCGGACCCCACGCCCACUUUAUGGGAAUGUACUGGUAUGUUAUUGUUGUUGUUGUCGCUUACUGAACUAACCAUUGAUGCAAGAACAGCAAAACUGCAGCUUUAUUAGGCUUAUUUUACUUGUGAUUUUUACAUUUAUCACUCCUUUAUGUAUCUUUGGAUGAAGCCCUUUUGAUGCUACAUCUAAAUUAAGUUAAAAAACAGCAAUUAGAAGGGGCAAAAGCAGCAUAUAAACUGUCCACAACCAGUGGCAAAGUCAGAAAUUUCGUUAAGGUUGUUCAAGAUUUAAUCUAUACGUAUGUAAAAUAAUUUUUGACCUAUAUGCUUCGUAUAGUAUUCUAUAUUCAUAGUAAUGGAUUUUUCGAUGAAGGGUGUUUGAUGGGCCACCCUUCACUACGUGUGGCUGCGCUACUGUCUGUAACUGAAAAGGGAAAUUAGUGAAAGCUAGUUUUGGUUAAAGAAUUGAAAGAAAGGAGCUAUCUAUGCACCUUAAUUUGAGGAAAAAUUGGCUUGCAAGAGUGUGGCCUAUUGGUCAAUGAAGUGGGUUGAGAACCACGAGGUCUUAGUUUAGUUUCAGAGUUGAAUUACUCGAGGUGGUGGCAGAGUUACUUGGUAUCUGUUGCUGGUGAGAGGUGUUUCGUGGAAUUAGUCGAGGUGUACACGCGCUGGCCCCGACACCAUGGUUAUCAAAAAGCAUGAGGAAAAGUUGAUGUCUGAAGUUUCUAAAGUUGCUAUUUUUGCAUCACUCCUUUCAGUAUGUUUAGAUGAACCCCAUUUGCUGCUACAUCUAAAUUAAGUUUAAAAAACAGCAACUAGAAGGAGCAAAAUUCAGCAUAAAAAUGCAAGCAACUGAAAAGGGAAAUUAGAGAAAGCUAGCUUUGAUUAAAGAAUUGUAAGAAAGGAGCUAUCUUUGCACCCGAAAGAGGAAAGCUUGAUGUGAAGCUGCUAAAGCUGUUAUCUUUUUUACCCCUCCUUUCUGUUUUGUUAGACGAAUCCAUAUGCUACAACAUCUAAAUUAUGUACAAGAACAGCAACUAAAAGGACCCAUCUAUGUAGUUUUGAGGAAUGAUUUAUGAAGUUUCUGCUUUUGUUUUUCUUUAGAAUCUUUUUGCUUGAUCGGCCUAUGUUCAUAUAAGUCAACUGAAGCAAAAACAGCAUAAGAACUGCCUGCAACUGUGAAGGGAAUUUUUAGAAAGCUAGCUUUGAUAUAAGAAUUAAAAGAAAAGAGAUAUUUUUUCACCUUAAUGAGGAAAUAUUUAUGCGAAGUUUCUAAAGUUAUCUUUUUCAUCACUCCUUUCGAAUAAUGAGAUGAGCCCAUUUUGCACAACACCUAAAUUAAAGAAAGAGCAAUUAGAAGGAUCUAUCUUUGUACCUGAAUGAUAAAUGAUUUAUUAAGUUUCUGUUAUUGUUAUUCUUUAGAAUCUUCUUGAUUGAUCUGCCCAUUUUUAUACAAGUCUCAAAUGAAUCAAAAACAGCAUAAAAACUGCCUGCAACUGGAAAGGGAAAUUUUAAAAGGAAGUUGUUAUCACUUAUCGCAUCACUCAUUUCCGAAUCGUUAGAUGUACCCCUUUUUCUGCAACAUCUAAAUUAAGUAGAAGAACAACACUUAAAAAAGGCCAUCUUUUAGCUUUAUUAUGAAUGAUUUAUGAAGUUUCUGUUAUUGUUUUCCUUUAGUAUCUUUCGACUGAUCUGCCCGUUUCUAUACAAGUCUCAGAUAAAGCAAAAACAACAUAAGAAUUGCCUGCAACUGAAAAGGGUAAUUAGAAAAGCUAGCUUUGACAAAGAAUCUUAAAAAAAGAGCUACCUUUCCACCUUAAUGAGGAGCCCUACUUCCCUCUUUCCGACCCCAUCACUUCAAUUCAAGGGCAAAAGAUUGAUGUGAGGUUUCUAAAGUUGUUAUCCUUUUCAUUUUUAAGAGUUAUCUUGUAGAGGCUGAUAAUGUUUAGUAUUGUCAUUAGACUUUGUUUUCAGUGGAUGACAUAAAAGGGGUGUUAAGAAGAAGGGGUCCAGAUAAUUUGGGAUGCAAGAAAGUAUUACUUCGUUCUGGGGUUUCAGCUUUACCAGGUGGAGAGCAAGAUAUAGUUGCCUUUGUGGAGGAUGAAGAUGCAAAUGACGGAGAGAAUUCUCAUAUGGGUGGUGGUGGUGGUAAAGAAUUCAUUGAAGAGUUGCAAUUUAUUGGUGCUACGUUACAGCUUAGAGGCAUAAGUCCAAUCAUUCAACCAUUGGUGGACAUGUCAGGGAACAUCCUUGUUUAUAAUGGUAAUACAUUGCGUUUGAUCCAUUACCAACAUGAUAGACUGAAGUGUCUCUUGGAUUUCUUGCAUCUUGACUUUUUUGUGCUUCAUAUAUUUUAUUGUCAACUUAAUUGAUGGUUAACUUUGGAGAGUUAAAUACUGUACACAAUUAUGUAGUAUUUGUUCCUCUUCACUUUCAAGUGACUGGCCAAAUGCAGAUUCUGCUAUUUUAGUUUUCUUGUUUGCGAGAAUAAUUCGGAUUUCUUUCUUCUCAACCAAGUUGAUUGCUUCAGCGCUUUUUCUUUCUUAUAUAUUCGUCAUUUCUGUCAAAGUAAAUCAUUUUUUUUAAGUAAUGAAAAUAUUGAGACUUAAAUUUUUUAUUUUUUAUCAAAAUAUUAUCCUAUUUACUAAGAGUCUUUUAUUGACUCUUGUUUACCCCAUUUAAAAUGCGUCUUUUAUUGACACUGCUUUGUUUUGCUGUGAUUUUUGUUUAGGUGAAAUAUUUGGAGGCAUCCAAAUGAGUAGUGGUAGCAAUGACACUGAAAUUCUUAUGCAACAUCUAGGACUAUGCGGUUGUCAUGUUUCCUCUCCACAUAAUAAAGCUCAUACUUCUGGAGAAAGGGGAACUUCUGUUCCAGAACUUCUUUCCAGAAUCAGGGGGCCGUGGGCUUUGAUUUAUUGGCAGGUAACUUUUGGUGGGUAAGUUUCUAUUGGCUUAUUAAGCAGGAAAGGCUGCAUCAUUUUUAAACAAACGCUUCUCUGAUGCUCCGCUUACACUUUGCUAUAGAGUAGUUCAAAAAUAUUGUGGUUUGGUCGAGAUGCAUUUGGAAGGCGAAGCCUUCUUGUUCACUGGCCAACAAAGGAGGACCCUCGGUUUCUGCUAUCUUCUGUAUCACCACUUGCCUCCGUAAACGAAAGUUCUGGUAAUACUUCUUCAGCAUCCUACUCGCUUAUUGAUCUCGUUUAACAUAACAAAGAUUUCUUAGAGAAGCUUCAACUUGUUUUAAACAAACAUAAGCAGUAAGUUGUCAUUAUCCUUUAUGGUAACAACUGCAUUAAAUUAGCAAUCGUGAUGAUUGAGCAUGUACAGGCAAGAACAUUUAGUAAUCAAACAUAUCGUUUUGAGCUAAGCAUUUUGGUGAUUUAGCCAUCCUCUAUGAAGUUUGUUGCUUCAUGGAAAUGUUAUUGAAAGUCAGCUCUCUCAAUUGAAAAUUGUUUCUUUUGAGCUUUCGAGCUGUCUAUUAGUUGGAUAGAACAGUUGAUGUUGGAAGAAAAUCGUUGUUGCUUGUUUGUCCAUAGUUCACUACUUCAAAAUUAAAAACAUCAAUGUAAAGUUAUUUGACAUUCUCGCAUACCGACAUGAAAUGAAGAAAAAUGCCAAAUAUGGCAGCGGUUGGUUGUGUAGUCUAUAUUUCCUCUAUCCUUCCUCUGUGAAUGACUGCAAUAUUUUAACUCAGUGUAGCUUUGAUCUUGCAGAAUUUGCAGAUGGAGGCCAAAUAGCCAAAACAGACUUCUGGGAAGAACUUCCAUGCGGUGUAUAUAGUUUGUCUAUUGGUGCUUUAGAAACGGAUGAAGAUUUAAUUGGUGAAGUUUUGAAACAUGACUGGACAGAUCCAAAGCUUAAGGAGUUAAUCACUUGGGAGAGAACUUCUAUCCAACCAAAACCCGAGGACUUGUGUGCUUCGCGCCAAAAGGGUUAUUGCAGGAAAGAGAAAUCGCCGUUAACUCCUUCCACUCUGAUAGAACCUAAGUUAGGUUAAUAUCACAUAGUUAUGCUGUUAAUACCGUUCAUUACAUAUUUGGUGAAUGUAGUAAUUGUGAUUGAACAUUCUGUCAGAGUGUAAAUUGAUUGCAGUCUUCUUCUAAUUGUUACAGCUUCGACAGACUGCCUACUUACAUCGUUACCACACAGGGUAAUGAUUGCGUUACAAGAGUCGAUGAUGCGACGCACUGCAUUAAAUACAAUCUACCAGGUCUGAAACUGAUUUUCUUUUGUUUUCUGUCUCCACCCAAUGGUUAGAAAUAACGUUUGACUCCCCCCUGUUGAUACAUGUAUUAAUCUUAGAAGCCCUUUAAUGGAACAGGAAAAGCAUAAGCUGCUAUAUUAGCUUUCUGAAUUGACAUAAUUCUUGGGUAAUGUGUAGGCCACUUCAGUUGAUUACACAAAUAAAUACAAUACUCCAGUUGCCGUGCUCUUUUCUGGUGGAUUAGACUCUAUGAUAAUUGCUGCAUUACUAGAUAAGUGCAUGGAUGCCAAAUGUAAGUGUUUCUGACAGCCCUUUUGUUUGAGUUACGAAUAGAAAAUUCUUCAAUUUCCUUUCCUGUUUGUUUUACCUGUGGAAUGUUUAAUCUAGUUAUGGUCAUUCUGGUGUUAUACUUGUAGAUGAUAUUGAUCUGCUAAAUGUAAGCUUUGACGGUCCAUUUGCUCCUGAUAGAGUCUCUGCUAGGGCAGGUUUAAAGGAACUUCAAAAAAUUGCGCCAUCAAGAAGGUAUCCAUUCCCCUUCUUGCUUUUGUUUGUACCAUUAGCCACUGGAUUUCUUCUUGAGAAAUCAGUAAGAUGACACACUUAUAUCUGAAAACGCAUGCUGAUAAUGCCCGGAAUGAUGAAUCUAACAAAUUAGUAGCCCAGAAUUAAAUGCAACCACAUUAUUGUGAAGAAUAAUUGGGCAUUGAAGGCAGCCAAAGAUGUGCCUAGUGGUCAAUGAAGUGGGUUAAGAACCAUGAGGUCUUAGGUUCAAACCCCCAGCGGAGAUUUAAAAAACAGUAGGCUAUUUCUUCCCAUUUGUUCUAGCCUUGGUGGAUAGAAUCACCUGACACCUGUUACUGGUGGGAGGUUGCAUGUAUCUUGUGGAAUUACUUAGGGUACGUGCAAGCUGGCCCGGACACCACAAAAAACAAAAACAACAUACCAAGUGUAAUCCCACAAACGGUGUCUAUGAAGCAGUCUUAUCAAAAGUGAAAAGCGCAAAAAAAGGCUCAAAGUUCUGAUGGGGCUUAAAGCGCAAAUAAAAGUGUGGGCUUCAAUGAUAAAAGGCACAAAGGGAGAAAAAGUACAAAUAUUUAUGUUUAGUCCAAGACUAAUAACUAUAAGCAUGAAUGACAAAUAUAUGAACAAAGAAAACGAUAAAGUGAUAUAUCAAUAGUUUAGUGUCGCCUCUUCAGCUGAGUCUCAUUGGCAAGGAAAAGUAUGCCUUAGAAACUUGAUGACGACAGUGAAGCGCACAGAAAGCGAGGCGAAGUGCUCAACACCUUUUGAGCUUCGCUUUAGGGCUCAAGCACGCCUUUGAUAACACUGCUGGGGAGGUUAGUGUUUACACAGACCUUACCCAUAUAGGUAGAGAAGUUGUUUUCUAUAGACUCCCGGCUCAAGAAACUCCAGUCCUAUGCAGCCCAGAAACAGAAGUACAUGGAACAACAGAGAAUAGCAAAUAGCAAAUAGUCACGGAAUGAAAACUACAACAAAAUAAUAGAAUAAUCGAGGUACAGGCAAAACAGAAGUAAAAAUAAAAAGCGGGGAUUGAAGAAGUUUGGCAAUCUAAGGAAUGACCCUACUUAAUGUACCUUCUAUAGACACAAAGAUAUUAGGUUGCUCAUGUGAAAGGAAAACAUUUUUAUGCAAUGCAACUUGGUUUUGCCUCUUCUAUUUUCUGUAUUUUUUCUUUCUUUUUGAGGUUUGUUCAUCAUAAAACUGAGUUGCAGAUGGAAACUUGUAGAGAUUGAUGCUGAUUUGCUGAAGCUGACCUCUGAAACGAAGCAUGUUAUGUCACUAAUAAAUCCUGCAAGUACCUACAUGGUAUCUUUCAAAUCAAUACCUCUAUGAAUAUGUCUCUGUUACUUUGUCAUUUUGAACCUCGAUCAAAUUGCAAAAUUAUUUUUUCCUUGCCUCAGGAUCUGAAUAUUGGUACUGCUCUGUGGUUGGCUGCUGGUGGUGAGGGUUGUUUGCAAGAUGAAACAGGCAACGAUGAUACCCGUGACCAUGUCAAGUACAAAUCUGCGGCUCGGAUUCUCCUAGUUGGUGCUGGGGCAGAUGAACAAUGUGCUGGAUAUGGUCGGCAUAGGACAAAAUAUAGAAACGGAAGGUGAAGUUUUCCUGUGUAUCAAUUUUUCCCAUCUCCCACCGUCUAAAAUAUAGAUUUGAGUAGAGUUUGGUGUGUAUUGAUAAUGUGCCAACAUCUUCUCUCUGUUUAAUACAUUCCCGUUAGACUCAUUGUUGUGAUAUCCACUGCAUCCCCGUUAUAUGUAGUUUUGCCUUCCUCAAAAGUACUUGGAGCAACUAACACUGGGAUGCAUUCACCUCUUGUUGAUAUAAUGUUGCUACUUACUCCUUCAAAGAAGUUGCUUAAAGAGGUAAUUGCUCAUGGUCUAAUCCGUGCUCUUUUGGUGCUGUAUCAGCUGGUUAGGUCUGAAUGAUGAAAUGAAACUAGAUAUGCAGAGGAUUUGGAAGAGAAACCUAGGGAGAGAUGACAGGUGUAUUGCUGACAAUGGGAAGGAGGUACUUGAAUUGCUUAAAUCGAGUACUUUCUUAUAUUAUAGUUACUUUCUGAAUUUAUUUUCUAUUCUUGCCAGGCCAGGUUCCCAUUCUUGGAUGAGGAUGUCAUCAGGAUUUUGCUAGAUAUUCCGUUGUGGGAGAUUGCUGACCUUGAUCAACCAAUUGGUAUUGGUGACAAGAAAAUCUUGAGAGAGGUUAUCUUCACCUCUGAGCUUUAUCUUAGAUUAGAUUUUGAAAUUGCAUUUAACAAUGAUUGAGAAUUGAUAGUCUUUAUGGUGGAUGUCGUAAUCCUUUGUUUAUAUCUGUACUCAGUGUUGCUUCCUCCCUCCCCCCUUCUGAAAUCUCUCGCUUAAAUAUUUUUCUCUUGCAGGUUGCACAUUUACUUGGUAUAUCUGAAGCAGCCUCUCUGCCGAAAAGAGCAAUUCAGGUAUAUAUUAUUUGCUCUUUAUCUGUCGUUGCGUCGAUAUUCUCUUACUCAUAUAUGAUUCACAAAAAGCCAUCUUAAUUGAGGAGUUUUGUUUCCAAAAUGCAUCAAAGUUGAUCGCGAUAAUUUCUUUUAAUCGUAUAAAGGUAUCACAAUAUAGAUCUCCUUUCCAUUCAUCCUCUGCACAGGCAGUUCUUGUGUGAUAAGAACUUUCUAUUAUGCUUGUCAUACUUUUGAUAUCCAUUUUGCCAAUAGAAUUAGCAUUCACAAUCAACUUGAUUAGAAUUUUACAUACCAUUUGUUGCUUGUUAGAGUAACAUUCUAAAAGUCUUAACAAUGACAAGUUUACUCAACUAUGCUUUAACUUUUUCUCUCAGUUUGGUUCAAGAAUUGCGAGAGAAUCAAAUCGGAAGAAUUUUGGAAGCAACCGUGCAGCCAAUCAAGCAUCUGCCGGAAGUGUGACAAUACAUGGGAACAACUCAUAAUCACGUUUAUAUAAACCAUAAAUCACAGUUCUUUUGCUGGAGCUUUAUCAACUCCAGGAAUCAGGACCACAAGUCAAGGUCGACAACACACAGCUGGUUUCAUAAUAUUUAUUCGAAUGAUGACGGAUCCCGCAUAUUAUUUUGAAUGACAGUUUUUGGCAGUCCAGGAUCUAGAUGCCAUCUCUCGUCUUCGUAUUCGAUACAGUGAAUACUUGUCUUUGAUCUUUUGGUUGAACGAUACAGUGGAGCACUCAGGUUUUCUCGGAAAAAUUAAGUAGAAUUAUUAGUCAAUGUAGUUUCUACUAGGUUGUGCCCAUUGUGUUUCAACUUUCUAUAGGGUCCCCUUUAAUUAUGUUGCACCUGGUGAAAAUAUCAAGCACACAACAUAUUUUUUCACUCGAUUGAUGCAUUUUCCCCCUUUGUUUGUUGUUUAUAUUAGUAAAUAAUAACGAGUUUUUUAACAUCUAAACUAACUAGUGUGUCAAGAUUAACAAAACUAAACAUGUCUUUACAACAAGAACGGCUCUUGGCUCAGUAAUAACAUCAGGGAUAUUAUUCAUAUUUUGUGAAGAUCGAGAAGGAAAUUAUGUUAUUCUUCUAUACUUUAAGGGCCAACUGACCAUGGCUUGAUGGAACAUACACGUACACCACUCUUAGAAGGAGUAGUAGUCGGUAACUCACCCAUCACAACUAAGUAUUACAAAAUGCAAGGCUGUUUUUGGUUUACCAGUGGCGACUGAUUCUAGUCUCUAGAUGUUACAACAACGUGCUGAUAGAUAUUCUCAUUUCCGAUAGACCCUAGCGAUUGACUAGAUAUUCAUUCUAGAUAUUACAAUAAUGACAUGCGAGACCAUUUUCUAUAGACCCUGGCGACUAACUAGAUAUUCAUUCUGGAUAUUACAACAAUGACAUGCAAGACCAUUUCCGAUAGACAUUCUGGAUGGUACAACAAUGACAUUCGAAACCGUUUCUGAUAUUCGGAGAAAAAAAAAAUGGAUUGAAAAAUUCAUUCUAGAUAUUACAAUAAUGACAUGUGAGACCAUUUUCUAUAGACCCUGGCGACUAACUAGAUAUUCAUUCUGGAUAUUACAACAAUGACAUGCAAGACCAUUUCCGAUAGACAUUCUGGAUGGUACAACAAUGACAUUCGAAACCGUUUCUGAUAUUCGGAGAAAAAAAAAAUGGAUUGAAAACGCUAGAAGGAGGGCUUGAACCUCCGACCUUGUGGUUAACAGCCACACGCUCUAACCAACUGAGCUAUUCCAGCUUAUAUAUUUGCUCUUGCCUAUUAUAUUAAUAUUUUGGUUCCAGUAAUUUUGAUCAUAAAAUUGUGGUUUAUAGCUACUAUUUUUUCAAUUAAAAUUUUUAUAUAUGUAACUGUUCUUAAAUAAAUUUUUUAGAAUUGUUGUUCGAAUUCAUACCAAAAAUUAGAUUCUUCAAUUUUUUUUUUAUUAAAUUCCAUCAAUCUUUUUCAGGAUAGAAGUAUAUUUAGUGAUAAAGAAAAAUCAAUUAAUUAAAAAUUUGUUCUCAUGAAAGCUUAUAAAGAAUUUAAAAAAUCUAUUUAUUUGUCAACAGAAAAAUGUCAAAAUAUUUUAAGGAAGCAGGUUGAUCUUAUUUCAAUAUUUGGAAUAACAUACUCAACCUAAUCCUAUAAGAGAAUAUGUAGAAAAUGAGACAUAUGCAAAUUUUUUCCUACCUUUGUUUCAAUUAGAUCAUGAGUUCAAAAAAAUAUAUAUUUUUCCAAAAAAUAUUUUGAUUUGUUUCUACGUUUCUUAUUAAUGGUCUUUUAUGUAUAUUCUUUCUAUCUUCAUUUAUAUGUAAUUGUUUUAAUGACAAUUCCUAAACCAGUAAUAGGAGUUCAUUCUAAAAUCACAAAACCUUCUCAAGAAAAUAGACUUAAACUAAUGCAUAAUCUUUUUUAUAAAGGUAUUAUUUUAAUUAAUCGAUGCACACUAUACUUCGAUUACUUCAUCGAGUAUCUACUAUUAGUCCACAUCAAUACAAGUGUCACACAUCAUUUUUAUUUAAAUUAUAAUUUUUUUAUACGCUUUAUUUACGGUUAAACUACACUUGAAAUAUGCUAAUCCAACAAUGUAACACAAAAAAAAGUGUCAUAUCAUUUUUACUGAAACUGUAAUUUUUUAUGCACUUUAUUGACGGUUACACCACUUUAAAUAUGUUAAUUGGGCAAAUGAAUCAAAAAGAAUUGUCACAUAUCAUUUUUAUUAAACUUUAUAAUUUUUUUUUACGCACUUUAUUGACGUUUACACUAUAUUUUAAAUAUACGAAUGCAACUAUAACCAAAAAAAAAAAAAAAAAAAAAAAGAAUGUGAAAGGAAAGGACGGAUAACAUGUUCAGUCACUUGUCUUUUGUUGCAUGGUACCAAUGAUUUUCAGCAUUGAUAAGAAUAUUUCGAAAAAUAUAUAUAUAUAUGAAUUAAAUAUUUUUAUGAAGCCACACUAACUCACUUGUCUUUUGUUGCAUGGUACCAAUGAUUUUCAGCAUUGAUAAGAAUAUUUCGAAAAAUAUAUAUAUAUAUGAAUUAAAUAUUUUUAUGAAGCCACACUAACUCACUUGUCUUUUGUUGCAUGGUACCAAUGAUUUUCAGCAUUGAUAAGAAUAUUUCGAAAAAUAUAACUAUACUUUAAAUAUGCUAAUGCGAUUAUAACAUACACACAAAAAAAUAAAUGUAAAAGGGAAGGCCGAAUCACAUGUUCAGCACUAGUCUUUAGUUGCAUGGUACCCAUGAUUUUCAUCAGAGUUUAAGUUCUCUGCACCGUUAGUACACAAAAUAUUUUAUACUAUCAGUUAACUUGACCUGCUAUUAUAGAUUAAGAUAACCUACAAUAGCAAGUCAAUUUUACCUGAUCGUGUAGAAUAUUUUGUACUCUGAUGGUGUGCAAAACUUAAAUUCUUUUCAGCAUAUUUAGGUAAAAAACAAAUUAAAAUCACGAUUGAACUACUAAAUAAUAAAACAUCAAGAAUAUUUCAAAAAUAAAAAUUAUGAAAUAUCAUAAUUUUUAUGAAGCGUUACAUUAGCACUUUGAAUGUGCUAAUCACACAAAAACAAAAGCUAAAGAAAACAAUACGAGAGUGAAUUUUUUCUUACCCACUUUAUUAACAGUUACGCCACACUUUAAAUAUGCUAAGGCGACUACAACACAUACCAAAAAAAAAAAGACACACACAAUGUGAAAGGGAAGGGCGGAUCACAUGUUCGGUCACUAGUCUUUAGUUGCCUGAUUUUCAGCAUAAAUAAGAAAAAAACAAAUCAAAAUCAUGACUUAAUUACUAAAGAUAAAACAUCAAGAAUAUUUCAAAAGAAAUUAUGAAAUAUAAUAAUUUUUCUGAUAAUAUUCAUAUAUAUUUUUAUUAAAAGUUUGAUUUUCUAACUUUUUGAUCUGAUGACUUAGAUUUUUCAAGUAUUAAUUCCUUCAAAUAUUUUUGAUUUCUAACGGAGAAAGAGUCAAAAACAACUUUCAUAUUUAAAAAAUGGCUCAAAAAUAUCCUUCUUCCACCUUUUACUUAAAAGAAAAUUUUACUCUUAUUGUUGGCUCAAUCAUAUAUAUAUUCAAGACAUGAUACUAUUGUUUUAUUUUUAUUAGGAUCUUAAUAAUCUAGUUGAUUGACUAUGAUUUAAAUUUUUAUUUUAUUGAUGAAGAUUCGAUUUUUCACCUUAUAAUAUCUUGCCUUAUUUCCUUACCUUGCCCCAAAUAUAAUAAGAAUUUUUCUAAGAAAAAAUGCUUUAUGUAUGGUAGGUAUAUUUUAUUUUUUUUCCCUUGAAGAGUUAAAACUAAGACUGUUUCAAGAUAAUUCGAAGAAAAAGAGAGAACUUUGAUGUUUCUUCAAAUGAAACUUUAAGAGGUUGUCUAAAAUAAAAAUUGAGUAGCAUAAUAAUAUGGUUCCCUUGAAGCCUUUAAAUUACUCUCCUAAACUAAUUAAAGGCUCCUUUGUAAGACUCCUUCUGACUUAAUUUAGUUGGUAACUUUUUAUUUUACAAGGUAUUUACGAAAUCAUAAAUAUUAUUAUUAAUUUUAUUAAUUUACUCUUUAUUCUUAUGUGCAUAUGAAGAUCAUUUAUGAAAAUUUGCUUACAUUAAAUUGUUUAAGCAUCUAAAGAAUAUUACUCAUUUCCUCCAAUAAUAGUUGUCCACUAUUAACUCAGGGCCGGCUCUACCUGUAAGAAAAAAAAGUGUCCGCCUUAGACCCCCAAAUUUGAGGGACCUCAUUUAUUACAACAAUAUAAUAUAUAUAGAUUUUUUCUAAAAAAAAUGAAUAUUACUUAUAAAAAAAUAUUUUUUUUUAUAUAAAAGAAAAAAAAUUAUUAGAAGAAGUUCAUAUAUCUAGAGUACUAUGGCUCAAAAAGAUUAAAUGCAUUGAUUAUAUUAUUACUUAAAAAGAAUAAUUAGAAAAAAAAUCGAUUAAAUAAUUUUGAAAAUAGAGUUCAUUAAAAGAAAGUUACUUUGUCUUAAAAUUUUAAGGUCUCCCUUUGAUUUUUGCCUUAAGCCACGAAUAUGCUUGAGCCGUCCCUAUAUUGACUUGACACACAAUUUAAGAAAUAAUAAAUAAUAAAAAUGAAUUUACCAUAUUAUCCUUUGAAUAUUUAUUAUUUUGACAAAUACAUUGCAUUAUGAAUGGAGUAUCAUUUAAUACUAAGGGUAAAAUAAGCCAAAAAAAGUAAGUGGGCAUUUGGCCAUAAAAUUUAAAAUUUUUGAAGUUGGAGUUGGAGCUGGAGUCGAAGUUGAAAUUAAAGUUGGAGUUGGCGUUGUAUUUGUCCAUGAAUAUAAUUGGAGUUGCUUUUGAAUUUUCAUGAGAGAAGAAAGAUGGAAAAAAGUGAAAAAAACUUUUUCUUGUUUUCCAUUUUUCCAAAUACAACUCUAGGUUGUGUUUGAAAUUCUCAUGGCCAAACACAACUUGAAGUUGAAUUUGACAUAAAGUGAAUUUUUUUUCGAAAAAGUGAAAAAAAAAUUCAUGGACAAACAGACAUAAAUUAUCCAUUCGUUUUUCAAACUACGCAAGUAUUGUUGGACAUCUGCUUUUAGUAUGGUGGAUAAGUAUAGUUAGGCAGAAGGAGUAAUUAUAGAAGUAAAAUGGAAUAUUUUUAAUAAUUUUGUCUUGAUUUAAUAAGUGGACAAAUAAUUUAAGAUAUGAAUUUAUAAUAAAGUGACCAAUUAAAAUGGGACAGAGAAAGUAUUCUAAUAUAUAUAGAAGAGGCUUGGAAGCAGGAGGAGGUCGUCAUACUUGCUUCCUCCGUAAUUUACCAUAUCACCCCUAAUUAAUUAUUAUAUGUCAUUUAGGUAUUAAAAAAUUAAUAAUAUUUAACAAAAAUAUAAAAUAGACUUUUAUGACAUGUCCGUUUCAGCUGCUUCAACCGUAAUUUUACUAUUUCAUCCUAAUUAAUUACUAUAGGUCAUUUAAGUAUUAAUCCGUGAUUUUACUAUAUCACCCCUAAUUAAUUAUUAUAUGUCAUUUAAGUAUUAAAAAUUAAUAAUAUUUAACAAAAAAUAAAAUACACAUUUAUGACAUGACUGCUUCAGUUGCUUCAACCGUAAUUUUAUUAUUUCAUCCCUAAUCAAUUACUAUAACUCAUUUAAGUAUUAAAAAAUUAAUAAUAUUUAAUAAAAAAUAUAAAAUAAACAAAAAAAAAAGAUAAACAAACUAGUGAAGUUUUAAAUUAAUUUGACAUCUUAUAUAAGGCCUGUCUAAAUUUUUUUCACAACUGUUUUUUAUAUUAAUUUUGUUAUACCACUUCUAAUAAGUUAUUUCCUAAUUGAUUAUUAUAUGUUUAAUAAAAAAAUAAAAUAAACAAAAAAAAUAUAAAUUAAUUAUUGAUGUUUUAAAUCAACUUGACAUCUUAUAUGAAGCCCGCUUAAAUUUUUUUGACAACUAUUUUUUAUAGUAAUUUUAUUGUAUCACUUCUAAUAAGUUAUUAUGAGUCAUUUAAGACAUGUCUACUUCGAGACUUCAAUCAUGAUAUUUGAUUGACUCUCGAAAUUCUAUCAGUGUCACUAAAAUUGAAAUAAAAGAAAAAGUAUUAUAAAUUUCAAUAAUUAAAAACUUAAAUUAUUCUCAAAAUAUUAUAGACUAUCAAUGUUACAAAACUUUGGACAAGGAGAAUAUUAUAAAUUAUAAUGGCUAACAAUUUAAAAUAGUAAAUUACAAUGUCAAAAAACUAUUAUAAAUUACAAUAGCUAACAACUUAAAAUAUCUACAAAAAUAUUUAAAAGAUAAUUAAUUAUCAAAAUUUUAUUUGUAUCAUAUAAAUUGAGACUAAAAAAUAACAUAUAUUGGCACGGGCCUUCGAUAUCUGGUAGAAUUAGAAGGAAGCAUAAGAUGUGUCCAAGAUCAAGUGCCAAAGGGCUCAAUGAUUUGUUUUAUGGGUGAGUUUUAGUUUAAUUCCGAAUUAAAAAAAAGGAAAAAAGAUAGAAACGACACUUCAAAUUAAAUUAUUUUCAUGAAAAUGACCAUGAAAUUUAAUUUCCACGUUCUAGCCAUUUCAAUUUAUUGAUUUGUUCUAUCUCGUUUCUACACACCUUCUAUACAGUUUCUACACAAAUCUUAUACAUAUAAGUAUUCCAUACGAAAAUUAUAUAGUUUUGAUACACAAUUUAUACAAUAACUGUACAUAUUUUUUUACACAUUUUAUACAACAAUUAUAUAAUUUUCAUACACUUUCUAUAUAUUUUUUAUAUAUAUUUAAUACAUAAACAUAUUUGAUAGAACUAUGUAAUUUAUAUACAUAUAUCUUAUAUUGAUACAUAUUCUAUUUAACAAUUAUAUCAUUUUUAUAUAAUUUAAUUAUUAUUUCUAAACAAUAAAAAAAAGAAUAUUUGAUCAGUUAAAAAAUUUAUAGCAAAAAAAAAUUGAAAUAGUUUUAAAAGGGCCGAAUUUCCCAAGUUGAAUAUUGUAUCAGUAUUGUAUAUAGACUGUAUCAGUAUUGUAUAUGGACUGUAUAUGAACUACGUAGGUCAAAAUGACCCAAAUUAGGAAAUGACUAUAAAACAAAAAUAGUAUAUCCGACUGGCCACUCUUUGAAAAGUUUUCAAACUUGGGUUAUUUGUUUUAAAAAGUGUUAGAGAGUGUCCUUUUUCCUUAAAAAAUGGUAAAUUAUAACACCUUAUAUAUCUAUUUAAAAGGUGAAAGGAGAAUAUUUGAGAUCUCAUUUUCAUAUGUCAGGGUUAUUUUGACAUUUUCUGUAAAUAGAAAUAACUGAUUUGAAAAAAUUGAAAUUAAAAAUGCAAAAAGAAAUAUUCAAAAAUAGGAAAACUAAAAGAGAAUGGAUGUACGAUAAAAAACUAAAAAGGAAAAAAUCAAAACAAAUAGAGUAGUGUUAUGAUAUAUAUCAAGGAAAAAUUGCAGUUUAUAGAUAAAAAUCUUUUAUAAUUACAUGGUAUGGACAAUGUUUUAAAUAAUUACAAUUCAUGAGUAAUUGUUAGUUAAAAUUCUAUUUUAUGUGGCUCAUUUAUACAAAUAUAUUUUCUAAUGUAUAUAACAAAGGCAAAUUAAAUUUUCUCUCUCAUAAUUAAUAUUUUAUCUCAACCUUAGCUGGUAGGAGAGAUAUGCGGCAAUAGGUAUUUCCUUUUAUCUUAUUGGACGUUAUGGAUAGUAGAAGCUAAAAUUUUGUGAUAAUCUCCUCUAAGUUUUAUGCUCAAGAUUGUGAUAAUCUCAAAAUUUUGUUCCAUUGAAAUAUCAAAGAAUAUAUUUCUGACUAUUUCUUCUCCCUAAUUUUCUCAAAUAUUGUGUUCUUCACCCACACAUUAUCUGUUUUUUGUCCAUUGAAGAUUACGUUGAAGCUUUGUUCAUCCCUAAAAAUUUGCAUAGAUUUGAUUUAAAAAAUUUUUGCGGUAAAUUUCAUAUCUUUACGGAUAUAUAUGUUUGUUUUUCUUGUUUUUUUAAAGUUAUUCUCUACAUUACCCACCAAUUUUAUUCAGUUUUUUAUAUAUUUACAGUGUUAAUUAGGUGUUCAAGUAAUCAAUUUCUAGUUUUCCAAAUGGAUGGGGAAACCCCUUUUAGGAGAGUAACAAGAGAUAUUGUUCAUAUAGAUAAGACUAAUUGUGGUACUCUAUCGUUUGAUUUGGGGGUUUCUCAAUUGGACAGUGAUAGCGUAGGUUUUAUAGCGGAAUUGAAAGAACACAAGUUGAAAGUAGACUCGAAGAAAAAGUGUCAAUGACCAUGUUAAUAUUCGAAAUAGCAUGGUAGAUUGUCAAUCAAAAGACGAGUUAAUCAACGCUUCAAAAAUAUCAAUGGUCAGUACAAGUGAAUCAAAAAAAAGGAAAAGAAAUGGCAACUUCUAACAAUAAUGUAAGAGUAAAAUAUUUCAAGGUUUAUCAAUUCAAAGCGGAGAGUAACAAUGUUGAGAUUCAACAUAAGGUAUUUUUGUAUAUUUAUCAAUUAAUUUUUUUUGUAGUGUAGUUUGUUUAGAAUGUCAUAAUGUUAAGGUUUUGUAUGUGUACGUUUAUAUUUGGUGUAAAGAUAUAUACAUAUAUCGACAUCAUACAGUUAUCAUUAUGUAAAUAUAACCAUAUAUGUAAAUAUAUACAUAUAUACAUACAUACAUACAUAUAUAUAUAUAUAUAUAUAUAUAUACAUAAAGUUAUACAUAUAUUUAAUUCGGUCAGCAUAUAAAAUUUUUAUAUGUUUAAGAUAUAUAAUUGUAUACAAUUAGUUUCAGGAUGAGGCUUUAUAUAUAUUUUAUAAUUUUUUUCUUGAUCAUUUAUAUUCUUUUUGGUUGAUCAUUUGUGUUUUUUUGGUUCAAUAGGAUAGUAGUUUUAUCAUCAUAGAUCUUUCUAAGAAGUCCCCGUAUGUUGCGUGUUAUGUGAAGUCUUCAUUGUUGCAUAUGCGGAGUAUCUUAGCCAUGAAAAAGGUAUACCACCUGAAUAUUUUGGUGCAGAAGCUUUUCGUACCCGUUAUGCUGCUCUUCUAUGGCAGCAUGGAACUCAGAAGAAUGAGAUUGACGCAGUUAGUGAUGAUGAGAGUUCGGAUAGGCUAGUGAGGCCUUAGUUUGAGUGUGAGAGUAGUGACAUGAUAAUUAUCCCUUAGACAGUACAUAUGUUCCUCCAUUUUGUUAGUUUUAAUUGAAAAUACAAACUGAUCUUCAACCUUUUUUUGUUUAAUUCUAAUAUCAAAUAUAAUAUUUUAUUUUAUUGAAAAUUGUCCAGUAACGUAUUUUUUGCAAUGCUACAUUAGUUUUUGUUAUAAGUGUGUUGUCUAAAGAAUACUAAUAAUACACAUAAUAAUGUGUAUGUAUUAGAUAAUUGAAUAUGUCUCAUAGAUGAGACAUGUAACACGUAUUUAUAAUAGUCUUUGCCUUUUUAGCAAUUGAAAUCUCUAUUGAUUAGUUAGUGUUUGUUUAUAAUUAUACAUUUAUUACGAAAAACUUUUUUUUUUUUUAUAUAAAACUUUGUAUAUCUAUAGGUUAUUAAAAUAAGUCAUGAUGGUAUAUUACCAAUCUUUUCAAUUGUUAUCUAUAAGUAAAUACCAUAUUUUUAAAUGCACAAAUUCAAUCUCUUAAGUUGCGACUGACAUUUAUUUUGACCCAUAUACUAUCUUGUAGAAUAUGGUCUACAUACAUACAUAUACAUAUAUACAUAUGAUAGAUUAAAUGAGGGUUAAAACCAACUGCAUAUUACUUUAGACCGCAUAUAUGGUUAACGACUGCAUUACUGAUAUUUUAUUUAUACAUUUGGAGCUAUUCAAAUAAAAGUUAAACAUAAACAAAUUAAAAUUUAUACAGUUAUAUAAGUAUAUUUAUAUACAUAUAUACAUAUCAACUGACAUUCCUACAUAUAUACAUACAUACAUACAUACAUAUCAACUGUAUGAAUAGAAACAUAUAAUAACAACUGUAUGUAUCUAAUUAGAUAAUAAUAGGAAUAAACUUAAUAAACUUAUCCAUAUUAUAUAUACAUAAAUACAUAAAUAAAUAAGUAUAUUUUUAUCAUAAGACAAAAUCAUGUACAAAAUAAAAACACAAAUACUUUAAUACGAUAAAUAUACUUACCCGACAAUAAUUGAUUGUAUUGUAUUGAAUCGAAAUCUAUUUCUGAUCGCAUAAAGCGUCGUCACCGAAUUUAAAGUGGCUUUGUCCUUAUAAACUUGACCAACGAGCACUUCGUUAUGAUUUGGAUCAGAAAUAAUUAUCCGAUCAUGUCCAUUUAUAUCAACAACUUCAAUUAAUGCCUCAUCAUCUCCGGAAUUCUCUUUUUUCUCAUUAACAACAAAAAUUUCGCAUGCAACAUUCGAGCAAGCGCUCUUGUUUUCCAUGAUUUUAUCAUAUACAGAAACACAUAAUGGAUAGUUUUUGAAUUCUUUUUCUUAUUUCCGUACCAUUACAUAAACUGUCAACCCCAUGUCGUUACGUAUCUCCAUUCUUUUACUGCUAAAUUAAACUUUAUAGUCAACUUUCAAUAUUUUUAAAUUCAACUCAAUACAAAGUUGCUUACCAAUCAAUUAAAUCAAACCAUCGGAUUUUUCUGUUUCUUCAAUUGCAAUUGAGUCCGACUCAUACUGUUCAUACUCAUUAUAACAGCUUCAUACGCCUGAAUGCUUCAGAACAAUUAGUAAUUACCCCAUCCUUUUUUAAAAAAUUCUGUAAACAAAUACAGUAUACAAAUUGUCAGUAACUGUGAAUUCAAAAUAAACUAACAAUUAUAAGGUUUCAAAAAUUGUAAAAAUUCAUGUGUUAGAUCACAAAUUGAAAUGGCAGUAUAGAUCGUGUAUACAUUAACGAAAAAUAGUGAAUCAAAAUAUAUUGAAAUUCAUAUAAUUUAGCCAAAACAAUAAAAACACAAAUAUAAGCGCAAAUACACAAUUUUAAUUUUCAAAAAAUCGUCUUUCAAGAAUUUUUAAAUGAAAUUUGAAUUGAGAAAAUACCUGUUAAAAUUUGUUGUCGAAUAACUUCUCUUUCUUUCCAACAUAAAUCUUUUUAGCUUUAAUACAACCAUCUUCGCAGAUAAUAAGCUUUACUGCUCAGUAAUGGAUGAGAAAUUAGUGGAAAGUUGGAUUAAUUUAAGGUAAUUUAUUGCUUUCAAAUUUCCUUUUUUAUCUCCUAUUUCAGUUAGGUUAUUUUUCUUCUAAUUUAUAUAAUUCUUGUAUAUAUACAAAUAACUAUUAACUACUUUUACCUAUAAUUUGUAAUUAUUGUAACUUUCACUAGGAAGUUAGUUAUAGGUCUUAUACUUUGCCUAUAUGUGAAUUUUUACCAUAUAUCAAUUAUAGCGAAUGUCUAUCAAGAUCUAUUUGUUGUCUAUCAGGAUUUGAUGAAUUUGUCUUUUAGUGUGAAACUAGGGGGCAAAUUUCCUCUAUACGUAGAAAAGCUUCCUUCAUUGUAAAUCAUCCCUCAAUAGAAGAAAUAAGAAUCACUCUCUCUAUUCUCUCUAUUCUUCUACUUAUUCUUUAUUGGUUUAUAACACGUUAUCAGCACGAGACUCUACCGUCUCAAAUUUGAAGGUUAAGGCUAAGGUAUUAUUAUUUUUCUUCCAGUUUUUUUUAUGGCUAACAAUCUUACGAAGUGUGAGUUCGUUGCCCUUCAAAGUUCAGGCAAGAACUAUAUUUCAUGGGUGUUGGCUGUUGAAAUUCACCUAGAUGCUAUGGGUCUUGGAGACGCCAUAAAAAAUAAAAAUACAGCAUCUAGUCAAAAUCGUGCUAAGGCUAUAAUUUUCUUGCGUCAUCAUCUUGAUGAAGUUUUGAAAAUUGAGUACCUUACUACUAAGGAUCCACUCGUAUCGUGGAAUAGCCUAAAAGAAAGGUUUGACCACUUAAAGAUGGCCAUCCUUUCGAAAGCACGAUAUGAGUGGAUGCAUCUAAGAUUUUAAGACUAUAAGUCUGUUCAUGAAUACAAUUCUGCCAUGUUUAGAAUUUCUUCUCAAUUGAAACUAGGUAGAGAGACGGUUAAUGAUGACGAUAUGAUGGAAAAAACACUCUCCACUUUUCAUGCCUCGAAUAUGCUAUUACAGCAGUAGAAUCGAGAAAAAGGUUUCAAGAAGUAUACUGAACUGAGUUCUCAUCUUCUCAUGGAUGAACACAAUAAUGAUUUGUUGAUGAAAAAUUAUGAGAACCGACCAACUGGAUCUGCACCAUUCCCUGAGGUGAGUGAUGUGCACGCUCACCAUGCUAGGCGUGGAAAAGGUCGCAGCCCUGGUCGUGGACUUGAUCGUGGUCUUGGUUGUGAUGACCAAGAAAGAAACCCUGUUACGGGUGUUAAUCAUUCAUCUAAUAAAAAGAAAAAAGAUGAGAACGUGAAACAAUUACUUAUUUCUGAUGUGGUGGAAAAGGACACUAUUCACGUGACUGUCGUGCUCUCAAGCACUUAGUGGAACUUUAUCAAGCAUCACUAAAGAAGAAAGAGAGAAAUCCCGAGGCUAACUUUCUCUCUGAAAAUAAUGUUGAUAUCACAUGCUUAGAUGUAGCUGACUUUUACGAGCACCCUUAAGGAAAGAUUAAUCACUUGAUUGGUGAUAGUUCCGUAAACAUGGAAGAAUGGAUGCUUUUAAUUUUUUUUAAUUGUUGAUAAGAGUUAGAGAAUAAAAAUCAUGUAAAAGUAGUUGUUUGCAUGAGUAUUGAUUUUUAAUUCGUAUUGUCACACCCCUUUUUUAACAACAAAAAAGAUUCAUUUUAAGUUUGAAAAGAGUUUUUAUUACUAAAGUGACAAGAGAUUGAAAAUUUGUUUCGAAAAAAAAAAGAAUUAUUUAUAUUUUUUAUUCAGAGUCGCCACUUGACAUAAUCCGGCGUGUCAAGUCACCUUUGAAAGAUCCUUUUCAAAAUAAUUUUUGACUCUUUUAAACUGAUCCGCGAACAGAGAUUCCGGUUAAGGAAUUCUGUUGACCGAGGGGAAGGUGUUAGGCACCCCUCGAUCCCGUGGUUCGACCACGAUCGCUUGGUGGGGCAUAUCGGCUAAUUUGACACUACAAAAUGUAUAAACCACACAAAAACAAUCAAUCAAACAAACAAACAAAACAAAUCUGAAAAUAUAGUGUCCAGUCCAAUUAUUACAAACCAAAAUAAAAAAAAGGUACUGAAAAUUAAACCUACGCUAACCUACACUAAUCCUAAACUACGCUCCAAUGACUUACUUGCUGCUUCAAGCCUUGAUCAUGAGCCUGCUUUGCGUACACAAUGCUUCGGGACAUUCCCCGAUGAAUAAAUACAAAUGACCACGGGACAUUCCCCGCCUAAAUGAAUAUAUAUUCAAAUCUUGUGCGAUAAAGUAGAAAGAAACAUUCAUAAGCACACUCAAUCAUUCAACAAAACACCACCAAAAAUUUGCCUACCCGACUUAGUAUUUGCCUACCCCACUCGACUUAUCAUAAUACUAUCAAGUUUGAUUAACAUUUAUUUCAAGUCAAACAAUAACUCAUGAAUCAAACCAACCAAAAUUUACCCUUUUUUUUUAUCAAGUUUCAAUUCCACCCCCAAAUUCCUUUUUAAUUCUUAACGAGAUAUCAUUUCAUUACACAGUCUAUAACCAAACAACGAAUCGAAACUAACAACUAUUCAUUGCCAACAAUGAUCAACCAACACAUAAUAUUUCAUACAAUGCACCAAAAAUCACAAAUAAUGAAAUAAAAGGAAAAGAAAGUAGAAUUGGACCUCAAUUUGAAGCUUUAUUUCAAUUAAUUGAUCUUUCCUAAUAGAACCACGUCCAAACAGAACCUCAAUGUUGGACCUCAAUCACGAACCCAAAUCAACAACUUUGAUCUCAGACUCCAAUUCACUCGGACCCAAUUGCGAGCAAGGCUCCGUGAAGAACAAACAAAAACAAAAAAAUCAAAAUCGAGGCUCCGAAUGAGGAAAAUCGAAAGCCGGUAUGACUGUUUCCAGAUGAUAGUUAUCUAGAAUCAGCCUGAAAACGACCAAUUCAAACCAGUGGUGACCGGAAUUAAAUGUUUUUUGGUGAAAGGAUGCUAUUUCUGGCUAAGAACGCCAGAACAAUCAAACCCCAUCCCUUUUCUCUCCUCUUUCGCUCAAAUAUCUCCUUCUCCUCUCUGUUUCUUCCUUGCUCCGACCAUUUCUCUCUCUACUCUAUGUGUGUGUGCAGCAGUAGAAAAAGGAGAAGAAAAAUGAAGUCCUCCACAAUGGCCUCCCCUUUUCUGUGAAAUCGCCUAUAUCUAUGGGUGUAUUUGAGAGAUGCACGCCUAUGGCAUAUUCUGGGUCCCCUCCAUUGUUAUGUGGAGUGUAUUGUAUAUAAAAUGGAAAUGGUGAAGUGUUAUAUGGUGGACAAAUUUCAGUGGGGCCCGUGAGUGGAAAAUGUAUAUUGUAUUUAUUGUUAAUGAAAAAAGGCCAUCAGUAGUGGUCCCUCCCUAUGCCUAUAUGCUGCACAAGUAUAUAUUCUGUGAAGCCCUCCAAAAACGUGAGGAUGGGUAGCGAGGUGGGGGUAUACGGGUAGAGAGGGUGGGGUACAGGUGUGGGGUGUGAGGUGGGGUAGUGGUGAGGUGUAAAAAAUUAGUUAGGAUAAGAUUAAAUUUGUUAUGGAUUUGAUUAUUUUUGUAUUUUUGUGGGGUGUGAUCACAUGGGCGAGGGUGUAUGAUAACAUGAGAUAAAAAUAGACGAAUUGAGUUUUCGUUUGGGACAAAAUUAGGUGUCUAUAUCAUGCCCCUCUUUGCAUGUAAACACAAAGUAUUUUCAUACAAAGACGUAGACAACGAGAUAGAAUUUUGAUCGGACCAUUAUUCAAAGGAAACAGAAGGAAGGAGGGAGACCAAGUCUUGAUUUAGGACACCCUACCUACCCAAAUUAUGAGGGAAUCAAGUCAUGGGUAUCUUAAAGGAUUGGAAAGAGAAGACUAUACCAAGUUGGAGAGUCAAGUGAGGUUCCAUCGAGGUUCUGGUAUGCGGCUCUGUCAUUACAUCAAAAAAUGAAAAUUAAAAGUUAAAAACAUAAAUGAAAUUAAAAAAGCUCUAUCUAUGCAGAUUUCCUUGACUCUUGACUUGCUACUUCAUCACCCUAUUCUUCAGGCGGGCUCCUGACUUGCAAUUUCUUCACCGUGUUCUUCAGGCAGGAUCCUGACUUGUAAUUUCAUCACUCUAUUUUUUGGGUGAGCUCCCGACUUACAAUUUCAUCACUUGUUGCUUGUUUUUUAAUUUCUUCACCCUAUUUUUCAGGCGGGUACCUGACUUGCUAAUUUUUGAUUUGCUGACUUUUAAUUUCUUCACUUUGUUACUUGACUUCCAUGUAUUCGCCCUGUUCUUCAGGUGGGCUCCUAAAAUCACAUCAGAACUAAAAAAAAUUAUCCCAAACAAAGAAAUGCAUCUUCUAUGAGUUAAUUGAAACGAUUCGAUUAGAAGCUAUAUCUUAUAGGAAUCAAAGGGGAUGACUCAACUAAAAGGUAAGUCUAUAGGAAUCAAAGGGGAUGACUCGACUAAAAGGUACUUCUUAUAGGAAUCAAGGGAAUGACUCGACUAAAAGGUACGUCUUAUAGGAAUCAAAGGGGAUGAAUCAACUAAAAGGUACAUCUUAUAGGAAUCAAAGGGAAUGACUCAACUAAAAGGUACGUCUUCUAGGGGUCAAGGGGAAUGACUCGACUAAAAGGUACGUCUUCUAGGGGUCAAGGGGAAUGACUCGACUAAAAGGUACGUUUUAUAGGAAUCAAGGUGAGUGACUCGACUAAAGGUACGUCUUAUAGGAUUCAAGGGAGAUAACUCGACUAAAAGGUACGUCUUAUAGGAAUCAAGGGGGAUGACUCGACUAAAGGUACAUCUUCUAAGAGUCAAGGGAUAUGACUCGAUUAAAAGGUACGUCUCAUAGGAAUCAAAGGUAAUGACUCGACUAAAAGAUACGUCUUAUAGGAAUCAGGAGAAUGACUCGACUAAAAGGUACGUCUGAUAGGAAUCAAGGGAAUGACUCGACUAAAAGGUACGUCUGAUAGGAAUCAAGGGAAUGACUCGACUAAAAGGUACGUCUCCUAGGAGUGAAGGUUCAAUUUAAGAAGUGUAUCACCUAGCAAAUGAAAACUGAAAUUCCUGGACAAGUGUGUCUUCGAGGGAUAUAGGAUGAUGAAUUUUUACCAUGAUUUUAUUAUCAAACCUGUGCAGCAAAAUUGCUUCCUACAUUUGUAAAAGUGAGGCAUUGCAGCCCUUGAUGUUUAUGCUUUGAAUUCCCUGCUUUAAAGGUAAUACGUUUCCUGUUUAAUCAAAGAAAACUUGUGAGUUUAAAACAUGGUGGCUGGUUUGUGGCUUUAGCUUUCACGACGAUCGCUCUGGCCCUCGUCACUUUUAACCUUACUUCCAACCAUUAACAUAUAUCAUUGACUUGUUGAAUCAUUGACCCGAACUCAGAUUAUUAAGAGUGACUGAAACAAAUACAGUAUCUCUUCUUUGCCAUGCUUUUCAGAUAAACCCUUUAAACCUUGGUAUUUUUAUGAGUUCCCAAGCUUGUCUGUUGACAAAACUUUCUGCAUGCCUUAUUUGGCUCACAAUCAUGUCUCUUUCAUAUGCUGAGUUUGUCUUACUUUGUGCAACUGAAGAAGCUGGUAGCCAGUUUUGAAAUCUUUUCUCACUUGUUUUGUCAUGGACUUGACUCAAAGACACGAGAAAAAUGACAAUACUUUUUUUUAUUUAGAUAACUGACUCAAGAAAAUAAAAAUAAAAAUAAAGAUAAAGAGAAGAAAGAAAAGACAAUGAAUAUCCCCAUUUGAAACAAAGAAACAAAAAAUUUAUCUAAAAUGACAAUCAACUCUAAUGAUUAUGCCAUGCAUUUGGAUUAAGCUGCCUGAUUUUUCAUCCAAACUUUCACCAAUUGUUGUUGAGCUAAUGACCUUGAAAUUGAGGUACUUCCUUGGGUCAAUUGCAUUCAGAGACCUCAUUCGGCUAGUUACACCUUAAAGGGUUUUCGCCAACAAGCCUCUCUUAUUUUCUUUCUCUCGGCUCACCAUUGUCUUAUGGUAUUCGUGAGGUUUUUUCACCAAUGAGAUUCUCUAAUUUUUAUUUCUCUCAACUCACAGUCGUCUUACGGUGCCCGUGAGGAUUUUCACCGAUAAGACUCUCUUAAUUUUUGUCUCAACUUACCAUCAUCUUACAGUGCCCGUGAGGGUUUUCACUGAUAAGACUCUCUCAUUUUUAUUUCUCUCCUAAUUCUUUAUGCUGAGGAAGACAAGUAGUUCCCAAAAUGCGUCACCACAUCCAUUACAUGCUUAGCCUUAGCAUUUUCAAAGAUUGAUCUGAAGGUCUUUCUUUAGUUGUAGCUUGACUUUUGGAUAGGGUUAGAAAGAAAGGAUGGCAUGGGGCCCAAACUACAGUUGAAGUAGGGUGGGACUUACAACUUUUGGAAUCGACUCAAACAAUGAGGAUUAACCCAUGCCCCAGUUUCUUUUGACUGGGCAAUUCUAAAUUAUUUAUUUGGUUGGAUCGAGCCCAGAUUAGGGUAGCCUAUGUAUCUCACCCCUGAGAGAGGAGAAUCAGGUCACGCGUAGUUCGGCAACUUGUUCUUUUGCUUGAUUCUGAUUUUUUUUGCUAUACUCCUUUAUUGACUUUUUUCUCUUUGAAACUUUCUGACUCUAUUUUUCUCGACACUCCUCUUUACUUUCUUUUUGGACAUAUUUUCUUCUUUUUUUUUCUUUUUUUUUGAAACUUUUCUGACUCUACUGUUUUACUCGAUACUUUUCUUUUGAGUUUUGUUGACUCUAUCUUGAUUCCAAAAAAGGGGUAUGAAAGAAAAUAACACUAAGGCUCAAAUGGGGUAAACAAAGGAUGAUACAAUAUUUGAAUACCAGAAUGAAAUGCCUUCGUCAUAUCAAUCUUUGAAAAUGCCAGUACAUAGCAUGCAAUGUGAAAGUACAUGAUCAAUAUCACUUAUGACAUAUUUUACAACACUAACUUGCCCUGAGCAUAUGUGCCACCUCUUCUUCUACACUUGUCAAACAUACAACUCCACCUUUGUUGUACCUCCCUCACAUUGAAUGAUUUAUGGUUUCAUGGAGUUGGUUUUUGUUCUGUUCCUCGGGAGCACACAUUCGCUAUUUGACCUAAUUGAGCUAGGUUUUUCAAUUGAUGACCAAGUUAUUCUUGUGAUUCUCAAAGUAAUUGCCUUAAUUUUUGAAGAAGGCUUCAACUUGUCACCAAAUGUCUCAACACUCCACCUAUUUUCUCAGAUAUUUUUCCUAACUUUAGCCCUAUGAUUCAAUGUUUCAUGGUUAAGUUGGAUUUUAAGAUCUGGCUGAAAAUUCUGCUAGCAUGUCAUAUCACUAGAAUCAACAUAAAAUGUACUGUAUAAAGAAAACAAACAAAUGAAACAUAUUUAAACACAAAGGGAAAGGGACAAUUCAUUUAGUUGAAAUAAAAGAUAGAAGGGUUUGAACAUAAAUGACAAAGGGACAAAAGAAAAUAGAUCCCGAACUACAAACCUGAAAUAAUUUGGAAAAUAGAAAAGAAGACAAAACAAACUACCAAAUCUCUUCCUAGUAAGGAGAUGGGUGACUUCUCAAUUGCUUAGCCUGAUGACUUAGCCACUGGUUUGCAUAUCAGUAUGACUAGAACUUCCCUAACUGUCAACGUUCUGCACCAUAAUCGAUCCAUCUUGAAUCAUCUUUUUGAUUUUUUUUGCAAAUCUCGACAAUCUUCAAUACUAUGACCCUGAGCAUCAGAAUGAUACACACAUUGUAUAUUAGGAUCAAAAUUUCUUGAACGCCGAUUAUGAGUGCACCCAAGGAGAGGAGUGAUCAUUCCCUAUUAUACCAAUCUCUAAAAUAAACUGACAUACGACUCUCUAAUUGGUGUGAAGCUCUCUCUUGACUUUUGCCUCAUUUCAUCAUUUGAGUUAGAUCGAAAAUUAGGCUUAGAAGGGUUUUGGUAUGUUUGUGGAGUUAGAGGAUGACUCUGAGGAGUUGGUGUGUUCCACUGUGGGUAAGAUGAGGGUUGAAUAUGAGGCUGUGCGUUAUAUACUGGAUAUGGAGGUGGAGGAGCAGAGUAUAAUGGAUUUUGGGAGUGCUUAUGUGGAGCUUGGGCAUGAACUUGGGUUUUUGCCUGAGAGUGACGGCGACGGGGUCUUCUUGACCGUUCCCGCUGUCCAACUACAAUAGCAGAUACAUCUUCCUCAUUCUUUAUCUCUCCAACACUUCCUGAACCCUUUUGAAUUGCUUGAGUAGUCGCUUUCAAUGUUGCAAAACUCAUAAUAGGACUCGUCUUAAUUCCCUCUUCUAUCAUCUCCCCCAUUUUAAGGACCUCAAUAAAUGACUUACCCAAUGCAGGUAACAAGUGUUGAUAAUAUAUUUCAUUCUGCGCUUAAAUAAACACCUCCACUAUUUUCUUUCUUUCAUUGGCGGUUUCACUCUAGCAGCUUGUUCGCGUCAUCUGAUCUCAUACUCCCUAAAGCUCUCAGUAUUCUUCUUCUUCUUCAUACUAGUUAGGGAUUUUUCGUCAGGGAUCAACUCCAUAUUGUAUUAAAAUUAUUGCACAAAGUCAUUAGCUAGGUUAUCCUAACUAAUCCACUUGUCGAUGUCUUGGUCAACAAACCAUUUUGAAGCUAGGCCUGAAAGACUCUCCUCGAAAUAAGCUAUGAGUAGUUCUUCCUUCCCUCCAGCGCCUCUUAAUUGGUUAUAAUAGCGCCUCAAUUGUGCCACUGGUCCCCAUGUACGUCAUAUUACUCAAACUUUGGCAUUUUAAAGCCAUGAGGAAGGUUGACACCUGGAAACAUGCAUAAGUCCUUAUAUGAGACACUUUUGUAACCCCCAAGUCCUUGCAAGUUCUUCAUAGCCAGUUCCAAACUUCUCAAUUUUAUGGUCAUUUUCUCUUGUUCUUCUGUCAUAACAGGCUUCUUAGUGUUAGGAGGAAAUUCAGGUGGGUGAGUGUCACCAUAAAGACCAGUCAACUUGAAUGUAGGCUCGAAAGUGUAACGCUGAUCACCAGUAAUAUUCAAUGCAGGCUCUCUUGUAGAGUAGGGAGGCAAAACUUGUGGAUGAACAUCAAAAGUAGGAGCUUCAAGUGGGGGUGGCGCCGCGAAAGCAUGAACAGCAGGUGGAGCCGAGUAUGUGGUAGUCUUGGAUUGGGGAGUGAGAAAAUGAACACUGGAAGUGGUUGGAUAUUGUUGCCCCGGAGUCGAUCCUGAUGCAUGUUGUGGCAUACCAACAAAAAUGGGAAAUUGUGCAUGUGACACGGGAGGCAAGCUAGAAAGAUAUUUCAGAUUAUCAGUGGGAACUGGAGGAGGCGGCAACCCAUUAGCCCAAGCUCGUUGCAUUUCUAUUAUUUGUCGCCUUAAUUUUUGAAUCUCUUUAUUAGCUCCUAAAUUCUCAUUUUUCAAACUCCCUAUUUGACUAGUGACAACAAACUCGGUAUCUUUGUUGGCCAUAACCUUCUCUAACAAAAGAAAUACCAAAUACAUUAGAGUUCAACCCCUUUUUUUUCAAAACCUUUUUUUUCUUUUUGAAAAGGUCACCGGACCGUAGAAGGGCAUCCACGUAUCUCACCCCCGAGAGGGGAGAAUCAGGUGUGCUUAGUUCGUGAAGUCUAGCCAAAAUGGCCAAAUAAACUAAACUCUUUUUCUUUUUCUUGAAAUUUUAAGAAGAAAAUAAAAAUGACAAAUUGUUAAAGGAAUAGAUGAAAAUCUUUUUGAAUUUUUCGGCUUUAAUAACCUAUACAAAAUGAUACAUAUGAUUACCAAAGAAACUCUUUUUGGUUUUUCAAUUUUGCACUUCAUACGAAAAUGAAACUUGAACCUAUUAAAGGAAAAUCUUUUGUAGUUUUGUUUUAUUGAUGCAUAUAACACCUACUCUAAAUGAAGAGUGAAAAAAAUAUUUUUGAAUUUUUGAAAUAAGAUCAACCAAAAAUGAAACCUACGACUAUUGAGGAAAAUAUUUUUUUUAAAAUUUUUUUUCAAGACAUGUAUGAAACACCUACGCUAAAUGAAAAUUGAAGAAAAUCUUUUUGAAUUAUUUUAAAUAAGAUCCCCGAACCUAUAAUAGGAUGCCUACGUAUCUCACUCCCAAGAGAGAAGAAUCAGGGGUGCGUAGUUCCUCCAGAUUGGACAAUUAAGGAUUAAAUGACAAAAUCCUGAAUUGAGAGACACAACUAAAGACAGACGAUGAAAAUAAAAUCUUUUUUGGGUUUUUAAUUAGAAACUAACACCAACAACUAUGAAAGACACUACUGCAAAAAUGCCAAAAAGCGACGACUAGUGUCGCUUUUUUGGGCAAAAUCAACAGAAAUCCGUCGCUUUUUUUUCGUCUCAAAAAGGGGCGUUGUUUUUUUAAAAAUGACGGCCUACGUCAAAUUAUUACGACGAACAACGUCGCUUUUGGAGAAAAGAAUUUUUUUAGUUAUUUUUUGAAAAAACGACGUUGUGCGUCGCUUUUUGUUCUUCACGUGAAGAACACAUGAUGAACAAAAAGCGACACUGUGCAUCAUUUUUUGUUCAUCAUGUGAAGAACACAAGAUGAAUAAAAAAUGACGGACAUCAUCGUUUUAUUGAAAAAAAUAAUAAUUUUUUCAGAAAAAUUGACGCUGUCCGUCGUAAUUUGAGAAAAAUAAAAUACUUUUUGAAAAAAAAAAGCGACGUUGGUCGUCGUUUUUUGUUCUUCAUAAUGAAUAAAAAGCGACGUUGAUCGUCGCUUUUUGUUUUCCAUAAUGAAUAAAAAAGCGUUGUUGGUCGUCGCUUUUUGUUCUUCAUAAUGAAUUAAAAACCGACAGCCGUCGUCGCUUUUUUGCAUUCUUUUAUGCAGAAAUCUGCAUUUCCUACAUCCCAGUGCCAAAUAAAAAUCCCAUUCAAUAUAUACAUCCCUCAUGCAACACACAUUAUUACAAUAAUCAUACAACACACUACAUCAACAAAUCAUUUAAGCAAUUCACAUCAACAACACUUAAACAAUGAACCCAACAACAUUCAAAAUACUUAAAACAAUCCUAAAGAUUUUUCACUAAAUAAAAGCUAAGAUCAAAAUAUAUAAAAAUUAUCUAAAAGUCAAGUCCAACAACACUAACGAGUAGCCCCAACAAACUCCUCAUCACUAUCUGUUUCCUCUUUCCUACUUGAAUCUGGAGCAACGACCUGUGUUAAGGCUCGUCUAAGAUGUGCAAUCUGAUGUGAUAUAUUAGCAUGUCUCUAAAAAAUUGUAGAAAUGGCCAGAUCGUGCUUUGUCAACCAACAACACAUUGUCUAAAAAUCAAUUGACUAGUGUUAUAUGAAUUUAUAUGACUAGUAUAUAUAUAUAUUAAAGUUAACUAAAUAAUAAUUAAAUCUAAUAUACCUUAACUCUUGAAACAUGGCUUGUUUAGAGACUAUUGAAAUAUCCCACCACUCAUGCCAAGGAUAUGUAAAAAGUCUCAUACGCUCUACCUUAUAGCCUCAUUAAAUUCUUUUGACCCGGGAUACCACCUGUAAAUAAAAUAAUAAGUAUGUAAGCUUGAAUAUUUUAUUAAUGAAAAAAAUGAACCUAUCAAUUAAAAAAUAAACUUACGAAGAUCCAUCAGGCUCGAUAAACACUCUACCAAACAUGUCUGUAUCUCCCGGAAUUAGACCAAUCAAAUCUGCAUCAAUAUCUACUUUUACAGGAGGAGGUGCACCAAUUUCAAGUCAUGAAUUCACAUUUUCAAAAAAUUACACUUUACUAAUUUUAAAACACAAGUUCAUCUUUCAAGUAACUACACUAAACCAUUUUCAAGUCACUAAUUCACUUCUUAAGUAACUACACUUGAUAAAUUUGAAGUCAAUAGUACACAUUUCAAAACACUAAACCAUUUUCAACUCUCUAAUUCACUUCUCAAGUGACAAAACUUAGCCAUUUUUAAGUCAUGAAUUCACAUUUCAAGUAUCAACACUAAACCAAUUUCAAGUCAUGAAUUCACAUUUUUAAGUGAUUACACUUUACAAAUUUCAAAACACAAGUUCACCUUUCAAGAACUACAUUAAAUAAUUUUCAAGUCGUUAAUCCACUUUUUAAGUGACUAGUACACAUUUCAAAAUGCUACACUUAACCAUUUUCAACUCUCAAAUUCACUUCUCAAGAGACUAAACUAAACCAUUUUCAAGUCAUGAAUUUACAUUUCAAGUAUCAAGACUAAACCAAUUUCAAGUCAUGAAUUCACAUUCUCAAGUGACUACACUUUACAAAUUUCAAAACACAAGUUCACCAGUCAAGAACUACAUUAAACCAUUUUCAAGUCGCUAAUACACUUCUCAAGUGACUAGUACACAUUUCAAAAUACUACACUUAACCAUUUUCAACUCUCUAAUUCACUUCUCAAGUGACUAAACUUAACCAUUUUCAAGUCAUGAAUUCACAUUCUCAAGUGACUACACUUUACAAAUUUCAAAACACAAGUUCACCAGUCAAGAACUACAUUAAACCAUUUUCAAGUCGCUAAUACACUUCUCAAGUGACUAGUACACAUUUCAAAAUACUACACUUAACCAUUUUCAACUCUCUAAUUCACUUCUCAAGUGACUAAACUUAACCAUUUUCAAGUCAUGAAUUCACAUUUCAAGUAUCAAUACUAAACCAAUUUUAGGUCAUGAAUUCACAUUUUCAACUGAUAUUACACUUUACAAAUUUCAAAACACAAGUUCACCAGUCAAGAACUACAUUAAACCAUUUUCAAGUCGCUAAUACACUUCUCAAGUGACUAGUACACAUUUCAAAAUACUACACUUAACCAUUUUCAACUCUCUAAUUCACUUCUCAAGUGACUAAACUUAACCAUUUUCAAGUCAUGAAUUCACAUUUCAAGUAUCAAUACUAAACCAAUUUUAAGUCAUGAAUUCACAUUUUCAACUGAUAUUACACUUUACAAAUUUCAAAACACAAGUUCACCAGUCAAGAACUACAUUAAACCAUUUUCAAGUCGCUAAUACACUUCUCAAGUGACUAGUACACAUUUCAAAACACUACACUUAACCAAUUUUAAAUCUCUAAUUUACUUCUCAAGUGACUAAACUUAACCAUUUUCAAGUUAUGAAUUCACAUUUUAAGUAUCAACACUAAACCAAUUUCAAGUCAUGAAUUCACAUUUUCAAGUGAUAUUACACUUUACAAAUUUCAAAGCACAAGUUCACCAUUCAAGAAAUACAUUAAACCAUUUUCAAGUAGCUAAUACACUUCUCAAGUGACUAGUACACAUUUCAAAAUACUACACUUAAACCAUUUUAAACUCUCUAAUUCACUUCUCAAGUGACUAAACCAUUUUCAAGUCAUGAAUUCACAUUUCAAGUAUUCAAGUAUCAACACUAAACCAAUUUCAAGUCAUGAAUUCACAUUUUCAAAUGAUAUUACACUUUACAAAUUUCUAAACACAAGUUCACCAUUCAAGAACUACAUUAAACCAUUUUCAAGUCGCUAAUAUACUUCUCAAAUGACUAGUACACAUUUCAAAAUACUAUGCUUAAACCAUUUUCAACUCUCUAUUUCACUUCUCAAGUGACUAAACUUAAACAUUUUCAAGUCAUGAAUUCACAUUUGAAGUAUUAACACUAAACUAAUUUCAAGUCAUGAAUUCAUAUAUUCUAGUGAUAUUACACUUUACAAAUUUCAAAACACAAGUUUACCAUUCAAGAACUACAUUAAACCAUUUUCAAGUCGCUAAUAUACUUCUCAAAUGACUAGUACACAUUUCAAAAUACUAUGCUUAAACCAUUUUCAACUCUCUAUUUCACUUCUCAAGUGACUAAACUUAAACAUUUUCAAGUCAUGAAUUCACAUUUGAAGUAUUAACACUAAACUAAUUUCAAGUCAUGAAUUCAUAUAUUCUAGUGAUAUUACACUUUACAAAUUUCAAAACACAAGUUUACCAUUCAAGAACUACAUUAAACCAUUUUCAAGUCGCUAAUAUACUUCUCAAAUGACUAGUACACAUUUCAAAAUACUAUGCUUAAACCAUUUUCAACUCUCUAUUUCACUUCUCAAGUGACUAAACUUAAACAUUUUCAAGUCAUGAAUUCACAUUUCAAGUGUCAACACUAAACCAAUUACAAGUCAUGAAUUCACAUUUUCAAGUGAUAUCACACUUUACAAAUUGCAAAACACAAGUUUACCAUUCAAGAACUACAUUAAACCAUUUUCAAGUCACUAAUCCACUUUUCAAGUGACUAGUACACAUUUCAAAACACUACACUCAACCAUUUUUAACUCUCUAAUUCACUUUUCAAGUGACUAAACUAAACCAUUUUUGAGUCAUGAAUUCACAUUUCAAGUAUCAACACUAAACCAAUUUCAAGUUACGAAUUCAAAUUUUCAAGUGAUAUUACACUUUACAAAUUUUAAAAUACAAGUUCACCAUUCAAGAACCACAUUAAAUCAUUUUCAAGUCGCUAAUACACUUCUCAAGUGACUAGUACACAUUUCAAAGUACUACACUUAACCAUUUUCAACUCUCUAAUUCACUUCUCAAGUGACUAAACUAAACCAUUUUUGAGUCAUGAAUUCACAUUUCAAGUAUCAACACUAAACCAAUUUCAAGUUACGAAUUCACAUUUUCAAGUGAUAUUACACUUUACAAAUUUUAAAAUACAAGUUCACCAUUCAAGAACCACAUUAAAUCAUUUUCAAGUCGCUAAUACACUUCUCAAGUGACUAGUACACAUUUCAAAGUACUACACNNNNNNNNNNNNNNNNNNNNNNNNNNNNNNNNNNNNNNNNNNNNNNNNNNNNNNNNNNNNNNNNNNNNNNNNNNNNNNNNNNNNNNNNNNNNNNNNNNNNNNNNNNNNNNNNNNNNNNNNNNNNNNNNNNNNNNNNNNNNNNNNNNNNNNNNNNNNNNNNNNNNNNNNNNNNNNNNNNNNNNNNNNNNNNNNNNNNNNNNNNNNNNNNNNNNNNNNNNNNNNNNNNNNNNNNNNNNNNNNNNNNNNNNNNNNNNNNNNNNNNNNNNNNNNNNNNNNNNNNNNNNNNNNNNNNNNNNNNNNNNNNNNNNNNNNNNNNNNNNNNNNNNNNNNNNNNNNNNNNNNNNNNNNNNNNNNNNNNNNNNNNNNNNNNNNNNNNNNNNNNNNNNNNNNNNNNNNNNNNNNNNNNNNNNNNNNNNNNNNNNNNNNNNNNNNNNNNNNNNNNNNNNNNNNNNNNNNNNNNNNNNNNNNNNNNNNNNNNNNNNNNNNNNNNNNNNNNNNNNNNNNNNNNNNNNNNNNNNNNNNNNNNNNNNNNNNNNNNNNNNNNNNNNNNNNNNNNNNNNNNNNNNNNNNNNNNNNNNNNNNNNNNNNNNNNNNNNNNNNNNNNNNNNNNNNNNNNNNNNNNNNNNNNNNNNNNNNNNNNNNNNNNNNAAGUUCACCAUUCAAGAACUACAUUAAACCAUUUUCAAGUCGCUAAUACACUUCUCAAGUGACUAGUACACAUUUCAAAGUACUACACUUAACCAUUUUCAACUCUCUAAUUCACUUCUCAAGUGACUAAACUAAACCAUUUUUGAGUCAUGAAUUCACAUUUCAAGUAUCAACACUAAACCAAUUUCAAGUUACGAAUUCACAUUUUCAAGUGAUAUUACACUUUACAAAUUUUAAAAUACAAGUUCACCAUUCAAGAACCACAUUAAAUCAUUUUCAAGUCGCUAAUACACUUCUCAAGUGACUAGUACACAUUUCAAAGUACUACACUUAACCAUUUUCAACUCUCUAAUUUACUUCUCAAGUGACUAAACUUAACCAUUUUUAAGUCAUGAAUUCACAUUUCAAGUAUCAAUAGUAAACUAAUUUCAAGUCAUGAAUUCACAUUUUCAAUUGAUAUUACACUUUACAAAUUUCAAAACACAAGUUCACCAUUCAAGAACUACUAAGUGACUACUUAACCAUUUUCAAGUCAUGAAUUCACAUUUGAAGUAUCAACACUAAAACAAUUUCAAGUCGUGAAUUCACAUUUUUAAGUGAUAUCACACUUUAAAAAUUUCAAAACACAAUUUAACCUUUCAAGAACUACGAAGUAUCAACACUAAAACAAUUUCAAGUCGUGAAUUCACAUUUUUAAGUGAUAUCACACUUUAAAAAUUUCAAAACACAAUUUAACCUUUCAAGAACUACAUUAAAUCAUUUUUAAGUAGCUAAUCCACUUUUCAAGUGACUAGUACAAAUUUCAAAAUACUACACUUAACCAUUUUCAACUCUCUAAUUCACUUCUCAAGUGACUAAACUAAACCUUUUUUAAGUCAUGAAUUCACAUUUCAAGUAUCAACACUAAACCAAUUUCAAGUCAUGAAUUCACAUUUCAAGUAUCAACACUAAAGAAAUUUCAAGUCAUGAAUUCACAUUUUCAAGUGAUAUUACAAUUUACAAAUUUCAAAACACAAGUUCACCUUUCAAGAACUACAUUAAAUCAUUUUCGUCCUCGAAUGAUGCUUAUAACUUAUUUGACUCCUAUAAUUAUCUAAGACACUCAUGAGAUCAUUUACUUAACUUCCACUUCAUUUUAUCCAUUAUGUGGUCCUAAAAUUUUAUUGAGAUCAUUUACUUAACUUCCACUUCAUUUUAACCAUUAUGUGGUCCUAAAAUUUUGUUAACUCUCAAAAUUUUCAAAAAAUUUUGCCAGAAUUUCCUUUGUAAAUAGGCUUAUCGUAAACCUGUCAGCUAACUAGAUUACAUAUAAAUACGCUUCACCGAGAGUUACAACAAAUAUGUUACUCAACUGAUAAUACACGAGACUCUACUUGGCAUUCUUUAAAAUUUUUAACCUAAAGUAUAAAUCCAUAACUAACUGCUCCAUAUAGAAACAAGACACACCUCAGAUCCGCACUACCACAUUAACUAGCAAGGUACUAAACAUAAAUUCAUGCAUAGGUUAAGUCAAUCUACUAGGUAAGUUCGAUGUACUAGCACUACAAUCCUAAUAAUCUUUCUUUCAUUUUCAAUCACAAUUCAAGCUUAAGGUAUACCACUUAUCAUGGACAACCACAAGAAUUUAUAUACUAUAUUGACUUAUAACUAUUGAAUAGAGAUCGAAUAAAUACUUGUCCACCAAGGGUCUGGCUCUGGUCGAUGGCUGCAGCGUUGAUUGGUCACUGGUGGUUGGUGGCGCGGAGGCUAGUUCGUCCGACAUGGGUCUGGUUCGUUCGACGUCGGAGGCUGGAUCAUCGAUGGCUGUUCGUCGCGAAUGGAGAGACCUGCCGGCAGCGGCUUGAGGGGCUUUGCCAGCGUGGUUUCACCAGAAAAGGGCUGAGGGGUGAGUCUUAGAGAGAGAGAGAGAGAGAGAGAGAGGGAGGGAGGCGGAUGUUUGAGGGAGAAAAUGAGGAUAGAGUUUGAUAUUUUGUUUAAAAGGAAAGAUUGGUCGAUUUAAUCUCAGCCGUUGGAUCAACUUUGAUCAACGACUGAGAUUAAGGUAUUUAAAAGUAGGUCAAUUGGUAUUUAAAUUGGUAUUUAUAUUGAUAUUUAAUUUUGGCUAAAAUUGAUACUAAUUGGAAAAAAGAUUGGCUAAAAAUUAAACACAAGAAAGGAAAAUUAAAUAAGAGUGGCUGCUAGUUUAAUAAAUGUAAUAAUAAUAAUAACAACAAUAACAACAACAACAACAACAACAACAACAACAACAACAACAACAACAAUAAUAAUAAUAAUAAUGAGACGGCUUAUGUGUUUUAAAAGGAGGAAAAAGAGGGUAAUUUGAUCUCAGUCGUUGGAUCAGGUUUGAUCGACGACUGGGAUUUAAAGGUUGAAAAUUUGAUCAAAAUUUACACAAAUUUUAAAUUGUGUCACACAUUUGCUAUAAUUAUAAUAAAUUGAAUAAGGCUAAAAUUAGUAUAUUGUGGUAAAAAAUUGGGUCAGAAAAUAAAUAGAUCAGAUAAACUGAUUUAAUUUAGACUAUUAUUUAAAUAAAUGUUAUAAAUAAUAAUAAUAAUAGUAGUAGUAGUGCAGCAGCAGCAGCAGUAGUAGUAAUAAUAAUAAUAAUAAUAAUAAUGAAAAAUAAUAAUAGUAAUAAUAAUAGUAAUAAUAAUAAUAAUAAUAAUAAUAAUAAUAAUGAAAAACUAGACAAUAUAUUUAUAAAAAAUAUGAAUGUGCACCAUUGCGUGAAAAAAAUAAUUUAAUAAAACUAUGUAAAAUGUCGUUUUUGAGUUUAAAAAUUAUAGAAAAUGGUAUAAAAAUAAUUUGUGCAUUUUUAUAAAUUAUGAAUGUGACACGUCAAUAUGUAUUUAAUAUAAGAAUAAUGUGUACAAAAAUAUUAACAAUUGAAAUAAAAUAAUUUUGAUAAAAUAGCAGCCUAAAUGACGAGAAAAAUAGUAAGACGUUGAUAUUAAAAUAAACUAAGCGUGUAAGAAUUAAUGUUAACUAAAAUUACUAUAUAAAAUAACAGCCUGAGAGGGGUAUCGUGAGGUCAAAAUUGGGUGUCAACACAAUUAAACCGAUUUAGUCCCACAAAAUAGGUCACUGGAGGGUACAGUGUAUGCAGACCUUCUUGAAAACCUAUUUAAGCUUGAAGAUUCUUGUAAAAUAAAACACAUCAUGUAGGAUUUUUGCUUAUUGAUUUGAUUAUUGGUUUAACUUAUUUAAAAAUCGAUAACCAAGAAACCAAACCGAUAAUAUUUAAAUCAAAUCGAAUCGACCGAUGCACACCCCUAAUUUCAAGAAAAAAAAUUGUGAAAUUGGGAUUAGAAAUCGGGUUAAAAAUAUUGAAUUGGAGAUUUCAAUUACGUUAAUACAACAUAUUAAUAUGAUGAAUUGUCGGCUAAUUGGCUUCAUUAUUAUAACUUCAAUAGUGUAUUAUUAGCUCGAUCAUAUGAUGUUAGCGUAUUAUUCAUAAUAUUUGGAUAUAUAGACUCAGUUAGCUAACUUUUAACUAUAUACAUUACAUACACGAGUAUAUUACCUCGUAAUACAACAUAUUUUAUUUCUACUCUGAUGAAUUAUCAUUUAAUUUAGCUUAUAUUAUUAUAUUAUAAUUUAAAAAUAUAUAUUAUUACCUUGAUUAAUCGAUCGUAUGACAUCAAUGUAUUCAAUAUAUAUAGUUGAUUGACUAUAAAUUUCACAAUAUGUAUUAGAUACAUCACAUAAACAUGUAAAUUACCUCGUAAUACAACAUUUUGUAUGUAUAUAUAUAUAUAUAUAUAUAUAUAAUGAUAAAUUAUCAUUUAAUUUAGCUAAUAUUAGUAUAUUAUAACUUCAACAAUAUAUUUAAUUUAAAAAGAGACGAACAACGUCGCUUUUCAAAAAAAUAUUUUUUAUUUAAUUUUAAAAUAAGUGACACUGUCCGUCGCUUUUUCUAAAAAUAAUGAAAAAUUUAAAAUAAUUAUAUAUUGCAACGGACAGCGUCGCUUUUCUAGAAUUAAUAUUUCUAAAAAUAAAAAUUAUAUUUACAUUGUUUGUCGCUUUUAAUAAAAAUAAAUAAAAAUAAAAAUUAAAUUUAAAAAGCGACAGACAACGUCUCUUUUCAAAAAAAUAAUUUAUAUUUAAUUUUAAUAAAAGCGAAGCUAUCCGUCGCUUUUUGUUAAAAAAAAAAAUUACAAAUUGUGAUGGACAGCGUCGCUUUUCUCGAAUUAAUAUUUUAAAAAAUAAAAAUAAUAGCGACGUUGUCCGUUGCUUUUAAUAAAAUAAAUAAAAAUAAAAAUUAAAUUUAAAAAUCGACAGACUACGUCAUUUUUUAAAAAAUAAUAAUUAUUAUUUUUUAAUAAAUUACAACGCUGUCCAUCGCUUUUAUUAAAAAAAAUAUAAAUUACUUUUUAAUUACUUGACACAAAAAUCCGUGAAAAAAGCGGCGUAUAUUAAGGCGUUGGCCGUCGCUUUUAAUAAAAAAUAAAUAAAAACUAAAAUUAAGCUUAAAAAGCAACGACCAACGUCGCUUUUCUCGUCGCUUUUUAAAGCGACACAAUCCGUCGCUUUUUUGCGUUGCUUUUUAGCCCUUUUUAGUAGUGAGAAAAAAUCUUUUUGAUAUUUUCGUUAUAUAAAAAUGUACCAAGCUCCUAUUGAAGGGAAUUUGUUUUUUUUUUUGGAGUUUUUGAAUUGUGAAUGCUUACUAAAGAAAUAAAAGAAUUUUUUUUUAACGUUUUUAAUUUUUUGGGAAAUGAGUACAAAAAGUAAAAAAAAGACAUUUUUUUUGAAUUUUUAAAUUGUGAAAAACAAAAGCCAUAAAGAACCCUAAAAAAUACCAAAUCUCUUUUUUUCCCUUUUUUUUUUCUUCCUUUUUUCAACAAUUUCCUUCCUACACUGUAAUACCCCAAAACAUCCAAACCAAUAUUAGAGCCAUGUACCAAGCUCAUGCAUAGUACAUCUUGGUUAUUUUACAGUUUUAUGAGUAAGUUAGAUGUAUAUUAAGGCUUUUAAUAACUCCUAGCUAUCAAACGAAUCAAAACAUUCCUUACAAAUUGAAUUCUUGAGAAGGAUAUUGGUAUAGUCAACUUCAAACGAUCAUAUCUCUCAUUAUACUUGGAAUUUUUGAGCUCAUGACCUAUAAACAGAUAUAUAAUUGAAUUAGCUUUCCAACGAUACCAAUUUUUCCUAAAUCCAAUAUCGGAGCAAAGAGUUAUCCCCAUUUUAUUCCAGCAUGUCAAGCUAGAAAACGGUGACGACGUUUCUGACGGGCUAUCACAUUUCUGACGACCUUUUUGACGACGUCGUCACAUUUUGACGACAUUUCUGAUGACGUCAUCAGCCCUAGGCAGAAAAUCAAGAAUUUGGACCCCUUUUGUGAUGACCAUUCAUGACGGCCUAUCACGGACCUGAUGGCCUGUCACGGAUGACGUCAUAAGUAUAUUUUUCCAGCAAUUCAAGGGCAUUUUUGCAAGGGUAUUUUGGUCAUUUCCUUCACCUUCCACGACUUAAAACCCUAAAGAGGCAUAAUUUUUCUCAUUUUUAUCCAGUUAAGCAUCUCAAAAACCCUCUCUUACACUCUCAACCACAAGAUUAAGGUUUCCAUCAAACUCAUCUCUCAAAAGCAAGAUUCAAGCCUUUUUCCAAGAUAAUCAAGAAUUAAGUUUUCCCAAUCCAAGAACUCUCCAGCAAAUCAUCAAGGUUUCCUUUCUAAGGUAUGCGUAGUGUUCAUCUAUGGAUCCAAUCCGUUCAUAGAGCUCAAGAACCAUGUUUUAAAUAUUAUUUUGUAAACUUUUUGUGNNNNNNNNNNNNNNNNNNNNNNNNNNNNNNNNNNNNNNNNNNNNNNNNNNNNNNNNNNNNNNNNNNNNNUGUUUUCAUGGAAUAUAUAUGUUUGUUAAUUGAAAACCAUGAACUUUAGGUGGUUUAAUAUGUUGCAAGUAUGAAACCCACCUAUUCCUUAAAGAAUGCAUGCAAGGUGUUUGAUAAAAUGCUUAGGAUACUAGAAAUUCAUGUUUGAAUGGCUCUAUGAUGUCUAAAUGACAAGUCCAUGUUAGCUGUAUACUUCAAUAUGAAUUCUAUGCUUUUCAUGUGUUCCUAUUGUGGUGGUAUGAAACAUGUAAGAUAAUGGAGAUAUACAAUAUGUACACGAAAUAUAUCCAUGCAUUCUCUACAAUGUUUAAGAUGUUGAAUAACUAUAUGAAAUAUGAUAUCCCCUACUUAUGAUAUUAUGAAUUAUGGACUCAAAUCUUGUGAUCAAGUCAUGUCAUGUGUGUCAGUUUCCUUCUAUCGAGUCCUGGGGGUGUUCGUACCUAAAAAUAUAGUUGUGUACCUAGAGCCAUGUCAUGUUAUCACGAUACUCUCAGUCAAGCCAUGAUCUAUAGAAUUCAGUCAAUCAUGUGAGUCAGGAAAAUCUAGUAACCUCAGUAAUCUUAGUAGUUCAGUAAUCUCAGCGAUCUCAGUACUCAGUAAUAUCUAUAACCUCAGUAUUCAAAGUCAAUCUCAGUAACUUCAGUACUCUCAACUAGUCCUCAGAACUCAUUAUAUUUCGUCCGUUAUCGGAAUCUAGUAAACUCAGUUUUAGUUCCGCUAAACAAUACCACUAGUAUCAGUUCAGUUAAUCAGUUCAGUUAAGUUAUUUAGUUCAGCCCAGUUAUUCAGUUCAGUGUCUUUCAGAUGGGAGUAGGAUUUAGCACCGAGCAAACCUAGAGAUAGGGGCUCACCCUCUAGAAUAGGACUGAGAUCCCUAGAAGCAAUUCCUAAGUUCCAGAACUACGUUGACAGCGUAGGUACGAGAUGUCACCCAUUAGAUAGGACUGACAUACUCAAGGGUCACCCGUUAGCACAUUUAUAUGUAUAGGACUGAUCCCAAGAGUCACCUGUUAGAUCAGGACUAACUCUACAGUAAAUGUCUUUAGUGGUGGUGCGGUACUGACACCCUUCCAGUCAGGGCAAAGAUUAGACCCCAGUCAGCUUAGCUUGGGGCAUGUCAUUAGAUGAACACAUCCCACAGUUUUAAUUAUAGAUUCAGGACUGUCAGAUACAGUCAACUCAGUUCAAUAGUACAGAUUUAGUACUGUUAGAGACAAUCAAUCCUUAUCAUUAUAAAUAGACUACAAGAUCACCCAUUAGACAGUACUGAUCUCAACUAUAGUUAAACAGUAUCAAAAUCAUCAGAUUUAAAGAUCACCCGCUAGAUAGGACUAAUCUCAAAUUCAGUUACUCAAUAUAAAACUGAACUCAGAUAGUUCCAUCAGAACAUAGACUGUCAGAUAUAAUUGCUCAGUAUCAGUUACAUCGAUUAGGCCGAUCAUCAUAGUUAUAUUAGUUAUAUUAGUUAUAUUAGUUUUCUGAACUCAUGUAUCAGUCAUAUCAGUUAUCAGAAUUCAUAAUAUCAGUAUUCAGCUUCAGGACUGUCAGACACAGUCAACUAGACCAGUUCUUCAUAAUUCAAAUUAUUAGAAAUAGUCGUUCAUCUAUUCAGUAUCUCAGUAUUAGUACACUCAUGUUGUUAGUAUUCAGACUCAGUAGUCAGUAUCUUCACGAGUUCAAUUACAGUUAUGUAUGCAUGUAUGUAUUCUCACGUUCAUAUUAGUCAGGAUUGUUCAUACAUAUAACCCUUUGCAUUUAGCCUACCCCACUCGUAUGCUCAAUACAUUCAGAUAUACUGACGCAUUUGCGCUAUGGUGCUUUCUCUUAUGUUACACUAUAGGUUCAGAGGCAUGAGCUCCAGAUCAGCAGUAGCAUUCCAGGGUUCAGAGUUUGCAGUGAGUCUUUCUCCUUUGAGGAUGAUAUGAUUAUUGCUACAUUUACUAUUCAGUUGCUAGAUGGAGUUAGUUGGAUACAUGUUCCUUAAAAUCCUUAUUCAAUUCAGUUAGAGGCUUCAGACUAGAUGUCAGAUUAGAUAUUCAGAUAUCAUAUUUUUAGUAUUUAUGACUUAUUUUGGUAUUGUUAUACCUUUUUCAGACAUUUUGUUAUUAGACGUUUAUUCAGUUCGAACCAUAAGGCCUUUCAUGUUCAUGUUUUCGCAUUUUAUGAUAUAUUAUGCAGUAUACAGGUACAGAUACCAGUCAUGGGUUAGCUUGUGGUCCUUCGGGUUCAUAAGCACCGUGUAGCAUUCCGAUUUAGAAAAUCGAGGUAUUACAUACACACUUCCUUCUAACUCAAGCUUUUGCCCAAAUCAGUCUGUCAAAUGACCUCGUUACCCUCAAAGAUGCAAUAUUUAGCAUGUAGGAAUGCUUUAGAGGUGAGUUUCCUACAAAGGACCAAGUGAGCCCCACUAGGUAUUCAAUAUGAUGCAUAUAAGCAUGACCUAAAGGCUGACCUACGUUGAGGUUCACUAACAAGGCUGUUCAGGGGAGCGUAUGAUCGAUAGUGACUGUUUUGCUUUCCACCUACUCCAUAACAUCGAUAGCUCCCCCCUUAAAACAAGGGUGACUCAACUAGAGGCCGUGUACAAUACGUGUACUACGGACUUAUUGCAGAAAGAAUGACUUGGGUUAUGCACAUGAUGCCAGAUAUAAAGCGGUAACACAUAAGAUAAAAACUGUAAACAAAGAGCACGUAGGCACUCAACAAUGAUAAUACAAUAACACAAAACAACUCAAACAAAAUGUCUAUACACCUAUAGUGCCAAACUAAGCCGAUACAACUCCAAAAUAAGCUCGAAUUCUGAAAAGUCCCCAGCAGAGUCGCCAUCUGUCACACCCCUUUUUUAACAACAAAAAAGAUUUAUUUUAAGUUUGAAAAGGAUUUUUAUUACUAAAGUGACAAAAGAUUGAAAAUUUAUUUUUUUUAAAAAAGGAUCAUUUAUAUUUUUUAUUCAGAGUCGCCACUUGACAUAAUCCGGCGUGCCAAGUCACCUUUGAAAGAUCCUUUUCAAACUAAAUUUUGACUCUUUUAAACUGAUCCGCGAACAGAGAUUCCGAUUAAGGAAUUCUAUUGACCGAGAAAAAGGUGUUAGGCAUCCCUCGAUCUCGUGGUUUGACCACGGUCUCUUGGUGGAGCAUAUCGGCUAAUUUGACACUACAAAAUCUAUAAACCACACAAAAACAAUCAAUCAAACAAACAAAUCUGAAAAUAUAGUGUCCCGUCCAACUAUUACAAACUGAAAUAAAAAAAAGAUACUAAAAAGUAAACCUACGCUAACCUACACUAAUCCUAAACUACACUCCAAUGCCUUACUUGCUGCUUCAAGCCUUGAUCACGAGCCUCCUUUGCGUACACGAUGCUUCGGGGCAUUCUCCGGUGAAUAAAUAUAAAUGACCACGGGGCAUUCCCCUCCUAACUGAAUACAUCUUCAAAUCUUGUGCGAUAAAGUAAAAAAAAACAUUCAUACGCACACUCAAUCAUUCAACAAAACACCACAUAAAAUUUGCCUAUCCAACUUAGCAUUUGCCUAUCCCACUCGACUUAUCAUAAUACUAUCAAGUUCGAUUGACGUUUAUUUCAAGUCAAACAAUAACUCAUGAAUCAAACCAACCAAAAUUUACCCUUUUUUUUUUAUCAAGUUUCAAUUCCACCCCAAAUUUCUUUUUAAUUCUUAACGAGAUAUCAUUUCAUUACACAGUCUAUAACCAAACAAUGAAUCAAAACCAACAACUAUUCAUUGCCAACAAUGAUCAACCAACACACAAUAUUUCAUUCAAUGCACCAAAAAUCACAAAUAAUGAAAUAAAAGGGAAAAAAAGAAAGAGAGUAGAAUCGGACCUCAAUUUGAAGCUUUAUUUCAAUUAAUUGAUCUUUCCUAAUAGAACCGCAUCCAAACAUAACCUCAAUGUUGAACCUCAAUCACAAACACAAAUCAUCAACUUCGAUCUCGAACUGCAAUUGACUCGGACCCAAUUGCGAGCAAGGCUCCGCGAAGAACAAACAAAAACAAAAAACAUCUAAAUCAAGGCUCCGAAUGAGAAAAACCAGAAGUUGGUAUGACUACUUCCGGAUGAUAAUUAACUAGAAUCAUCCUAAAAAUGACCAAUUCAAACCAGUGGUGACCGGAAUUAAACGUUUUCCAGUGAAAGGAUGCUAUUUCCGGCCAAGAACGUCGAAACUGUCAAACCCCAUCCCUUUUCUCUCCUCUCUCACUCAAAUAUUUCCUUCUCCUCUCUGUUUAUUCCUCUCUUCGACCAGUUCUAUCUCUACUCUAUGUGUGUGUGCAGCAACAGAAAAAGGAGAAAAAAAAUGAAGUCCUCCACAAUGGCCUCCCCUUUUCUGUGAAAUCGCCUAUAUCUAUGUGUGUAUUUGACAGAUGCACGGCUAUGGCAUAUUCUGGGUCCCCUCCGCUGUUAUGUGGAGUGUAUUAUAUAUAAAAUAGAAAUGGUGAGGUGUUGUGUGGUGGACAAAUUUCAGUGGGGCCCGUGAGUGGAAAAUGUAUAUUGUAUUUAUUGUUAAUGGAAAAAGGCCAUCAGUAGUGGUCCCUCCCUAUGCCUGUAUGCUGCACAAGUAUAUAUUCUGUGAAGCCCUCCAAAAACCUGAGGAUGGGUAGCGAGGUGGGGGUAUACGGGUAGGGGGUGGUGUACAGAUGUGGGGUGUGAGGUGGGGUAGUGGUGAGGUGUAAAAAAUUAGUUAGAAUAAGAUUAAAUUUAUUAUGGAUUUGGUUAUUUUUGUGGGGUGUUAUCACAUAGGCGAGGGUGUAUGAUAAUGUGGGAUAAAAAUGAACGAAUUGAGUUUUUGGGAGGGAUAACAUUAGGUGUCUACACGUAUUGAUUAGUUCAAUUAUAUUAUUGUAAUUUAUUAUUGAAGUGAAUGGAAUUUCAAUUUCGUCAUUAUUAAAUAAAAAAAAAGAAGAAAAAAGACGAUAACGAUACGUGCACUUGCACGAACUUUUGUUGUGUUCAUUUUUGCAUAUUAAUAUUUUGCAUGUUAAUAUUUUUAGUUUUGCAUGUUAAUAUUAAUAUUAGUUUUGCAUGUUAAUAUUUUUAAUAUAAUAUUCAUAUAUAGUCAUUACUUAUCCAUAUGUGUUUAGAAAAUAUAAUAUAAUAAUAUUAUAUUUGCAUAUUAACAUACUGGACAAAAUAUAAUAUAACAAUAUUAUAUUAUUAUUAUAUGUAUUGCAUGAUACUGUUCCGUACUAUUAAUUAUAAAUAAUAUAUUACGUAUUAGAUUCCUUAUCAAAUAUUAUAUUGUUUCUAUAGUUUUUGGACAUAUUUCUUUUAAUUGCUUAGUAAUAUCGGAUUAACAAUUUUUUAUAAAUUCAAAUAAAAAAUUAAUUAUAUAUUAAAAAAGUAUGUAAUUUAAUACAAUAAAAUUAUUAGUAUUUGAUUGAGAAAAAAUAUUCAUGUUUGUUAUUGAUAAUGGAGAUGACUUAUAAUGGUGGUUGCGGUGACAAUGAUUGAUGUUAGUAAUUAAUAUUGUUGGUGGUGAUAAUUGUGAUAGUUGGUAUUGUAGUGACUGUUAUGAUGGUGGCGAUUGACGGUGUUGGUGGUUGUUAUGAUGUAACGUUACUUGAUGUUAGUAGUUUAAGGUGUUGAUUGUGUUGGCUGAAAUAUGAAUGCAUGAUGAUUGACAAUGUGUUGGUGCUAGUUGGAGAUGUUAUUUGUUGUGAUGGUGGAGAUGGUUGUUAAUAGAGAUAAAUUAUAGCGAUGGUACUAGUUGAAGUAGUGGUAGAGGUGACAUUACUAGUGACAAUGGUGGUGGCGGUCAAAGAAUGUGUAGAGGUUGUGAUGUAUUAGUGGUAGUUAGUGGCGGUGUUAGUUGUGAUAUAUAAGUUGGUUGGUAGUAGGGAUUGGCCUCUAGUGGUUGCUGAUUGUGGUGUUGUUGACGGCAGUGGUGGUGGUGAAUAUAAUUAGAAUAAAAGAGGUAGUAGAUGUGGUAGUGGUUGACAAUUGUAGUUGGUGGAGGUAUUUUUUGUUGAUGGUGGUUGUGAUGGUGGAGGUGGUUAGUGUUGGUGGGUGUUGGUUGACAAUGGUGACGGUGGCAGAGAUGGUUAGUGGUGGUAACUGCUGAAUAUGAAUAGAGUAGUGAAUAUUAUCCAACGCCAGAAUAUCCCUUCAGACCUAUUAAGACUUGGUUCUAGAUCAGAAUGAUUAAGACGUAUUAAGAGUUAAACCUUAAUAAAAAACAAAUGCACUUAAUGGUCUGAAGUCCGAACCGUUCAGAUUCAGACCUCUAUUAAGUGCAAACAAAUGAGGCCUUAGUAAUGUCGGAUUAAUAAUUUUUUAUAGUAUAAGCUUUCACUUUGUACAAAAAUUUAAUAUAUAUCUUAUUUGAUGUAUGUCAUUUUAUUUGAAGAUAUGGAUAAUUUUCAAAGUAAGCUGUCAAAUUGUGAAGAUAUAUGUUUGAUUGAUUCUAGCACUACACAUAUAAUAUUCAAAGACGAGAAAUAUUUCUCUCAUCUAAACAUGGGCAAGAUUAAUGUCACUACAAUUUCUGGUUGUGCUAAUUUGAUUGAAGGCUUCGGAAAAGCCAUUAUAAUCUUGCCCAAGGGAACUAAACUCAUCAUAAAUAAUGUCAUAUUUUCUCCUAAGUCUCGAAGAAACUUGAUGAGUUUUAAAGAUAUCCAUGAAAAUGGUUAUCAUAUCAAGACAAUUGAUGAGAUGAAUCUUGAAUAUCUUGGUAUCACCAAGAAUGUCUCUGGGCAGACAUGUGUCAUUGAAAAGUUCCAUGCUUUAUCUUUUGGCCUGUAUUGGACAAAGAUUUGUGCAAUUGAGGCACAUUCUAUAGUAAACCGGAAGUUUACUGAUUUUAAUACUUUUAUACUUUGGCAUGAUCGUCUGGGGCAUCUAGGAUCAAUAAUGAUGAGACGAAUCAUAAAAAAUUCAAAUGGGCAUCCAUUAAAGAACUUGAAGGUUCUUUCGAAUGGUGAAUUUUCAUGCAAUGCUUGUUAUCAAGGCAAGCUGAUUGUGAGGCCAUCUCCAACAAAAGUUGGGAUUGAGUCCCUCGCGUUCCAACCUCGCAUUCUUGGAACACAUACAUGGGGAUAUUUGUGGACCCAUUCACCUACCUAGUGGGUCAUUUAGAUAUUUUAUGGUCCUAAUAGAUGCUUCAUCUAGAUGGUCUCAUGUGUUCCUUUUGUCAUUUUGCAACUUAGUAUUUGCAAAAUUAUUGCACUAACAAUAUGAUUACGGGCACAAUUUCUUGAUAAUCAAAUUAAGUCUAUUCGCCUUGAUAAUGCUGCAGAAUUUUUAUCCCAAGCAUUUAAUGGCUAUUGCUUAUCAAUUGGGAUAAGAGUGGAACAUCUUAUACCUCAUGUUCACACUCAAAAUGACCUUGCUGAGUCAUUAAUUAAACAUCUGGAGUUGAUAGCAAGACCAUUGCUUAUGAAAACUAAGUUGCUCACUUCUGUUUAGGGUUAUGCAAUUUUGCAUGCUGCAACACUUGUUUGUCUUAAACUGAUAAAUUAUCAUAAAUUUUCUCCGUUGCAAUUGGUUUUGGGUCAAGAGCCUAAUAUAUCUCAUUUGAAAAUUUUUGAGUGCAAUGUAUAUGUGCCUAUAGCACCACCAAACCGCACCAAGAUGGGCCCCCAAAGAAGAUUAGGAAUUUAUGUUAGGUUUGAAUCACCCUCCAUUAUUCGCUAUCUUGAACUAUUAAUGGGAGAUAUGUUUACUGCUCGAUUUGUAGAUUGUCAGUUUGAUAAGAUAGUUUUCCCAAAAUUAGGGGGAGAAUAUAGUGUCAUUUACUGAUUUGAAAAGGAUCACCAAAUCACAUAUUCUUGCAAAUAAUGUCCCAAUUCGAAUUGAUACCUCUAAAGGACCAUCCACUAGUGUCAUAGCUAAUGAAUCUAAAGCACACUUGAAGCGUGACAGACCAUUAGGAUCUAAGGAUCGAAAUCCUAGAAAAAGAAAAAUAAAUGGUCAAGAUGACACUACAAAAGGUCCUCAUAUGGAAGCUCAAGAUUUGAGCAAUAUUGAUAUUCCUGAAGGAAUCAAUAAGCCUGAGACUCAAGAAAAUGAGGAACUAUCUAUAAAUUUAAGUGAUGUUGAAACUAAUUUGAAUCGAUCUAAAAUAGUAGUGGAUCAUAUCUUUACAUACAAUGUUGCAACGAAAAUCAUGCAAGAUAGAGAGGAUCUUGAACCUCGAUCUAUCACAGAAUAUCGACAAAGACAUGACUGGCCAAAAUGGCAAGAAGCAAUUCAACCUGAAUUGAAUUCACUUGCCAAACGUAAAGUUUUUGGACCUAGAACUCAAACACCUAAUGGUGUUAAGCCUGUUGGCUAUAAAUGGGCCUUUGUGUGAAAAAGAAAUGAGAAAAAUAAAAGACAAAGGUAUAAAGCACGCCUUGUUGCGAAAGGAUUUUCACAAUGGCCUGGUGUCGAUUAUGAUGAGACAUAUUCACCAGUUAUAGACGCAAUAACAUUGCGUUAUCUUAUUAGUUUCACUAUCCAUGAGAGACUUGAAAUGCAUUUGAUGGAUGUGGUAACAACCUAUCUAUAUGGAUCACUUGAUAAUGAGAUAUACAUGAAAAUUUUCAAAGGAUUUAAAAUGCCGAAAGCAUAUAGUUCAAAGCCUCGAGAAAUGUAUUCCCUUAAAUUGCAAAGAUCAUUGUACGGUUUGAAGCAAUCUGGACGCAUGUGGUAUAACCGUCUUAGUGAAUAUUUAUCUAAAGAAAGUUAUACGAAUGAUGAAAUUUUCCCAUGUGUUUUCAUAAAGAAAACAACGUCGGAGUUUGUUAUACUUGCUGUCUAUGUCGAUGACAUAAACCUUAUUGGAACGCCAAUAGAGCUUCAAAAGGCAAUUGAUUACCUAAAGAAAGAAUUUGAGAUGAAAUAUCUCGGAAAGAAAAAGUUAUGUCUUGGUUUGAAAAUUGAGCAUUUGACAAAUGGUAUCUUUGUCCAUCAAUCUGCCUACACAGAAAAGGUGUUGAAAUGAUUCUAUAUGGAUGGAGCACAUCCAUUAAAUACUUCGAUGGUUGUCGAUUACUUGAUGUGAAUAAGGAUCCAUUUCGACCUCAAAAAAAUAAUGAGGAACUCCUUGGUCCUGAAAUACCAUAUCUUAGUGCAAUUGGUGCACUAAUGUAUCUUGCAAAUACUACCAGGCCUGAUAUUGCCUUUUUAGUAAAUUUGCUAGCAAGGUAUAGUUCUGCUCCUACUAGGAGACAUUGGAUUGGGAUCAAACACAUAUUAUGGUAUCUAAAGGGGACUACCGAUAUGGGCUUAUUUUAUUUAAAAACUUGUAGUUCUGAUCUUGUUGGUUAUGCUGAUGCUGGGUACUUAUCUGACCCACAUAAAUCUCGGUCUCAAACAGGCUAUGUAUUCAUAUGUGGGGGUACUUCCAUAUCUUGGAGAUCAACAAAGUAGUCUAUCGUAGCCACUUCAUUGAAUCAUACUGAGAUUAUAGCUAUUCAUGAAGAAAGCCUAGAGUGUGUGUGAUUGAGGUACAUAAUACAUCUGAUUCGAUAAAAAUGUGGCUUGAAAUGUGACAAAGUACCCACAAUUUUAUAUGAAGAUAAUGCAGCAUGCAUAACACAACUGAAAAGUGGAUUCAUAAAAGGAGAUAGAAUGAAGCACAUUUCGCCAAAGCUUUCUAUACAUAUGAGCUCCAAAAGAAUGGUGAUAUUGACAUACUACAGAUUCGUUCACAUGAUAAUGUGGCUGAUUUAUUCACCAAGUCUCUUUCAACUGCAACUUUCAAGAAGAUGGUACACAAGAUCAGAAUGCAAAGAUUCAAGGAUGUUCUUAUUAGGGGGAGUUAAUAUGCGCUGUACUCUUUUUCCCUUACGAGGUUUUGUCCAACUGGUUUUUCCUUGUAAGGUUUUUAAUGAGGCAACCUAUAUGCGUAUUUUUAGACAUUCAAGGGAGAAUGUUAUGAUAUAUAUCAAUUAUACUGAAUGUCUAUCAAGAUCUAUUUGAUGUCUAUCAGGAUUUGAUGUCUUUGUCUUUUAGUGUGAAACUAGGGGCAAAUUCCCCCUAUAAAUAGAAAGGCUUCCUUCAUUGUAAAUCAUCCAUCAAGAGAAGAAAUAAGAACCACUCUCUCUAUUCUCUCUACUCUUCUUCUUGUUCUUUAUUAUUUUAUAACAAGUAGGUAUAUUUACUAUUUUAGUGACUUCUUAAGUUUCGCGGAAAAAAUUCAUUUUAACAUCUCAUCUAAGGGCCCUUUUGGACUUGGCUACAUAGCUUAGAAUUUUCGAACUCUUUGAGAUGUAAUGACAAAUUUUACAUUUUAAAUUUAUUAUGAGUUAAAACUUUAUAUUUAAAUUAUUUAGUAAAUAAAUAAAGAACACACAUUCAAAUAUAUGAUUUAUUUAACAACAACUUAUAUUAAAUUAAAUAAAUAAAUAAAUAACAAUCGUUUCAUAAAGAAUACUAAAGCAAACCCGAUGUUUUAUACUAUAUCCCAAUAACAAUAAAUUGUAAUUCUAUAGGAAAUCCAAGUUAAGAAAAUUAAGUGUUUUCUGAAUUCUAUCAAAGUGAAAAAUCAUGUUUCAAUAUUAUUUAUAUCACCAAACGAAUCAUUAAUCACGUUUUAAACUUGUUUUUUUUGGUAGAAAGGACAUGCAUUAAUAAAAUAGAAACAUUGUUUAAUUUACAACCAUCCUGAUGAUUAAUCAGGGUUCAAAAAGGAAUAGUUCUAGCUUGGCCAGCUAGAGUCAUUACAGCUAGAACUAAUUGUUCUCUCAAAAAAAGUUUCGGAGAUGUCUCCCCAAAAUGUAUCUUUUGCACACAUCGGUGGAACUUAAAAAAAGAUGGUCUCCUCAAACUUGCCUUCCCUUGUUCCAUAUUUAGCUAAUGCAUCCGCCACUCCAUUUUGUUUCCUACAGCAGUGCCUGACUUUCGGGUUCCCUAGCCUUUUUAGUCUUGACCUUCAAUAAAAGCCAUUAGUCCCAUCAUGUUUUUAGUAGCCUUAUGGAAGCUUUUAUUAAAAUAAAACACCCAACCCCCAUUAUUGGAUCUAACUACCCCUCAUAUUCCACCCUUCUCGGGGUUCCCAAGACAAGAACCAUCGGUAUUAAGCUUGAAAGUAUGGCUGAUAGGAGGGUUCCACUUGAUGUUUAUGGUUUGGUUCUGCUUAAGGGAGCCCUCUUUUUUUUGUAAGAUGCUUAUACUCAACUGCUUGAGAGUAAGAAUGGUUAAAGUUUGGAUGGUCCUUUUUGUCAUUAAAGGUAUUAGAGUUUCAGGUGUUCCAGAUUAUCCAACGAUUGAAAGGAAUGAUGUCAUGCCAAUGAAUAAGUCUAUCAAAUUGGGAGUGUUGUAGAGUUCUCUGAAUAGCGUACCAGUUAGAGGGAAAGAGGUUGGUAACUAGAGGGUGAUUGGAAUGGGUAAUCUUAAGGGUGGUAUGCGACCAAAAAUCCUUAAGGAUGGGAAAUUCAAAGAAAAUAUGGUUGCUGUCUUCCUGGUGAUGGUUGCAGACAACACAAUUUGCAUUUUGUCUGACUCUUCUCUUGGAAAGGUUGAGGUUAUUGGGGUGCCUAUCAUGCUGGCCAAGCCAAAUGAAGGAUUUGAGUUUUGGGGGGAUUCGGGCCUUCCGAAUCUAGUUGAAGUUUGUGGAAUGAUUUCUCUCAGAGAUUUUAGCAAUAUGACUAUAAGCACUUCUACUGGAGAAAAGACUAUUUCCAGUGAUAUUCCAAAUGAGUUCAUUAGAGUUAGCUCUGGGGUUAGGAAUAACGGAGUUAGUAAAAGUUUGGAUGAUAUCCUCAGGGAUUUCAAAUGGGAGAUCCUUGAGGUUUCAAGAUCCAUUUUUCAGACCUCAAAAAGUUUAGUGUCUUGAGCAUAUUGAGGAAGGGGGGCUUGAAUGAUAGAUAAGAGGGGGUUCAUGGUGAGGGAUCCACCUAUCCUUCUAAAUUAACUUUGUCUCUCUUAUGGAUAUUCUAAGAAGAAGCAGUUUUGCAAAUUUCCCAACCCACAUGGAUAUUUUUCCAGGUUCUAGAGCUGUUGGAUUUAUAAGACAUGCCAUGAGGAUUAUAUUUUUUUUCAAGGAUUUUUUCCCAGAGGUUGUUGGGGUGCUUAUAGAGCCUUUAUUCCAGACUGGACAACAUAGUGGUACUCCUAAUGGAAGCUUUUUGGAGGCCCAGGACCCCAUUGGCUUUAAUGUUAGUCAAGGUUUGGCAGUUGAUUAGGUGUAUUUUUUUUAUCAGGGGUUGUACCCUAGAUAAAAUUUCUUUGGAUUUUGUCAAUCAACUUAUGGAUUUUAGAGGGGAGCAUAAUGAAUUGCAUGACAUGAGUGGGAAUGCUAGCAACGGAGGACUUGUUAAGGGUAGUUCUGCCAGCUACAUUGAGGAAUUUUAUUUUUCAUCUAGCCAACUUUGUUUUGAAAUUAUCCAGGAUGAAUUGGUAAUCUCUAUUACAAGGUUUAUAGUGGAAGAUGGGAAAACCAAGAUAUUUGCCAAACUUAUCCUUAGAUUGGAUGUCUAAGAUGUAGGACAAACUAUUUUUGACCUCCUGGUGCAGUUUCCAGAGAAGAUUACUUUGGAUUUGAGAGUAUUUAUUUUUUGUCCAGAGUAGAAGGUGAAGCCGCUAAGAGUGGUUCUGAUAGUUUCACAAUUUUUUUUCAUUAGCAGCAGCACAUAGGGUGAGAUCAUCAACAAAAAAAGGUGAGAGAUUUUGGGUCCUUUCCUACUGAUUGAGAUGAGAGUCCAGGCUAGGAUAUCCACCUCAUGGUUAAUUCUUCUUGAGAGAAGUUUCAUGCACAUUAUGAAGAGAUAGACGAGAUAGGAUCUUCUUGAUAAUCGCCCUAGUGGGGGUAAAAAGAGGGUUUUCUCUCCAUUAAUAAGGACAGAGAUAGAGGAGGUAGAGAUGUAAGACAUUAUAAGAUUGACCAGUUUGGAAGGAGCAUUAAAGAAAUGGAGGAUUUGUCUAAUGAAGGACCAUUUUAGCCUGUCAAACGCUUUUUCAAGGUCUAUUUUAAGGAUCAUGUUGAAAUUUUUCCUUUCCUUUUCCUGAAGUGAGUGAUGAUCUCUUGAAAAAUAAUGGCAUUGUCAGAGGUCUUCCUAUUGGGAAGGAAACUAGAUUAGGAAGGACUGAUGAACCUUUAAAGAAGGGGCCUCAACCUAUUAGCAAUGAUCUUUGUAACAAUUUUGUAUUUGAUGUUAUAAAGUCCAAUGGGUGUGAAGUUCCUCAAGUUGGUGAAAUUAGAUCAUUUGGGGAUGAAGCAAAGAUAGGUGGUGUUUACCCUGGUGUCGAUGGUGGCAUUGGUAAAAGUCUCAGUGCAGAAUUUAAUAGUGGCAUUACCUAGAAUGUUCCAAUAUUUUUGGUACAUUAGGGGAUGGAUCUCAUCUGUGCCAGGGGCUUUAUAAGGAUAAAAGGAAAAAUAGUUUUUUUUCAUCUGUGCAUUAGAAGGAGGGUUAGUCAGAAGAGGGUGGUCUUCAGUAAUUAUGGAUCCAUGAGAAUAAGGAUUGUUCUGGCAUCUAAAGGGGGAUGAGGAUUGCUCAGUGGAUUAGAGUUUAGAAUAAAAGCUAAGAAUGGAACUUUGGAUAUCAUCAGGGGAAUGAUACCAGUUUCCAUUAUCAUCUUGGAUGGCUCUAAUCCCGUUCCUUCUCCUUCUAUUAAUGGUAGAGGUGUGGAAGAACCUGGUAUUGGAAUCUCCCUCAGUGAGCCAAUUUAUUCUGGAUUUUAUCCUCUAGAACUCUUGCUCAUCCUUGAGAAUAAUACUAAAUUCAUUUUAGAGAGAAGAUUCUAGAGAUUGGAGGAAAACAUUGUGGGCAUAACUAGGGGAUCUUUGGAUUCAACAAAGUCUAGCCAGGAUUUUGUUCUUUUUUUUUGGAAGAUAUUUCCAAAGAGUUCUUUAUUCCAAGUCUUUGCAGGCCAUUCAAAGGAGGAGAUAGCCUCAGUCAGGGGAAGGGAAGGAGUAAAAGAAUCCCUGACUAGGUCUGGGAAGGAACGGUGAGAACACCAAAUGGAUUCGAUAAUAAAGAGUUUUUGGGAGGAGGAAGAGCAGUAUCUUUUAAAGGAAAAAAGAUGCGACAGUGUUCAGAAUGGGUUCUGGGGAGGUGAGUAAUAGAUGUAGAAACGUAAUUUUGUCCCUCCCAAAAGACAAAUUUUGUCAUUUUUUGACUCAUCUUAUCAUACACCCUCACCCAUUGAAUAAUUUACCCCACAAGAAUCUAAAAACCAAACAAAAAAAAUAACAACCCUCUAACUAAUUUUGACGCUUCACCCCCAUACCCCCACCCCUAGAAUAUACCCCCUACCCCUACCCCAACCCACAUUUUAAGCAUUUUUAAUAAUACAUACACAACUCAUGACAUACACCAUCAGUUAUACACACUGACAUCAUAAUACUUAUACAGAGAAGCUCCAUUUUUCCAUGGAAGAGCAGCAUAUACACACACAAUUCCAUUGAUGCACAAACACCCUCACCAAUAAUCACUCAAUCGUACACACACCAUUACACAUAUACUCUCAUCCUCACUAAAAAUACACACUACACACUAUCAUCAUAAGAAGGGAGAGGGACGCCAUUAACAGACCACUUUCACAGCUUUACACGGUAAUUCUACACACACACAUAUAAGAUACACUCAUAUACAUAUAGAAUCAAAGAUAUGGAUGGAAAUGGUAGUAAGAGUUGAGGGAGAAACACGAGGCUCACAUUUUGGUUACUGUUCCGAUGAUGGAUUCACCGAAAAUACGUCAAACCACUCAAAAAUUCAAUUUAAUCUAUCAGAAAAUUCCAGAAAUUGGGUUCGUUCAUUCUUAACAGGCUAUUUUGGUCACGCCACCACCAAAAAAUGUGCCCCUUAUUAGAGACGAGAUUAAUCUCCACCAAAAUUCCAAAAAAAUCCAAGCUCGCCCAACUGCUAUUACUUUUCAGCGAUAGAAGUCCAUCUAAAAACACCAAAAAUCCAUCGAAAAUGGAUGAUACAGACCAAUCUUGAUACAAAUUCAGGUUUGGAUCUUUCGUUUCUUGGCGAUUUUUGUUCGGAUUGGUAAAAAUUGAAAAAGGGGUUAGAUCGAGGCUAGACUUGUUCAUUCAUUGAGGUUCAGUUCAAGAUUCUGAUCAAGGUCUUAGUUGGAAGGAGAAAUUUUAAUUGAAAGAAAUGUUAAAGUCCAUUUCUCAUCUCAUUCUCGUUUAAUUUUAUUAUUUGAUGCUAUGCGUGACGAAUUCAAAUUGUGUAAAGUUUUGUUUCAUGUGAUUUUGUAAUUUUUGGAACAUAAAUAUUGGUUUUUGAUAUCGAUUGAUCGAAUGUGUAAAUUGAAUAAUUAAAAGAUUUGGGCUCAUUUGAGGUGGGAAUAAAAAAUUGAUAAAAGUGACUAUCGUUGUGCUUUGAUUUGCUAUUAGUGAUUUAUUUUGAAAUAAUCAUUAAUUUUCUCGGACUUAAUAAUAUCAUGAUAGGCCAAAAUGGAUAGGAAAACGUAGGUCGGGUAGGCAAAUUUUGGGAUUGUGGAUUACUGUAUGCUUGAAUAGUUUGAAUAAUUUUGUUUUAUUGCAUUGAAAGAAAUGUAUUCAUUUAGCCGAGGAAUGCCCCGAGGCUAUUUGUAUUUAUUUACUGGGGAAUGUCCCGACUUAUUAUGUUGGCAAAAGAUGAUCGUGAUCAAGGCCCGAGGCAUCGGGUGAAGCAUAGUUAGGAUAGUUUAGGUUUCAUUUCAGUAUUUUCAUUUUUGGCCUGUAAUAAAUUGAACUGGACAUUAUUUUUUGUUUUGAAUUUUCGACUGUUUGGUUGGUUGUUCUUCUCAUUGCGUAUUUUGUAUGGUUUAUACAUUCACAGCGUCAUACUAGUCGAUACUCCACGAAAGGACCAUGGUCGAACCACGGGAUCGAGGGGUGCCUAAUACCUUCCCCUCAUCAAUAGAAUUUCUUAACCGAAAUCUUUGUUCGUGGAUUAGUUUUUAGAGUCAAACCAUUUUAAAAAGGAUUUUCAAAGGUGACUUGGCACACCCGAUUUAUGUCAAGUGACGACUCUGAGUUUAAAAUGUAAAAAAAUAUUUUUCAAAAUAAACUUCAUCUUUUUGUCACUUAAUAAUAAAAAUUCUUUCAAACCUCAAAUCUUAUCUUUUUGGUGAAAAAAAAGGGCGUGAUAGCUCUGACGACUCUGCUAGAAAGUACAUCUUCUAGGAACCAAGGGGAAUGACUCGACUACAAAGUACAUCUUCUAGGAAUCAAAGGGAAUAACUCGACUAGAAAGUACAUCUUCUAGGAAUCAAGGAGAAAACCCGACUAGAAAGUUCAUCUUCUAGGAGUCAAGGGGAAUGACUCGACUACAAGAUAUAUCUUCUAGGAAUCAAGGGGAAUGACUCAACUAGAAGGUACAUCUUCUAGGAUUCAAGGGGAAUGACUCGACUAGAAGGUACAUCUUCUAGGAGUCGAGGAGAAUUUAAGAAGUGUAUCACCUAGCAAUUAAAAACUGAAAUACCUGAACAAGAAAGUGUGUCUCCGGAGGAUAUAGGAUGAUGAAUUUUUACCAUGAUUUGCUGAUCAAACCUGUGCAUCAAUAUUGCUUCCUAUAUUUGUAGAAGUUAGGCAUUGCAAACCUUGAUAGUCCUUGAUUUGAAGGUAACAUGUUUCCUGUUUCAUCAAAGAAAACUUGUGAUAUUAAAAACAUGGUGGUUGGUUUGUGGAUUUAUCUUUCGCGACAAUCUCUUUCCCCCAACGCAUUGAAUCUUGCUUCCAACCAUUAACAUAUGUCAUUCACCUGCUGCAAUACUGAUCUAAACUUAGAUAAUUAAGAGUGACUCUGACACAAACACAAUAUCUCUGUUUUUGCUAUGUUCCUUGGACAUAUCCUUUGUACCUUGGUAUUUCCAUGAGUUCCCAGACUUGUCUGUUGACAAAACUUUCUGUAUACCUUGUUUCAGCUCACAAUUAUGUCUCUUUCAUGUGCUGGCUUUUUGUCUUGCUUUGUGUAAUUGAAGAAGUUAGUAGCCAGUUUUAAAAUCUUUUCUCACUUGUUUUGACAUGUACUUGACUCAAAGACACGAGAAAAAUGACAAUGAUUUUUUUAUUUGAAUAAUUGACAAAAAUAAAACUAUAGAGAUGAAAGAAAAAACAAUGAAUGUCCCUAUUGAAAAAGAGAAAAGAAGAAUUUAUCUGAAAAUGACAGUCAACUCUAAUGAUUAUGACAUGCAUUUUGGAUUAAGCUGUCUGAUCUUUCCAUCCAAACUUUCACCAAUUGUUGUUGAGUUAAUGACCCUGAAAUUGAGUUGUUUUCAUAGGUCAAUUGCACUUACAGACCUCAUUCGGCUAGUGACACCUUGAAGGUGUUUUGCCAAUAAUUCUCUCAGCUUACCAUUGCCCUAUGGUAUACAUGGGGGUUUUCACUAAUAAAACUUUAUCAAUUUUAUUUUUCUCAGCUCACCAUCACCUUAUGAUGCCCAUAAGGGUUUUCACCAAUAAGGCUCUCUCAUUUUUAUUUCUCCUAAUUCCUUAUGCUAAGGAAGACAAGAAGUUCCCAAAAUGGAUCAUCAUAUUCAUUGCAUACUUAGCCUUAACAUUCUUAGAGAUUGAUCUGAAGGUCGUUCUUUAGUUGUAACUUGGAUUUUGGAUAAGGUUAGAAAGAAAGGAUGACAUGAGGCCCAAAUGACACUUGAAGUGGGGUAGGACUUACAACUUUUAGAAUCUACUCAAACAAUGAGGAUUAACUAGUGCCCCAGUUUCUUUUGGAGAGGUGAUUCUAAAUUAUUUAUUUUGUUGGACCGAGCUCUGAGUAGGGAAACAUACGUAUCUCACUCCCGAGAGAGGAAAAUCAGGUCACACAUAGUUCCGAUAACUUGUUUUACAUGAUUCUGAUUUCUUUUUUUCUUUUGUUGACUCUUUUUCUCUUUGGGACCUUUUCUGACUUUAUUUUUCUUGACACUCUUCUCUUUUCUUUCUUUUAGGGCAUAUUUUUUCUUUUUCUUCUUUCUUAUUAAAUUUUUUCUACUCUAUUAUUUUGCUCGACACUUUUUUUUGAGCUUUGCUGACUCUAUCUUGAUUCCAAAAGAAGGGUAUGAAAUAAAAUAGAAGUAAAUAUUAAAUGGGGUAAACAAAGGAUGACACAAUGUUUGGAUAGCAGAAUGAAAUACCUUCAUCAUAUCAAUCCUUAAGAAUGUAAGUACAUAUCAUGCAAUAUGAAGUGAAAGAUGAAGAUCAUUUGCGACACUUUAACAACACUAAGUUUAACUGAGCAUGUGUUCCACUUCUUCUUCUAUACUUUUUAAAUAUACAACUCCACCUUUGUACAUCCAUCACAUUAAAUGACUCAUGCUUUCAUGGAGUGGAUUUCCUUUUUGUUCCUCUUGAUAUAGGAUCACACAUUUAUUGUUUGACCUAAUUGAGACAUGUCUUUCAAUUGAUGACCAAGUUAUUUUUGUGAUUCUCAAAAUAAUUGCCUUAAUUUUCAAAGAAGGCUUCAACUUAUCACCAAAUGUCUCAGCACUCUACCUAUUUUCUCAGAUGCUUUUUUCUAACUUUAGCCCUUUAAUUCAAAGUUCAUGCUUAAAUUGAAUUUUAAGAUCUCGCAAAAAAUUUUGCUAGCAUGUCAUAUCACUAGAAUGAACAUAAAAUGUACUGUGUAAAGAAAACAAACAAACAACACAUAUACAAAGUUAAAGAGACACUUCAUUUAGAUGAAAUAAAAGAUAGAAGGGUUUGAACAUAAAAGACAAAACAAGAUACAUCCCGAACUACAACCAUGAAAUAAUUCAGAUAAGAAAAAAAAAUAAAACAAACUGCCAAACAUCCAUCUAGCAGGGAGAUGAGUGACUUCCUAAUUCCUGAGCUUGACAUCUUAGCCACUGGUUUGUAUAUCAGCAUGAUUAGAACUUUUCUCACUGUCAAUGUUCUAUGCCAUAAUUGAUAUAUCUUGAAUCAUCUUUUCAAUUUCUUUUUUCAAAUCCCAAAAUCUUCAAUGCUGGACCCUGAACAUUAGAAUGAUACGUAUAUCAUACAUUAGGAUCAAAAUUUCUUGAAUGUGGAUUAAGAGUGUGCCCAAGGAGAGAAGUGAUCAUGCCCUAUUGUACCAAUCUCUGAAAUAAACUAGCAUAGACUUUCCAAUUGGUGUGAAGCUAUCUCUCAACUUUUGACUCAUUUCAUUGUUUGUCUUAGAUAAAAAAUCGAGCCUAGAUGGGCUUUGGUAUGUUUGUGGAGUUAAAGGAUGACUCUGAGGAGUGGUGUGUGCAAUUGCAGGUAAUAUGGGGGUUAAACAUGUGGUUGCGCAUUAUAUACUGGAUAUAGAGGUGGGGAAACAGAGUAUAAUGGAUUUUUGGAGUGAUUAUAUGGAGCUUGGGCAUGAACUUGGGCUUGAGCCUGAGAGUAAUGACUACGUGGUUUGCUUGAAUGUGCCCACUGUCCAACUACAAUAGCAUAUGUGUCUUCCUCAUUCUUUUUCCCUCCAACACUUCUUGAACCUUUUUGAAUUAUAUGAGUAGUCUCUUUCAAUGUUCUAAAACUCACAAUACGACCAGUCUUAAUUCCAUCUUCUAUCAUCUCCCCCAUUUUAAGGACCUCAAUAAAUGGCUUGCCUAAUGCAGGUAACAAGUGUUGAUAAUAUACUUCGUUGUUUGAUUGAAUAAACACCUCCACUAUCUUACUUUCUUUCAUUAGUGGUUUCAUCGUAGCAGUAUGUUCAUGCCAUCUAAUCACAUACUUCUUAAAACUUUCAGUACUCUUUUUCUUCAUAUUAGUUAGGGAUUGUUCAUCAGGAAUCAACUCUACAUUGUAUUGAAAUUAUUAUACAAAUUCAUUAGCCAGGUCAUCCUAACUAUUCUACUUAUCAAUGUAUUGAUCAACAAACUAUUCUGAAGCUAGACUUGAAAGACUCUCAUCGAAAUAAGCCAUGAGUAAUUCUUUCUUCCCUCCAACUCCCCUUAGUUGGUUACAAGAAUGCCUCAAAGUAAAUCUUUCUGAUCCACGAAGCGACUGUGGUCGAACCACGGGACUAAGGGGUGCCUAACACGUUUCCCUCAAUCAACAGAAUUCCUUAAUCAGAAUCUUUAUUCGUGGAUUAGUUUUAAAGAGUCAAAGCAUCAUUUUGAAAAAGAUUUUCAAAGGUGACUUGGCACGCCAGAUUUAUGUCAAGUGGAGACUCUAAUUUUAAAUGUAAAGAAUCCUUUGUGAAAGAAACCUUAUCUUUUAUCACUUAAUAAUAAAAAUUCUUUCAAACUUAAAAUGAAUCUUUUUGGUUAAAAAAGGAGUGUGACAAUAGAGGUGACAACAGAGGCUUGAGGGAACAUCUUAAUCUAGGGGUUGUUGGCUAGAAACCUAUCUAAUCUCUCCAGGAUGAGGGAAUUUCUAUUCCUAUAUCUCUUGUUUGUCCAAGUGAAUUUUCUUUCUUUGAACCCUAAGACUACAAGCUCACAAGAGUUGAUAUAGUCCCAGAAGCAAGCAACCCUAUUAUUGUUAAUGACGUUCCCACCAAAUUUCUCAGAGGCUUUAAGAACUUUAUUAAAGUCCCCUUCUAUAAGCUAGGAGUUAUGGAUAAGGUCUUUUAUGGAGCCAAAAAAGUUACAGAGUUUAUUCCACAAGAUUUUUCUAUCCUCAAAAAUGUUACUAGCAUAGAUAAUACUUAAGAACUAAGAGAGGGGAGGGGAGAGGUUAUUUACCUUAAUAGAGACAUGGAUCACCUGAGAGAGGAUGGCUAUGUCAUUAAUGCUUAGAGUAGAGCUAUCCCUCAUAAUGACAAUGUCUUCGAAGCUACCUAAGGCAGGGAACUAAAUAUUCCUAUUGAAGCCAAGAUCAUUAGUGAAGGCCUUGUGGUUACUUAUUUUUAUUUCUAGGGGGGCUAAAAGAGAAGGGUUGUGCAUUUGAACCAUAGCCUUGCAGUGUCUUCUAAACUUAGGGUUAUUUUCCCCCUAGUAUUCCAUAUGAUGCAGUUCUUUAUGAUCACAGAAAGUUUGUAGGGUGAGUCUGUUAUCACUACCUUCCCCCUCUGUUGGGAUGAUGCUCCUUGAGUGAAGUAGGGUUCUUUCCUCUUCUAUGCCAAGGGAGUUAUCUUGGCUUUGUAGAAUAUUUAUUUUACUGGAGGGAGAAUCUCCAUGUUAAAUUUGCUGAGUUUUAGUAGGAGUAAGACCAGAAGCAUCUCACUGAUAAGUUCUUCGAAAGAGUGGUUUAGAGGUCUUUCUAGUGUGACUACGUCUGCCUUUUGUAUUUUGAGAGAGGACAAAAUUUUCUCCAUUUCCUUGUUAUUUUUUUCUAGUUCUUGGAUAGUCUUCUCCCUCUCUUGCAUUUCCAAGAAUAAAGUUGGAAUUGAAGGAUUUAAAGUGGUCAUUGGUUGGAAGGGCCCUCAAAAUCUUAGAACAAAAGUUGGGCCCAUCUCUAGCAUUUCGGGGAUCCUUGGGAGAAGGAAGGGUAGGCUUAGACUCACGGUUGUUAGCUCCAUCUUAGCUAGUUCUGGUGUUAAGCUUCCCUAGAACUUUUGGUUAAUGAUUUUUAUCAUCGUGGACAUCCAUAUUGUCUGUCCGUAGUUUGCAAAGACUUGAUUGAGACCCUCCAUUACCAGUUGGGCAAGGUAUGCAGGGUCAUGAAUCCUGAGUUGGAAAUUUAUGUUUCCCACUCUGAGCUUUACUAGAACCACUAUUUGAGAAAAGAACAUUUCUAUCCAUGAGGAUGGCUGGUGGUCUAGAGGUAGAGGGAUUGUUAAGAAUAAGAGAUUUUCCUGAGGAGGUUCCGAUAUUGUCACUGGGAGGAGAGGAGAGCGAGUUUUAGAGAGUAUUUGGGUUCUUGUAAUUAGAAAUGGUUUUGCAGUAAGAAAAGGACUGAGGGAAGUUCUUUGAGAUACCCUCAUUAUUACCAUUGAGUUUGGUGAUAAAUGCCGGUGCUUUUGAAGUGACAGUUAUGUCGCUAUUAUUGAUUAGUAUCGGUAGAGAUAUGGGAAAAAUUGAAGAAGUUUGAGUAUUAGAGGAUGAGAGAUGGGUGAUGUGGAAAUUGUUAAUUUCCACCUCAGCUUUAGAGGGGGUAUUAUUACAGCUUACCAUGAAAUCUGACUCUGUUGGUCUCGGGCAAGGUGUUUUAUUCCUUUGGGUACUUUUGGGGGGAAUUGGGCCUUUAGUAGUUUCAUUAUGUGCUUCUACACUGGUAGAAACAAAUUUCCCAAUAGGCCAAAACAUCUUAGAGCUCCCCAUGGGUCUCUUACAUUGGUUAUUAGUGGGCCUUGAGUUAGCCUUCGGAUCCUUAAAUGUAUUGGGCCUAACUGAGGAUGGGGGAUUGGGCUCAGUUAGCUUCUCGGGUCAUGAUCCUGGUGAAUCUAUGAAGCUUGGGUCACACCGUAACCCUGGCCACCGUUUGAGGCAUAUUAAAAUUUUUAAGUUUCCACGAACUUACCUGAAGCAACAUCAAAUAGCUUUACCUUGAUUUUUUUCACAUGACUUUGAGUACUUGGGAUUUUCUGAUUUUGGCAAUUAGUGUUGUUGUUUUUCUUUCUACUAAAGGCCACAGUUUUCCACUCCUCCACUGCUGAGUUGGCCGGCUGAUUGAAGGUCGAAGGUUGAUCUAUUGAUCUUGGUCUUGAAUGGGGGCAUGAGGACAAAGUGUGUCCCAGAUGUCCACACCCUUUGCAUAGGAAGCCCUCUCCUUCAUAAAUAAUUAGCUGUUGGCGGUUGCUGAUAUGGAUCGUGCUUAUUAAAGGGGUAUACAUGGGUACUUGGAUGCAUAUGCGAGCAUAUUUGCCUCUCAUAGUGGCGGAAGUGCACACAUCAAUUUUUACAGUUUUCCUAUUUUGCUUCCCACCUUCUCCAAGAUCGUUGUGUUGUAGAAUUUGGUUGGGAGUUGAGGCAGCCAGAUCCAAAUAGCAGUAGUUUGUAUUUGUGAUUCCUUUGGGAUGAAAUUCAGUUCCAAGACUCGGACUGGCAAAUAGGAGCCCGCUACAAACCAAGGCCCUUCUUGAGUUAUUUUUUUCUGAGAAAGGGCAUCUCCCAGUUUUACAAUAUAGUAAUAGAGUCCUAGAUCGAUCAGUGCAAAGCUUUCCUUAAACUUCUAGAGGUCUGAGAGUUUAGUCUUCAAGUAAUGAUGAUUGAAUCUCUUUCCUACGACUUUGAUUAUGAUUAACCAGGGGGUGUAAAGUCUUUUCUUAUCAACAAUGGAUAAUGAUAUUGAACUUUCAUCCCCUUGUUUAGAAUGUUCGGGGGAUUCUUCAAAUUCAACGAAUUGGUUGACAACUUUUGGGGAGAUAGAUUUGUCACUCACAAUCUCACAGUAGGAUAAUUUCUUAAUUGGGAUGUCGAUUGUCAUCCGACAAUUUGAUUCUCGGGGGUAUCUGGUGGCUUUGGGGCAUUUCAAUUGGUGGACAGACAUGGCCACUGGUACUCUUGAUUUUUUAAGAAGAGGGGAGUUUAGAGAGAAGGAGGCCUUUCUAAGCUUGAGACUGAUUAUUUGUUUUAAACUUAUUAGGACUAUACGAUAAUUAACUUCAUUUUUUUUGGUCAAAAUAUUACUUCCUUCGUUCUAUUUUAGUUGAUCAUUUUACUAAAAAUAAAUAUUCCAUUUUAGUUGAUCAUUUACUAAAUUAGGAUAAAAUUAAUUAAUUUUUUCUCUUUUUAUCCUUAUAAUUUAUAGUAUACAUUAAAUAUGAACACUUGCAAUUUCAAUGUCCAUUCCUAUGUCUAAUAAAUAUAAAAGAUAAAAUAAUAAAAUUCAUUAUUCAAUUUAAGAUUUCUUAAUGAGAUGGAGGAAGUGAGUGGUAAAACCAACCUAUUUGAUUUUUUGUUAAAAUAGUCAACAAAUCUCUUUGGUUUCAUUUAUAAGCUUCCAAUCCAAACCAAUUGCAUUUAUUAUUUUCAAAUUGUUCUUAUUUAAUGUCAAAACUUGAACAUUAAAUAUAGAGAAAAGACAUCAUUUCCCCCCUGAACUUGUUGGCACAACUCACUUUAGACCUUUAACUUAACACACAUUUAUUUAUCCCCCUUAACAUCUUUAAAGUAAAUUAAUAUUCCCUUAAAGCUGACGUGGAAUUUUUAAAAAAAGAAAAAAAAAGCACGUAUUUAUUUUAAAAAAGGAAAAUGGUUCCACUUUCUUUCAACAAGUCCAAACCAGCAAUAAAAAUAAUCUUCACUUGUAAUUCACAUUUCCUACUGAUCCAUUAGUCAUCCCUAACUCAGUCCUCUUUUCACUUACGGAAUAUGGAUGAAUUGACAGCAAUUACUUUAGUCUACCAUAAAAAUUUUCACUUAUAAUAGAGAGAAAAACCUGAGAAAGAUCAGUCCUUGAAGUCGAAGAGUUUUUUUUAGAAAUGACUUCAAGAUGUUUGAUGAAAUGUCUCAACCAAAUAUUGCGAUUUUUAACUUGAUUUUAUGUUGAGUUUGACUCAUUUUGAAUUUUUGAAAGAAUAUAUUAUUUUAACUUUUUUAGGUGUUUGCAGGGGUGGUGGGGUGGAUGAAUUUUUUUAAUAGAGUAUGAGAAAGAAAGAUAAUUUUUUUCAGUCUAAUGAUAAUCUUUUCUUUAAAAAGCCUAUUAUUUUCAAAUUCAAAUAUCUCUAAUCUUUUAAUUCGAAAUUUUUAUUACAAUUUUAUUAGUCUUGUCCUAAUUCUGUACACUUGGUAAUAUUUUAUGCUACCACUUGGCUAAUUGUGAUGCUUCGUCUUCUGCUUUAUAAUAUAUAUAGAUAUCACCACACUCACUUUUAUUUUUAGUUUUAUUUUUUGGGUAAAUUUUUUGUAUAAACAUUGAAUAAAGAGAACAACAACUUGAUCUAAGUCAAUUUCCAAGCCAAUGACAAUUUUUACUACAAAAAAUGUGAAUUUUUAACUGGCAAAAAUUCACAUGAAAAGUUCAUCAGAGAGAUUUUCGAUAAGUCCAUAAAUUCUAAUGAUAAUCAAGUUUUUUAGUAUGCUUGUCUUUUAAAAAAAUCUAUCACCAUAACCAUAGACCUUCAAAAAAAUUUUUAAUGUAUAAUACUUAUCAAGAAAAGUAGAUUUUGGUUUACAAUCAACUCAAUUAACAAAUAGCAUUUAAAAGAUAUGAAUUCAAAACCUAAAAUUAGGCAUCUUUAAAAGAAAAAGUAAAAGAAACAUCCUUUAUAUAUUUAAAAACCCUUUGAAGGUUUGAUCGAAAGGAAAAAUACGAUAAAAACAACAAAUAAGAAUAUUUUUGUUGAUUUGAUGUAAUAAAAGAGAAAAAUACCAUAUGAGAUUAUUUUAAAGAAAAAAAAUUACCAGAGUUUUUAAAAUCAUCGUAUCUUGAUAAAGGACUUUACAAACACAAAACUUGAUAAAAAGAAGCAGCAACAACAUUAAUAAAUUCAAAUAGUUAAAAUCUACAAAACCAAUUAAUAUGAAGUAAUUGCUCAAAGGAAAAAAAUCACUAAAAGGUUUGAUCUAAUUCUAAGUGAAAAAUAUAACAACAAAGAAAAAAAUAUCUUUUCUUUUGGCUUUUUGAUUUUCUAGAUUAGUGUACGUGCUUUGCACAUGUAUUUCGCACCGAUCAAUAAAAAUAUAUCCAUAAGAAGAACAUAUUAUUGAAAGGUAGCAAUUGACGUUAAAAUACAUGCUAUAUGUAUUUAAACAAUCGAAAAAAUAAAUUUAAUCAAAAUUUCAAUUAUACCACGUAAAUUGAGACAAAGUAAAUAAUUAAAAAAAAUAUAAAUCUCUAAAUAAUUUUCUUCAAAAUAUCGACCCAGACAUGACCCUAAAUCCUAAACUGAGACCCAAUUCCGAAUACCAACCAAGGACCCAAACCCAAAUCUCGAUUCAUACCUGACCUCGAAUCUUUAUCUAAGACCGAACUCGGGACCUCUAAUUUCUACCAUGGUCUCAAGCCUGAAUCUUUACCUGGGAGCCCCAUGAAACCCUAUUUGGGACCCGACCCUGACUCCUGAACCUAGAUCUAAUCCAAUCUUCUGACUCAGGACCCACCCUGAGACCCAAUACUGAAUCUUCACCUGAGACCCGAUCCUAAAGGGGAAUCACAGUAACAAUAUUUAUUUAGAAUCUAUAAUAUACCUUUCCCAAAUAAAGAAUAAAUACGAUAGAAAAUCUAAUUAUUUUCACAAGUAAAUAUCGUACACAUUAAAUCUAACCACUAUAAACAUAAAUAUAAAAAAUCAGAGAAAGUCUUUUUACAAUGACUAAAAUAAUUUUGGAUUAAUUACAAAGAAAACACUACACCUAUAAUGAAUCAAUAAUUGGUAGAAAGAAUCCCAAAAAAAACUAAAGAAAAAUUCCCUUUGAUGUAUUUUGGUGGACGAAGUGUCGUCUGGGCAUGUACAUUUAUAAUGAAUAUGUGUGAAUUCGACAGCUAAACCUAGACCGAUUACAAAACGAAAAAUAUCUUUUGCCACAUAUUUUAGAACUCCUAAUUUAGAAAAAAGUCUUACCAUAUAUUUUAAAGUCAUGAUCUCAUAUAUUUAAAACUCCUAAUUUAGAAAAAAGUCUUACCAUAUAUAUUAAAGUCAUGAUUCAAUAUACUUUAGGAGUCAAUAUUAGAAGGAGAUUAAAUAAUAAUUAAAAAAAAAAGUGAAAAGACUAUUUUGUCCAUUAUAAAUUAUUUUAAUAAAGAAAAAAAGUUCAAAUAACAUUUCUAAAUGUCUUCACACUUUUAAUAUACUAAUUUAGGAUACGUGUGUUGCACGUGUCUCUCAUGUUAACAUUCUUAACUCGAAUAUAUAAAGGUUUUAAAAUUCAAACUUUAAUAUUGUUGUAAGCCUACACAAUUCUUUUGAUGGUUAGUGGUUACAUUAUUAGUUAAAUGAUGCAAAAAGAUUCUUUCUAUUUUGAAGGAGGGAUUAAGUUUGUACUUGCAAUAAAUUGCAACAAAUUUGUCUAAUAGAGAUAAUUUGACCAUAUCACCCUUUGAACAUAAUUAAUAUAUUUCUUUAGAAAAUGCAUUCGAGAAUGAUAUAAUAUUUAAUAUCAAGGGUAAAAUGAGCAAAAAUUGACAAAUCAUUCAUUGAUUUUGCACACUAAAAAAAUAUUGUUGGAUAUCUAUUUUAAUAUAGUAAAUAAAUAUUAUUGAAAGGAGGGAGCAACACUUUACAUAAGUGUCAUAACUUAUUUAAAGAGUAUCCUACAUAUAAAGAAAUCAAGAGUAAGUCAGUCAGCUAAUAUUAUUUUCCUAACUCAAUUAAUUCCUACACCACCUGGGAGUGUAUAUUGAAAACUUCAGUGAACUACAAAGUCUUCAUAUUUUUGGCAAAGUCAUUUGAUAUGAUUUCUUCAACUCCUCUUUGAUUAUACAAUUGAACUUUUCCUACAAAAGAACUCAAGGUAAAUUGUGCGUGUGCAAUGUAAAAUUGUCACUUAUUUAAUGCACCAUUUGAGCAUGAGAAUCAUAACUAAUGUGAGUGCGAGCAUUGCACACAUGGUGCUGGGUGCAACACCACAAUGUAUGAAUUAUUCAGAUUGAUGUAUAAUCAUAUACCAACAUUCAUAACUCUAGGUACCUUUAGCUCAAAACAAGAGAAAUAGUACUAAUUACCAAAACUCUAAUUACUCACCUCAAUAUAUUGCCAACCAAGUACUCGGUAAGUAAGUUGAUUGUUGGACUUAAUUUUCUUAAAAGUAUAAUCUAUUUUUAUAAAUAUCACUUGAUAACGAUUGGUGUCAAAGCAAGAAGAAUACUCAUUAAGGAAAACCUAAUUACUCACUUCAAAAAAGUUGUCGACCAAAUAAGGAAGUUGCUUAUUGAGUUGAAUUUGCUCUUGGUUCUCCUUUAUCUCUUCCUUGAAGGAAUUCAACUCUAGCUUCCUCCUUAUAAUUCGCCAUUCAAGUUAGUUAGCCAAUCUCCUAAGUAAAGUUCGAAAAAUUGAGACAAAAAACACAAUAAAAGCAUUCUAACAAACACAAAAUAACAUGAGUAGGGCAAACAAAGAGAAGUCAGAACCUUUAUGAUUCAAUUUCGUUGUCAAGAAGGCGUGAAUCCCUAGUAAUAUCCUUAAUGACAUAGCAUUUCGAAGUUUCUAUUCUCUCAUCGACGGAGAAUUCAAGAAAAAAUUGGAAUGAGGGAGUCGAUCUGCUUAAGCUUAAACAAUCAAAAAACUAUAUAUUCUCUUCUUUUCAUUGUCGAUAUUUGUCAGUUUCUUCUUCAAGAAAAUAAUGCUACAUGUCGUGCACUGUCACAACAUCACCAUCUCAAAUUAUAGAAACACUAAGAUCAUAUCCCUCAAAUCUUCAAACAAAGAUAAAAUAACCCAAUUCAAUUUUUUUUUUGAGAAAAUAGAAAAAAAUUAUUAAUAAUACCGCAAAUACUAACCUAAGCGACCAAAAGAAUCAAUUACAAAAAAUAAUAUUCACUAUAAAUCUUAGGUCAAUCAAUAUUAUCAAUAUCGAAAUCCUAAAAACUCGAGAUUUAGCGAAUAAAACUACAAGUACGCACGUACGGUAGAUAAAGAAAGGUUCUCCAUAGUGGCUGAAUGUAGUGCGAGAAUGAAGUUAUAAUCAUUGGUUGCCUCCUCAAUUACGAGCAGGUUAAGAUAUGUCUUCCUAUAGAUUCACCAAAAAAAGAAAAAAAAAGUAAAUAACAACUCAUUUUUUAGUAUAGAAAAGCUUAUUCCAUUCAUUUGGAAUACUGUUCAACAAGUUGGGUUUUAAUAAUACAGUCUCCUUGACCAAAAACUUUACACAUAUUGUGAAUGACAUCUAGCAUAUAUUUAUAAUAAUUUUUGUACUCAACAAUUACUCCUUUGCUUGUUGUAUAACCUCUUCAGACAAACAGACCAAGAACUAUUUUCACUCUUGAGACUACAUAUAGUACUUAUUUGGAAACACCAAGUACUGUAAUGGCACAACUUCUCUUUUUUUAAAUAAUCUGGUGUUCGGACUAGCUUUUGCACACCACAACUAACUCCAUGGGAUACCUGCCACCUUCCACCAACAACAGAUACUAGGUAAUUCUAUUUACUAAGGCUAGAACAUAUGCGAAGAAAUCACCUAGUGUUUUUGUCUUUGCUGAGAAUUGAAGCUGAGAGCUCAUGGUGCUUAACCCACAUCAUCGACCACUAGGCCACCCCCUCCUUUAUAUUUUGGCUCAAGAAUGUCCUUGUCGUUACGUUUUUGGCUCAAAAAUGUCCUCCAAGUAGCAAAAUAGUUCACAAGUAUCCUUUGUACUAAUGAUUGCUCCAAAAACAAUGGAAAAUUGAUUAAUUUUUCCCUUGAAAUAUUUUGAAAUAACAAGAUACGGUCAUAUACCUAAUGUGUAAGGAAUCAGAAGGAAAAAAAGUUAUAUGUCAUUGAUUUUUAUUUGUUAAAAUGGCUACUUAUUUUAUUAGGUUGUUAUAUGUUUCAUACACCACCACCACCCCUCCCCCCUCCUCCUUUCAAAAAAAAAGAUCAAGGACAAAAUUGGCUCAUUUCCUUAUUUAGGGCAGCCGUUAGUAGGAACAAUAUGUUAUUUUUGGGUAUACAAAAUCUGUAUUUCGGCACAACAACUUCAACACAAGUUCAACUAUAAAACAAGAACACUUAUGAAGUUAUGCAACACCUUCAACACAAGAUAAAAUGACUUUUCAAAGAAGUGUGUUUUUAGAAUUUUAUUAAAAAAUGAGACCCGAGGUUACGAAAUUUUUCUCCCAGGAUAAAAUAGCCUAACAAUCCAACUGUAGUGGUCGGAAAGGUGUAUCCUUUCUUCAGUUGUUUUUGCACAAUAAAAACUGGUUUGUUCAAAUAAAUUUUGAACAAAAAAAUAGAUCUCAUUUAUUUUUUCCAAAUUUAAGCCGAGCGAGCGACGACGGCGGCGGCGCGAGGCACCUCUUGGUUCUUUCCUCACUUACCAUGUGGAGUAAGUGUUCCUUGGUAUAAUCACUUGAAAGUUCCCUUCUCCCACUAAUGUGGGAGAAUUAGUAGAAUUUCCAUUUUUGAGUGUUAUCUCAAUUUUUUCCCUCCAUUUUUCAUUCACACUUUAAUCUUAAAUCCAACACAAUAUUUUUGAACUAUUUGGCUAGUUAGAGGACAUUUUGAGCCAACAAAAUAACAGCAGGUGAAUUUGACCUAUUUCAGUUAGUUUUGGGAGAUAUUUUUUUGCACUUUUCCCUUUCUGUAAGGAUGAUGCAUAUUUUGUGUAUAACAUAUUUCUAUCUUUUGAACCAAAAGAAAAGAAAUCACGAGUGCAUAAUAACUGCAGAGAAGUAUUUUGAGAACAUAUACAAUAAAUCUUUAUCUGCUAGCAAGUCGAUAAUAUUGUUUUGUGUUUGAAACGAUAAUAGAUCACACAUUUCUAGAACUAAAGUUCAAAUUAAGUAAUCUAAGAAAGAAAUCAUGCAUACCGUUGGUAAGUGUCGUCCAUUUCAUUUGUGGUUAACACAAUACCGCAUGUAAAACAAAACAUCUUCCCUACGUAAAACAAAACCAGAUGAAAUUCAGUAGAAGCUCCAAAGGAGAUGCAGAACAGAAUAGUAUCUACAACAAAACAAUAUGAUAAUUGAGACAUCAAAUCUAUAUGAUCAAAUCUAAUCUUCAAUAUGAUCAAAUCUAACUUGUACACAAAAAUUCUUCAAAAUUAGAACAAAAAUCCAUCUACCACCAGUAUCAAGCAAAACAAAGCAUCAGAAACCCAUCAAAUCCUAAUACCAACCAACAUAAAGAAUAAUACAAAGCAUAUAACACAAUUUCUUAGAAGAAACACCAUAAAACUUCUUUUUAAUCUAAAGGAAUCCUAGUAAAAAAUAAGCUCUUUUUAGAUAUCACAUGUUACGUUACAUAUUACAUUACAUAUUACACAAACAAAGUCACAACUCCCGUAUAGAGUUACCAAAUUAUUAAUUUUUAAAAUAUAUCUUAUUUUUCAAUCAUAUAUUUUAGGGCUCCUUUUUAAUGUACAUAAGGAAAAAGAAAACCUACUAACAUUAGUUUUCCUUAUAGUUUUAAUUAUAUAUUUUAGGAUUCCUUUGUAAUGUACAUUAGAAAAAAGAAAACCUGUUAACAUUAGUUUUCCUUAUAUUUUGUUCCUAUCAUAUAUAUAUUAGGAUUCUUUAAACUUUAAUAAUUAAAUAAUAAUUAGGGAAAAAGGGUGAAAAGACGAUUUUGUCAAUUGCAGAGACUUUUAAUGAAGGGCAAAAAGUCCGAAUCACAUUUCUAAGGGCUUUCACACUUUUAAUAUAUUAUAAAUAUAGAUAUACACAUAAGUAGUAAAAGGAAGUACCAUAUAACUUGAUUAAAGUUUUAAGACCAUCAAAUCCAAGGAAAAAGAUAUUACAAAUUCAAAUUGAUUUUAGAAGAUGCAGCGACCAAAAAAUUAUUAAAUUUCACCUAUAAUUCCACUUAGAAAAUAAAUAAAUAAAUACUUACGACUUUAAAAGAACGGGCAUAAGAAAAUUUGAUUUGCUGAGUUGGUCGAAAGAAAAAGAAAACUUUUUACGAUUAUAUAAAAUGAAAAGUAACCCCUUAACAAAAUAAAUAAUAAUACUGUAGAAUAAUAACUCACAGUCCUUAAACUUACAAAACUAAUCAAUGUAUAUCAAUUAUUCAAGGAAAUUUAAA
This 93552-nucleotide long non-coding RNA is filed under the name Capsicum annuum. RNAcentral's name for it is "long non-coding RNA (CANN_LNC018046)". The record is from RNAcentral. Lineage: Eukaryota; Viridiplantae; Streptophyta; Magnoliopsida; Solanales; Solanaceae.